UACCAUAGAGUACAAUAGCAUUCCAGGAGUCCCGCAGAAUAAUAAUUAGCAUUCCAAUUCCAGGAACGAAUUUAAAGAUUAACACCAUUGUGUUCGUACCAACAAUAUGGAUUUCUAAUACUUAAUAAGUACAAAUUUGAGUCCUCACGGUGUCAUGCGUCUGAAGAUCAGAACUAUGUCCAUAAAUCUGGGAUCCAAAUGUGUAAUAAGGUGCAGAAGGCACAAGAAUUAGAUUUGCACAAGAAUAAUCUUACAAGUGCAGAUUCUAUUCAAGUAUGCUUCCAGAAUGCUUGGCAUAAAAUGUUCUUGAAUGUAUAUGAAAUCAAGCUUAGGUCAUCAGACAUCAGUUUUCUUCUUCUUCUUUGGCACAUACUGUCGAGCCCAUAGAUGUUUUCCCCUGGUCAUGAACUUAACUCUCAUAUUCCCGUCUAGAACACGGAAGAGUGUCAUCUGUGAGUAAAAUGCAACGUGUGCGUACAGUGGUGGCCUACUUUCGAUUGGCUCCUCUACACUUAUUUCUUCAAUAUCUCCAUAGUGCCUGUGACAUGGAAGAAAUUAAUGAAACAAAAUUAGAAACUGCAUAUAUAGGCAAAACUAAUGAAAUGAAUUUAAUCUACUGAAUUUUCUCCUGAAAUUCAUUUUGUGUUCCUUAUUAUAUCCUUACAUGUCUUUUAUGUCAAUUAUAUGUAACUAUCAAAUUGAUCACAUUAACUAGUAGAUUUCAGAUUUUGCGACGUCUAUUGAUCGCCUUCAUAGAUUGAGGGGUUGGGGUGUAUGUCUUCACACCUCCCUUUACGAGGACACCAGGACGGUUUUUCUGGCGCCUAGCAAAGAAGAUAGCAGCAACAUGUUGAGCAUUUUGCAACCUUCGAUGAGGUUAUCUAUGUUUCGAAUGUGCUGCAAAGCUCUUAGUGCCUACUACCCUUGUCCAUCCAUCGAUCUCAACAACAUCCUUCUUGAUUAUUGGGAUGUUUGCACUCAAUUCUAACUGCCACACUUAGAUCUUCCUCUGUCAGCGAAUCAUUUGAAAAGCGUGUAUAAGAUCAUGUGCAAGCGUAUUAAUUAACUUGCAUGGCAUGGCAAAGAAAAACGCAUUGGUUAUCAGUCCUUAAAUCACAAGCUAUGAUGUUGGUCAUGGCUUUCAUGGAAGACCCGGAUAGGGCAUAGGGUUGGGACCCCCUUGUGACGCCAUUGAUAUGGACCUCUUCUAUGAUGUUACUACGAUGACUAUUGGACAUGGUAAAAAUGCAGCCUUUUGGCAUGCAACUUGGCUUGGGGUCCGCAAAAGAAAAGACAUUGCACUAUCCAUUUUAAAAAUUUAUAUGCAUAGGAACCUAACCAUGGAGAGAGAUUUUUUAGUACGAUUGAUGGAUCACCAACAUUAAGAUAAAUUUUGGUCUCUUUGUGGAACACAUCAUUGAUUAUUUUUUCCUACUUUGAGUCAAUUUGCAGGACACUCAAACGAUGACAACAAGAAUUGAACUGUUUGGAACCUUACUGUUUUGGUAGAGUAGUCGACAUCAUUGGAAUAUACUCUGCAGAGUGUUUAGUUAAUGAAGCAAAUUUUUUGGAAAAAUUGAUUGUCAUCUAAGAGAAAGAAAUAUUCUUGGCUUAUCUUGCUAGAAAGGGUGUGGACAGCUAAUAGAUUACAAUUUUGCAAAAGGGCCCCAGAAAUUUUACGUUCAUGAGGCGGAUUUACAGUGCGAUAAAAGUGUUGUUUGGGCUUAUUGAUGAUAAUACCGGUGAAUGGGGUUACUUCAACUCGGCCAAAGAUUGGUGAUCAAGAUCAAUGGAAACAUGAGGAGGUGGGUCUAUUCCCUCCUCCGUACUAUCAGAUUAGGCUUGUAAAGAGUUGCACCAGAUACCAUUUCCAAGAGCCAAACUAGUGUCAGCUUCUCUUACUUAAUCUCUCACGAAUUCCCACAAACUCUCUAAAUUCCCACACAUAGUUUGUUGUAGAUACCAGAUACAAAACAAAGCACUAGAAAAUAAAAUGACACAAUAUUUUCUAUUACCCUAACCCCCUCGCCUAAACUCCCAUCCCCUUCGCCAAAGUUGCCAAACACACUAGGACAAAAUACAUGCAUUAUGGACCACAUGGGGAGUGGAGUUGGUCACAACUUAAUGCUUUUACCUUUUCAUACCAAAUUAUAUGAAAGCUCUACUUUUCCAAAUUUACUAUUAAUUAUGCAUCACAUACCAGAUGCGUAAACUAUUCAAUGUUCCCGCAUGGCAGCAUCCAGGGUGACAUGGUAGGUGACCAUUCCGGCCCACCAAACACUUUUCACUACAACUCUCUGAUCCUCGCUGAGUGGCAGCCAGAGAGCUCACAAAGCUUGAGGAUGGUGUCAUCGAGACGCUCUUCAUGUGCACCUUAUUACAAUAGCGAGUGGCGCACCUACGUUUGUCGGUUGGGCGACAAGGAAGUCCUAGUUCCGGACGACCAAGAGUCGGCGCCACGUUCGGUGCCCUCCUAUGUUACUGGUGCUUUGUGGAUCUUAAGUUGACACCUCUCGGGGGUGGAGCUCUAGCGACACGAUAGUGUGGCGAUUCACUUUGAAAGUUUUGGUGGAGCACCAUCUCCCUCCUCUCUGCUGCUAGCUACUAGUGUGUGUGAGUAUGCAUCGAACGUUGAUGUUGAAUUUUGGUGCUUAGGACCAGGAUGGUAGUCUAGAUCUAAGAGGUUUUUUUUGGUAGCUAACUAGUGGUCUGUACUUGGAGAUCUACUGGUCAGCAUUGGGUCUCAUGGUUGCGAAGGUAUUGUUUCUUCCUUCUUUUGUUGUGAAGGCGUGCGGUUUGAAAGCUGGGGUGGCAGCCCUAGAUGGUGGUCACUGUAGUGUCCUGACGGUGAACCUUGCAAUGUGGAGUGCUAGUUGGCUGCUAAGGCAAUAGAGUGGUCUUCUUGGCAAUUGGUCGUGGUUUGUGGGUCAUCUAUGAUGCCUAGUUUUGGGUGUCAUCUUGACCAUUAGUUCCCUUCUCUCUUUUUCGGGGGUGUAGCGAUAGGCCUUUAGAUGGAUGGGUGACGCGGUGCCCUGGAGAUAGCUUUGCGUGACAGUGGUAAGUGUCGAUAACAAUGAUGUUCUUGGACAUUAUAAUGUCUUCCCCGGAGGCCUCAUUGAGGUUACACGCUCAUAUUACUCGAUUUUUGGGUGAAAAUCAUUAACCCGGAUUGUCGGAGUAGUGAUACAGCCUCAUUAAAUUGUUGGAGGCGUCGACCUUCGAACUUUUUCUCCUAAUCUAUGGGUCGAUGCGUGGUUGUGAGGCAGUCACUGGUAGUUGUGAUGACAAUCUGGACUUCACUUUGGUGUUUUGCAAAACAACCCAUUGUUUUUCUCCUCCCUUAGAUUUUUUCACCAUUCCUCACGGUAUGCUCUGGGCGAGCUUCUGUACACGCCGAUGGUAUGACACCCAUCGAGCCAAGGCGAGAGUGCAGGGGGUCCUCUUCGGCGAUGGGGACGAAUGAGUAUGCAAUGUGAUUUGGCCUUCUUUGAAAUAGAGGAGGACCUACAUUGCUUUCCUACACACACACACACACGCACGCACGCUCACACACACGCACACACACCAAGUACUUGAGAGUGAUUUUUUCCAGGUUGAGCUCCAUAGUACCUUCUAUCUAUGUCGUUCGUACCAGAUUCCCUUCCCUCGAGAUCUCAACCAUGGCCUGCGACCCAUUCUGAUUAGCAGCAGUACCUCUGUCGCACCUGUUGUCUCCCUACANNNNNNNNNNNNNNNNNNNNNNNNNNNNNNNNNNNNNNNNNNNNNNNNNNNNNNNNNNNNNNNNNNNNNNNNNNNNNNNNNNNNNNNNNNNNNNNNNNNNNNNNNNNNNNNNNNNNNNNNNNNNNNNNNNNNNNNNNNNNNNNNNNNNNNNNNNNNNNNNNNNNNNNNNNNNNNNNNNNNNNNNNNNNNNNNNNNNNNNNNNNNNNNNNNNNNNNNNNNNNNNNNNNNNNNNNNNNNNNNNNNNNNNNNNNNNNNNNNNNNNNNNNNNNNNNNNNNNNNNNNNNNNNNNNNNNNNNNNNNNNNNNNNNNNNNNNNNNNNNNNNNNNNNNNNNNNNNNNNNNNNNNNNNNNNNNNNNNNNNNNUCAUGAUGUCUCUUAUUCCUUCCCUUUUCUCUCUCUAGUCUUCUCCUCUAUCUCUCCUCUGUUCUCUCUCAGAGCCUCCUCCCAUUUCUCAUCUAUCUCUUUUUUAUAGAAAAGGCAAUUUCCCGAGUUUAUAGAUAAAGCCAAAGGAGAUUCACAACACCGAUUACAACCAUUAAAAAAGUCUCACAAGUUGCUAAACAACCAACAACCAACAAAUCCCAAAGGAACAGUUCAGAAAUGACAAACAGGCCAACAACCAGGUACCAAAAGAAAACUAGUAAAUGACCCGAUGUCCACUAAGCUAGAGCCUGCACCCUUGGUGAUAGAGAGUUCGACAUAGCCCUGAAGCGAGUGCUGAGUAGGUCCGUGGCGUCGAUGUCAUACCUCUUAACCAAAGGCCUCCACUACUGCAUUAGUGUGAUGGAUUUGAAAUAACAUUAGCUGGUUUCGACAGGAACACAUGCUCGAUGGUAAACUUAUUUCGAGUAGUCCAAAGAGACCAACUGCAGCAGCAAACCCAAACUAGAAUAUGCGUCUCAAUGGAGCAGAUAAUGCACUAAAAAGCGGCAGUAAUUGAGCAAAAAUCGGUCGGAGCCCAGCUAACCCUCAACCACGACCGAGUACAACUUCAUAAGAGAAUGACAAAGUCACAUGAAAACAUAAUAUGGUCAGAAUCUUCUGGCCUAGAGCAGAAAUAGCAAGUAGAAUAAGCUUGAGCAUUAUGCUUCCUAAUUUGAUCAACAUCACGAAGCUUCCCAUGGAUGGCUUGCCAAAGAAAGGUCUUAGUGUUCAGUGGAACACGAGCCUCCGGACACCCAUGAACUUAGAAGAACAGGACCUAACAAUAAGGCUAUGGUAAAGCUAAUCGGCCGAAAAAUUCCUAAGGGGGAUGAGGCUAGACCACUGAGUCCAGAAUCUCCGAGAGUGUGAGGAAAGUGGCAUCAAGUUGAUGCCAUUGCUCCAACUCUACGAGAGAUAGGGAGCAGUGAAAUGCUAAAUUCCAACAAGAAUUAGUAAGAUCAAAGAUAGUAAUAUCAACAUUACCACAAAAAGAGAAAAUGACCAGGAAAGAAGAGAAAAGAGGGGUGGCCCAUGCCACCAAUCAAGCCAAAAGCGGCUGGAGUUCCCAUCUUCAACAAUAAACUUCACAUGAGAUCGGAAAACAUCUUUAACCUUAGUCAAAGCUGCCAAAAUUGGGAUCCAUUAUUAGGCAAAGCCAGCAGAUCACUAGUGGAGGGAAAUAUUGUGCUUUAAGAAUAACAAACCAAAAAUUCCUAGCGGAAGCAAAAAGAAUGCACCACCACCAUUUGACAAUUAAGCAACAAUCAUAAUCAAUGUGUUAAUAAUGCCCAGGCCACCAUGGCUUUUAGGUUGGCAAAUGAUUUUCCACUUGACUAACUGAUCCUUCUUUUUUUGUCACCCGAAUUCUUGUAGAAUCUGCUAUGAUGCUUAUCAAGACCAGUGUGGGUACCCUCAGGUAGCCUAUAAAAACCCAUAAACAACAUAAAUAGAGAGGAAAGAGAAGAUUUUUUGAUGAGAACUUCCCCAGCAACUGUAUUAUAUCUACCACAACACGACACAACCCUAUUGUUCACCUUAAGAACCAUGGGUGCUAAGUCUUUCGUACACGCUUUAGAAGAUGAGGGGGAGCGUGAGCAGAAACCUGGCCCUCAGCUCGAACAUUGAUCUGAAAGGCUUUACUUUUGGGGUAUACCUCAGUGAAACCACUUUGGACCCGAUCUGGCGCACUACAUCAAUUCCUUGUAUGAACUGGGCCAGACUAGCCAAAGAAUCUUCAUCCACGUAAAUAGGUUUUCUAAUGAGGUCACCAAACACCAUCAAACACGCCUUGUUACGCAUGAUCGAAGGAACAUCAUUUAACAAAACACAGGUAUCCACCAAGUUGCCAAAGCAUCGAUCAUCGUCCCCAACCUUUUUGACAGAAAUUACAAGCUGGUUCACUAGAAGCAUAAAACUAGUGCUCUUAGAUAACAUCUUUAAACUUUCCUGGGACUGGGAAAGCAAUCCCAAAUUCUGAUUGUGAAAUCUACUGGAACUACCAGUCCCAACCAUCCGGACCCCAUUCCCUUAGCUCAUCUGCAAUUGUCUGCAGUGUCACAUAGCAGAUUGGACCGAGAUGAUAGCAACGUCGGAUGGCUGAGGUGCAACCGGAACCAUGUCCAAACCACCAUCUGAACCAAAUACGCACCACCUGGCAGGCCUAGACUAUACUGCUUAAUUGAAGGAGGUUUGGAGCGAUUAGUACAACCCACUGUGAGGUGGCUUUCGACACAGCAAAUCAAGCAUAAAAGGAGGAAACAUACAGCGGGAUUCAGAGUGACCCGGCCUAUGCCAUGCAAAACAUGUGAGAGAAGGAUGACUCGAGCUAUUACCAGAGCCACCCACCAGUGGAGCAGAUCCAGAGAUUGGUAGGGGUGGGUGAGGAUUCCAUCACCAGAGCCAUCAGAAUUGUCAUUCGACCAAAAUUUCCUAAACUUGUUUGGUCGAUUGUUGGGAGGGCAUUUUGGAAGCCACUAGGACGGGAAUUGGGACAGAACUGCCCUUGGAACCCAUAAACACAGGAAGGAGGAGCGAGUAGAGCAACAGCUGCAGUCGGCCGAGGAGCAUCAGCAUGGGGGAGGGGGCACGACGCCCGACGCUGUCGCCUCCCAGGUAUCUAGGGCAGAGGAAUCUGAGCCUACCCGCUGAGAUGGGAUGGGGGAAGCAGAGGAGCGAGUUGCCGCCAUCCUUUCCUCCUGAUGUGUGUGCUGCUCCUUACACCACUCUUCUUCCCGAAACCAAACCGGUGGUGUGCCUCAUGCCUCCCGUUCCUUGGUUGCACGCUCGCCAGCCUCCUGCCCAUGCUGCAACUUAGCCCUCAACUCAGCCUCAGGCGCCACGGAGUCCAGAAGUGGCCUCACCAGAUCCAUGAAGCUGCCUCUUGCCAUUGGUGUUGCAGUCGCCCAACAAGCCUAUCUUCAGCACCUCGGCAAAGGAGCGUGUCAAAGGUGGGGGUGGAAGGAUUUGGAUGGAACGAGGAAGGAGGUUACCAGAUCUGAUCUUGCAAAUCUUAGUGCAGGAAACAAAAAAACCCUAGGAUUAGGUCGACACAACCUCGACGGGGCCACAUAUACCCACGGCAUGGGCCAACUGGCUGCUCUGGGCCACUCACGGGUGAAAUGAGCCGAAGCCCAAAAGGGAGAGGGGGAAAGAAUAACCGAAGCGGUAUCCAACCCUUGGACAGGGCCACCACCCUGCACAGAGCCCACCAAGCUCAUAGAUGAGCCCACCAUCUCACAAGCUGACGACCGGAUUAGUGUUCUGUCCCAUAAGUAGAAGAACUAGAGACAGGAACCAAAGGCGCCGCUGGCCAGCUAUCCGGCAUCGACAUUGCCAACGAGAUGAUAUCCACACUAGGAUCCAACAAGGGCCGGGCCCAGAGUGGUAGAAAAUGUGCGGCCCGCACAGGGCCCAAAAAUCUAGGGGGCCGAAUUUUUCCAAAUAGGCCUAGUAUUAAAAACAAAAAACGGUACUGGGCCGCUGGAGUGGGCUAGAGACCUGGAGUCGAGGCGACUAGGCAUCGAGCGACGAGCGUGAUCUCCCCGACUCCUCCUACUCGAUCGCUACGGGUUUCCGUAAAAAAUAACUCGAUCGCUACAGUGAUCGGGGAUCGCUAGAUCUGAAUCGUGAAAAGUGAAAACUCUCGAUUGUGGGGUGUCUCGUCGCCCCAUCCCUGGUGCCUGGUCGCCCUGUCCCUGGUGAUUAGAUCAAUCAGAUCACAGGGCGACUGGCCGCUGCCUACUUGCCUUCCUCGCCUCCUCUCUCUCAAUUUGGAUUGAUCGCUAGCCUCCAAGUGCUCAAAGAAUACUAAAAAACGAGGAUGCUCAAAUAAAUAGCAACAAGGAGUUGGUUAGGUAUGACUUUUUUAUAUGUCCAAUUGUUAUGUAAGAUAUAUUAUAUAUUCCUUGGUAAAUUAAUGUAAGAGCGUUUAAAUCAUUAAAGUAGUGAACGCUCUUGUAUGAGUUUACGGCAGGACUACGUUAUAAUUUUUUUCUAUGAUAUAUAUGUACAAUAUAAUUGCUUGUUAGUUCUUUUUUCAAUAGGGCCCCAUUUUUUAAUUUCGCACAGGGCCCAUGAUUUUGCCGGCCCGGCCCUGGAUCCAACGAGGCGGACGACACAGUGAAACCGGGUCAGAGCCAAGAAAACCAGGGGAAGGAGUAGGAUCAAGUAACCUACGAGCGCGGCAAGAUCUGGGCGUCACAACCACCCAACCUCGACCCCUCUCCCCCCGAGACGAAGAGCUACGAGCACUGAGCGGACACCAGGUGCAAACUUGCAGAGUCAGCCAGCAGCGCCCCCCAGGUCACGCAGCGCCGUCGCACUGUCACCAUGGGAGAAGGCGAGGGGGAGCUACCAGCAUUCAAAACAUCGUCGACAUCCACAUCCAAUGCCCAGAAGUGAUUGGUGGGAGACUGCACUGGAGAACAGAGAGUGAGGGAGGGGCGGGGAGGGUGGAAGGAACCGGGAAAGAAGGGGAGCAGGAUGAGCCACAUGGAGAUCCCAGAGCGGGGAGGCAGGGCAAACAAGAGAAGGGGAGGGGGCGACGAGGUAAUCGUAGAAGGGAAAGAGAGAGGCCAAGAUAGGGAGCCAUCCUCACACCCAGUAACUCCACACUCGACCUCUCUCCUCUAUCUCUCACAUAUUCUUCAUCUUCUUCUUCUCUCUCUCCCCCCCAUUUCUGCUCUUUCACAACCACUCUCUCUACUGCUCACAUGCUGAGAGGGGAUGGCGCAUUCUCUCCCUUCCAUUUCACCUAUGUUCUUUCUCACACGCACAACCUAGUCCCAUUUCACCUUUGUUCUCCCUAACACACACAUCCUAGUCCCAUUUCAUCUCAUCUCUCUCUCUCUCUCUCUCUCUCUCUCUCUCUCUCUCUCAUUUUCUUGUUCUUCUUCUCUUUCUCUCUCUCCUCCCCAUGGCUGCUCCCUCACAGCCUCUUUCUCUAUUGCACACACGCCAUGAAGCAGGAAUCCUGCAUGGAGAAUCUGCUUGUGUUGUGUGGGGGCAGCUCAUCACGUGAGAAUAGUGACAGAAGAUGAUGCCAAAGAGGGGCCUGGUCAACGCCUGGUAAUGACGCAAGAGCGGUCAGACGUGGGCUCGCGGUGCUCCCAGCUGCAACGAUCAUGAUGUCAAAUAGACGGUCAUGAUAGCAGGUACCGCAGAGCUUGACCUGCAAUUCAACUUUCCACAAGUUCCUCCAUCUUCACUUUGGUGAGUGCGUCGACGACUCCAAGCUCCACCUUUUCCUUUUUACAUUUGUUAGCUUGCUCUUGUUCGCUGCCCUAUAAAUUGUUUCCUCGCACUUUGUAUCUCUACUAUAGCUGUUUGGAAAAUUAGCAAUUUAAAGUCGGGCUCAACGAGCUUACUGUCUAAAAAUAUUUGUAUGCAUCACAUCAAAUUCUCAAGGUGAAUGUAUGAAUGAGUGCAUACAUUAGAAAUUUGGUUCACUAAUUUCCCGCUGACUCCUAUAUUACAUUUUUUAUUACCCGCAAUCAAUAACCAUACCACUCCCCUAACAAAUAAUGGUGAAUUUACAUAUGUAAUAAAACCUGAAAUGAUAGGCAUACCUCAUAAAAAAUUCGUGUAGUUCAUCCUUGGUCAGUGGAUAGCCAUUAGAAAAUGUCACAAACAAAGUUCUCUCAUCAGGUGGAACAUCAGAUAGGUCUUGCGUGAUCUGCAGAUAAAUAUAUUUUUAUUUUCUCUUCAAGCUAUGCACUGCACUAUAUAUUUGGAUGAAAGCUAUCAAGUCUUAUUGGAACAUAAACGAAUGAACAUGCAAAGAAUGAUCAGGGACGAUGACUUACUGCGUCAUUAGGGUUCUCUCUUAAGCUCAACUUAUCCAACAAUGUGACCAAAUGGGAGGUUGGCUGAUAAUCAUAUACUUCGUCCUCUGUAUCAUGGUGGAGCAUACGACUUGUUUGAGGAUGGAUAUUUCUUGAAUUUGAGCCUUCUCCAUGACGCAUUUGACUUGUUUGAACACAGAUAUUUCUAGAACUUGUGCCUUCUCCAUGAUGCUUCGGAUUGUUAGCAUACAAAGCCUUGAUCUUGGUAAGAAGGUGUUUCUGCAUAUAGAUGAUAUGGUGAAUCAGAAGGAGGAGAAAAUACUUCACAAACUAUUAACAGAUCUUUCAUUAAUCUCACCGAGCUAUUAGGAAUAUGUUCAUGCGAUGAUUCUCCAUAGGCCUCUUGGUAAGAUCUGUCAUCUGCAUUGAUGAUAAAGCAAACCACAAAAGGGUAAAACCUUGUACUAGUAACUGAUCUGAUCUUGAAUAACUAUAUGUGAACACUAGUCUUACUGAGAUAUUAGGAAUCUGUUCAUGCGAUGAUUCUCCAUAGGCCUCUUGGUAUAGAUCUGUCAUCUGCAUAGAUGAUAAAGCAAAUCACAAUAGGGUAAAAUCUUCUACUACUAACAGAUCAGAUCUUGGAUAACUAAAUAUUAACCCCAGUUUUACCGAGCUUGCAGUAGGAACCCGAUCAGUCCUGGACUGUCCAUAGGCUUCUUGGCGCAGGUAUGUCAUCUUAUUACGGACAAAAUUCAUCUCUAUCCUUUCUCGAAGAUCUUCUAAGGCCUCAUAACAGAUAGUAUUGAGGUAGAGAGAAAUUCCUUCAAUAGCUUGGUUCUGAAAGUCACUUCUUGCUAUAGAUCUGGCCUCUGAACCACCGAAUGCAAAAUGGAGAACUUCCAGAAAACGUUUUGCAGAAGAAACAAUUGCGCGAAAAUGGUUGUCACCAAGAGAGUAUAUGUGCUGAAGGUAACCAACUUGGCCAUUCCCUUGUGUGAGCCACAACCAAAAGGCAAUUAUCUCCAUGGAAAUGGAAGACUCAACUUGAAGACCAAGGACCAAACGAAAGAACAACACUCGAAGUAGCAUAUAGGAAGAAUUUGAAGCAUUAUUCAGUGGAUCUGGUGCCAUGGAAGGUGUCGAAGCCAUACAGGAGUGUAUAGAAGAGUUGCUAGUUUUGAAUCAACAAAGACAAACGGGGAAGAAGAAGUCAGGAAGAAUAAGGUAUGUGGGCUUUCUUAUCAUUUAAGUAAAUCCAGAAGGUUCAAGCGGAUGUUGAUUGAGAAAUUAAUUCCCCCAAAGUAUGAGUAGAGGACAGGCAGAGGCGACAAAAAAAGCAAGCUGUUGACAGUCUAUACUCAUUAAUGGCAACCCCAUUAUAGCCACACUUGCCAAAUAACUGCUGAUAUUUUUUUUGCAUGCUUCACCUUUCUAGUAAUCUCAUACUGUACAAAAUCACCAACUGUAUCAUGCGACAUAUAAAAAAUAUAUGAAAAUAUUCAUUAUUUAAUGCUAUUUAAGGCGCUCCUAUGUAUAUACUUAGGCUGCUUGUAAUGGGGUGUAUCAUAUACUAGUAUUAUGCAUAUAAUACUAGUGUAUGAUAGUACAUCCGUAAUGCAUAGUAUCAUAUGUUGGUAUUAUAGAGGGCUAUAUUUAUUAACAUGCAUGACACAAAGUAACACAUUAUUUAAUAUGAUACAGUAUCAUGAUAUGAUACUCAAACAUCUCUUUCUUCAUUUAAUUCUACGUCACCUUAUCAAAAAUGAUUAGUUGACAUGCAUGAUAUUACCUAUGAUACUUCCAUUACGGGCAGCCUUAGGACCGAAAAAAGACAUAUGCAGUUUGUACUCUGUGAAAAGCUACCCACUUUAUGUUGGCAAAUAAUAUAUGAUCAUUAGUUACCUGAUCCCUGAGCUAAUGCCUCAUCUUUAGAUUUCGUUGUUCCAUAAUUCCUUCUUCUCACAACCAUCAAUCCCAUCGAAUUGCCUAGAUGUUUUGCACUAUCUGCGAAGAUGGAGAAGACUACUGGAAACACUCCCUGAUUAGCUGCACAAUGGCACGGUGUGUGUGUGUGUGUGCAUAUGUGCUUUAGUUGAUGAAGAGUUCAGUGAGCAUAUCUUGAGAAGUGCCGCUGGUGACCCACGGGAAUGGCUAAUGGAGCUCCAGGAUACUGUUAACUACUCCCUCCGUUCCAAAAUAGAUGACUCUACUUUGUAUUAACUUUAGUGCAAAGUUGGGUCAUCUAUUUUGGAACGGAGGGAGUAGUGAAGAGUUCAUCACAAGGUGCUCAUUAUUUUAUGGGCGAUCUGAUCAGCCAGGUGUAAAGCAAUCCUCGAAUCAACUUUUCAGUUGCCGUGUAAUAAUUAUCGUGUUUGCUAAUGGACUUAUCAGUGAGCUCGAGUUUCUAGCAAAGAAGAAUGUAAAGGUGUAGGUAAUGUAGAAGUGCAUGCUCUAGCCAAUGCAACCAAAAGACCGAUCUGAUGGAAGAGACUAGGCAACACAUUAUACGUCAACACUCCCCCUCACGUGUGGCUCCCUCAGGCCUAAACGUGGACCGAAAGUGAGCUGCAAUUUAAUUGCGCCAGCCGGGUCUUGAACUCAAGACCUCUUGGCUCUGAUACCAUGUAGAAGUGCAUGCUCUAGCCAAUGCAACCAAAAGACCGAUCUGAUGGAAGAGACUAGGCAACACAUUAUACGUCAACAGGUAAUUCUCCGGUGAAAACGAAACCGCCCAGUGGCAUCUGCAAACUUAAUGUUGAUGAAGCAAUGACGAAUUCAUCAAGGGAAACGUUUCGACCCGGCAAGCCGGCCGAACUUUCGGCCGGUCUCGCCGUUAUACUCGUGCACAACUGCACAUGCACAGCAAGCGCACGCCACACGCGACACGGGACACCACCCACGCCCUUAUCCACACCGCUCUUUCUCUCAUCCACACAAAUUCUCCAGCAUCCGUCCUCUCCGCUCGCGCAACCCCUGCCUCAUCUCUCAGCUCACGCAUCUCCUGUCUCACCUCUCGCUCGCGCCGCCGGAUACUAGCACCGGCAAGCCCCACCACCGGAGGACUUCUCUCUACUACAAUUUCUCCCUCUCCGACGAGGCCUCCCCUUCCAGUUCCCCGACGACCCCUCUUGCCCAAGGAUAGACCACGCCCGACGGACGGUGGAGCUACCGCUGGACACACUAGGAGCUUCAUCCGGCCAUGCCGGGAGCUGCAAUCUUUGGACGGAGGAAGCUACAAUCGGGGCUGCGAUGGGGGCGGCACACGGUGCUACAUCCGGCUAUGUUUCAAUCGGCAGGGCAAUCUGCUACAACCGAUGGAGAUUUUUGCUACCACCGCGCGAUGGGAAAAUCUAAUACAACCAAUGUUGGGUAAACUUCAGGUUCAAGUCUAGCGUUUUAGGUGUCGAGUUUUUCAGUUUCAUCAGUAGUUUUCUUUUCGUCAGAAAACCUGAGCUGUGACUCGGUUUAGUUAGAGGUUUUAGCGGCGCCCUAACCCGAUCGUGGGAUGGCACGAGUGCACGGUCAUGGCGCCAUGGCGGGCGAAGCGCGAGGGAUGUUGGGAUGGCAGUGUGCACUACUCGCACGAGCUCCGUGUUUCCGUUGUAAGUUCAGUUGCAAACUCUUAAUAAACGGAAGAAGCAGAAUAGCUGCAAGAAGUUUGCAGCGCAAAAAGUCUCUCCCCCUCUCGCGCCCACCUUUGUUUACAUCUCCGGUGAUCAUCGGAGCCAGUGGCGUCGAGGUCUGCCUGACAAUUGGCAUUAGAGCUGGUUUGCUCGGUCACCUGCGGAGAUGGCAGGACCUGACAACCCCGGGAAGAGUGGUGGAUUCAGGGAACAACGGCGGCAGCGCCAUGGUUGUACACCAGCGCGUCGUUCACGAGACCGGCGGUGCCUGGCCCAUGCCGACGCUCAUGAACUACGCCGACCAGGCCCUCCUGAUGCAAGUCAUGCUGGAGGCGCACCAGCUCUGGGUCAUCAUCAACGACGGGACCACGGAGCGAGAAACAGAUCACACGGCAAUGGAGUGCCUGCUGCGAUCGCUGCCGCCGAAGAUGGUAUCCAUGCUCGCCGUAAAGGCCACGGCGAAGGACGCCUAGGGCAUGAUCAAAAUGUUGCGGUUGGGAAUGGCGGGUGUCCGUGAGGCCAAGGCGACCUCUUUGCGCCACCAGUACGAGGGGAUCAAGUUCAACGAUGGCGAGAGCAUCGACGAUUUUGGUAUGCGCCUAUCCUCUUUAGUGACUCUGCUUGAGCUGCUUGGUGAGAAGAUCGGCGAGUCCGCUGUCGUCCGCAAGUUUCUCUCGGUCGUUCCCAAGGCCUACUCGUAGAUGGCGUGCGCGAUCGAGACGCUGGUCGACCUCAACACUCUGGCGCUCGAGGAGCUCAUCGGGCGAUUGAAGGCCGCCGAGGAAAGGUACGAGCUGGAUGCCGCUCCUACCUGCGGCGAUGGCAGCGGCAAACUGCUUCUCAUGGAGGAGGUGUGGUUCGCGCGCCUGAAACUGCGUGAAGGAGACGGAUCGUCCGGCAUCAACGACCGUGGCCGUGGGCGCGGCCGCACACGCGGCGGCCGUGGCCAGAACGCCGGCCGCGACACCAGCAGCAGGGACAAAUCAAAGGAUAUUUGCCGCUACUACAAAUAGGCGGGGCACUGGGCGCGCGAGUGCAAGGCCCGGCCCAAGGAGCAGGCAAACCUCGUCCAAGCCGGCGGCGAGGAUGAGGAGCAGAGCCUGCUGACGGCUCAAACUUGUAGGUUGUUCGACCUUGAUACGUCUCCAACGUAUCUAUAAUUUUUUAUCGUUCCAUGCUAUUAUAUUACCCCUUUUGGAUGUUUAUGAGCUUUACUAAGAACAUUUAUAUUAUUUUUGGGACUAACCUAUUAACCGGAGGCCCAACCCAAAUUGUUUUUUUUUUGCCUAUUUCAGUGUUUCGCAGAAAAGGAAUAUUAAACGGAGUCCAAACAAAAUGAAACCUCCGGAUAGUUACUUUGGAACAAACGCAAUCCAGAAGACUUGGAGUGGACGUCAAGAAAGAAACGAGGCAGCCACGAGGCAGGGAGGCGCGCACUAGGGGGGUGGGCGCGCCCCCCACCCUCGUGGGCCCAUCGUGGCUGCCCUGACCGACUUCUUUCGCCAAUAUAUAUUUACAUACCCUGAAAACAUCUAGGAGCACCACGAAACCCUAUUUCCACCGCCUUCUGUACCCGUGAGAUCCCAUCUUGGAGCCUUUUCCGGUGCUCCGCCGGAGGGGGAAUCGACAACGGAGGGCUUCUACAUAAACACCAUAGCCUCUCCGAUGAGUUCUGAGUAGUUGACCACAGACCUUCGGGUCCAUAGUUAUUAGCUAGAUGGCUUCUUCUCUCUCUUUGAUUCUCAAUACAAAGUUCUCCUCGAUCUUCUUGCGGUGUGUUUGUCGAGAUCCGAUGAAUUGUGGGUUUAUGAUCUUUUAUGUAUGAUUGGUUAUCUUUGCAAGUCUCUUCGAAUUAUCAGUUUGGUUUGGCCUACUAGAUUGAUCUUUCUUGCAAUGGGAGAAGUGCUUAGCUUUGGGUUCAAUCUUGCGGUGUCCUUUCCCAGUGACAGCAGGGGCAGGAAGGCAUGUAUUGUAUUGUUGCCAUCGAGGAUAAAAAGAUGGGGUUUAUAUCAUAUUGCUUGAGUUUAUCCCUCUACAUCAUGUCAUCUUUCCUAAUGUGUUACUCUGUUCUUAUGAACAUAAUACUCUAGAUGCAUGCUGGACAGCGGUCGAUGUGUGGAGUAAUAGUAGUAGAUGCAGAAUCGUUUCGAUCUACUUGUCGCGGACGUGAUGCCUAUAUACAUGAUCAUGCCUAGAUAUUCUCAUAACUAUGCACUUUUCUAUCAAUUGCUCGACAGUAAUUUGUUCACCCAGCGUAAUACUUAUGCUAUCUUGAGAGAAGCCACUAGUGGAACCUAUAGCCCCCGGGUCUAUUUUCCAUCAUAUAAGUUUCCGAUCUACUUUAUUUUGCAAUCUUUACUUUCCAAUAUAUAUCAUAAAAAUACCAAAAAUAUUUAUCUUAUUAUUAUCUCUAUCAGAUCUCACUUUUGCAAGCGGCCGUGAAGGGAUUGACAACCCCUUUAUCGCGUUGAUUGCGAGGUUCUUGUUUGUUUGUGUAGGUACGAGGGACUUGCGUGUAGCCUCCUACUGGAUUGAUACUUUGGUUCUCAAAAACUGAGGGAAAUACCUACGCUACUUUGCUGCAUCACCCUUUCCUCUUCAAGGGAAAACCAACACAGUGCUCAAGAGGUAGCAAGAAGGAUUUCUGGCACCGUUGCCGGGGAGUCUACGCACAAGUCAAGACAUACCAAGUACCCAUCACAAACUCUUCUCCCUUGCAUUACAUUAUUUGCCAUUUUCCUCUCGUUUUCCUCUCCUCCACUUCACCCUUGACGUUUUAUUCAAACUCUCUUUCCCAUUCGCCUCUUUUUCGCUUGCCUCUUGUGUGCUUGUGUGUUGGAUUGUUUGUCACGAUGGCUUAAGAUAAUACUAAAUUGUGUGAUUUCUCCAAUACCAACAACAAUGAUUUUCUUAGCACUCCGAUUGCUCCUCUUACCGAUGCUGAAUCUUGUGAAAUUAAUGUUGCUUUGUUGAAUCUUGUUAUGAAAGAUCAAGUCUAUGGCCUUCCUAGUGAAGAUGCCACUACUCAUCUAAACAACUUUAUUGAUUUGUGUGAUAUGCAAAAGAAGAAAGAGAUGGAUAAUGAUAUUGCUAAAUUGAAGUUAUUCCGUUUUCUCUUAGAGAUCUUGCUAAAACUUGGUUUUCAUCUUUGCCUAAAAAUAGUAUUGACUCAUGGAAUAAGUGCAAAGAUGCUUUUAUCUCUAAGUAUUUUCCUCCUGCUAAGAUCAUCUCUCUUAGAAAUGAUAUUAUGAAUUUUAAGCAACUUGAUCAUGAGCAGGUCGCGCAAUCUUGGGAGAGGAUGAAAUUAAUGAUUCAUAAUUGCCCUACACAUGGAUUAAAUUUAUGGAUGAUCAUACAAAUUUUUUAUGCCGGAUUGAAUUUUGCUUCUAGAAAUCUUUUAGAUUCGGCCGCGGGAGGCACUUUUAUGGAAAUCACUUUAGGAGAAGCUACUAAACUCCUAGAUAAUAUUAUGGUUAAUUAUUCCCAAUGGCACACCGAAAGAUCUACUAGUAAAAAAGUUCAUGCGAUAGAAGAGAUUAAUGUUUUGAGUGAAAAGAUGGAUGAACUUAUGAAAUUGUUUGCUACUAAGAGUGCUCCUAUUGAUCCUAAUGAUAUGCCUUUGUCUACUUUGAUUGAGAAUAAUAAUGAAUCUAUGGAUGUGAAUUUUGUUGGUAGGAAUAAUUUUGGUAACAACGCAUAUAGAGAAAACUUUAAUCCUAGGCCAUUCCCUAGUAAUUCCUCUAAUAAUUAUGGCAAUUCCUACAACAACUCUUAUGGAAAUUUUAAUAAGAUGACCUAUGAUUUUGAUACUAGUGUUAAAGAAUUUAUGAUUUCACAAAAGAAUUUCAAUGCUUUGCUUGAAGAAAAAUUGCUUAAGAUUGAUGAAUUGGCUAGGAACGUGGAUAGAAUUUUUCUUGAUGUUGAUUCUCUGAAACUUAGAUCUAUUCAACCUAAGCAUGAUAUCAGUGAGUCUCUCAAAGCCAUGAGAAUUUCCAUUGAUGAGUGCAAAGAAAGAACCGCUAGGAUGCGUGCUAAGAAAGAUUGCUUUGUAAAAGCGUGUUCUUCUAGUUUUCAUGAUAAUAAUGAUAAAGAUCUAAAAGUGAUUGAUGUGUCUCCUAUUAAAUCUUUGUUUUGCAAUAUGAAUCUUGAUAAUGAUGGGACUGGAUAUGAGUCAACUUUAGUUAAAAGGCAUACCAAUGAUUCAGAGUUUUUAGAUCUUGAUGCAAAAAUUGGUAAAAGUGGGAUUGAAGAGGUCAAAACUUUACAUAGCAAUGAACCCACUAUUUUGAAUUUCAAGGAAUUUAAUUAUGCUAAUUGUUCUUUAAUAGAUUGUAUUUCCUUGUUGCAAUCCGUGUUAAAUUCUCCUCAUGCUUAUAGUCAAAAUAAAGUUUUUACUAAACAUAUCGUUCAUGCUUUAAUGCAAUCUUUUGAAGAAAAACUUGAAUUAGAAGUUUCUAUCCCUAAAAAACUUUAUGAUGAGUGGGAAACUACUAUUAAAAUUAAAAUUAAAGAUCGUGAAUGCUAUGCUUUGUGUGGUUUGGGUGCUGGUGUUUCGACGAUUCCAAAACCUUUGUGUAAUGUGUUAGGUUUUCGUGAAUUUGAUGAUUGCUCUUUAAACUUGCACCUUGCAGAUUCCACCAUUAAGAAACCUAUGGGAAGGAUUAAUGAUGUUCUUAUUGUUGCAAAUAGGAAUUAUGUGCCCAUAGAUUUUAUUGUUCUCGAUAUAGGUUGGAAUCUUUCAUGUCCUAUUAUUCUUGGUAGACCUUUCCUUAGAACGAUUGGUGCAAUUAUUGAUAUGAAAGAAGGAAAUAUUAGAUUCCAAUUUCCGUUAAGGAAAGGCAUGAAACACUUUCCUAGAAAGAAAAUCAAAUUACCUUAUGAAUCUAUUGUGAUAGCCACUUAUGAAUUGAGUACCAAAGAUGGCGAUACUUAGAUCUAUUCUCACUUUUAUGCCUAGCUAGGGGCGUUAAACUAUAGCGCUUGUUGGAAGGCAACCCAAUUUUAUUUUUGUUCUUAGAUUUUUGCUCCUGUUUAGUAUUAAAUAAUUCAUCUAGCCUCUUGUUAGAUGUGGUUUUAUGUUUUAAUUAGUGUUUGUGCCAAGUAGAACCUAUAGGAUCAUCUUGGGUGAAAGUUAAUUUGAUCUUGCUGAAAAAUAGAAACUUUUGCACGCACGAGAAUAAUUUUAAUAAAUCACAGAAACGUGCUUUUUAGUUGAUUCUUUUUGAAGAAGAUUAAUAGAUAAAUUUCCUAGGACUUCCAAUUUUGGUAGGAUUUUCCGAGUAAUAGAAAUAUUCGAAAGUUACAUAUUGCUAUAGACUGUUUUGUUUUUGACAGAUUCUGUUUUUCGUGUGUUGUUUGCUUAUUUUGAUGAAUCUAUGGCUAGUAUCGGGGGGUAUGAACCAUAGAGAAGUUGGAAUACAGUAGGUUUAACACAAUAUAAAUAAAGAAUGAGUUCAUUACAGUACCUUAAAGUGGUGGUUUGCUUUCUUGCACUAACGGGGCUCAUGAAAUUUUCGGUUGAGUUUUGUGUUGUGAAGUUUUUAAGUUUUGGGUAAAGAUUUGAUGGAUUAUGGAAUAAGGAGUGGCAAGAGCAUAAGCUUGGGGAUGCCUAAGGCACCCCAAGGUAAAAUUCAAGGACAACCAAAAGCCUAAGCUUGGGGAUGCCCCGGAAGGCAUCCCCUCUUUCUUCUUCGUCCAUCGAUAACUUUACUUGGAGCUAUAUUUUUAUUCACCACAUGAUAUGUGUUUUGCUUGGAGCGUCUUGUAUGAUAUGAGUCUUUGCUUUUUAUUUUACCACAAUAAUCCUUUCUGUACACACCUUUUGGGAGAGACACACAUUAAUCGGAAUUUAUUAGAAUACUCUAUGUGCUUCACUUAUAUCUUUUGAGCUAACUUUUGCUCUAGUGCUUCACUUAUAUCUUUUUAGAGCAUGGCGGUGGUUUUAUUUUGUAGAAAUUAUUGAUCUUUCGUGCUUCACUUAUAUUAUUUUGAGUGUCUUUUAGAACAACAUGGUAUUUGCUUUGGUUAUAAAAUUAGUCCUAAUAUGAUGGGCAUCCAAGUUGGGCAUAAUAAAAACUAUCAUAGAAAGUGCAUUGAAUACUAUGAUAAAUUUGAUACUUGAUUGUUAUUUUGAGAUAUAAAGGUGGUACUGUUAGAGUCAUGCUAGUUGGGUAAUUAUGAAAUUGAGAAAUACUUGUUUUAAAGUUGGCAAGUCCUGUAGCAUGCACGUAUGGUAAACGUUGUGUGACAAAUUUGUUGCAUGGGGUGUUCUUUUGAUUGCCUUCCUUAUGUGUGGAGGUCGGGAUCGCGCGAUGGUUAAAUCCUACCAACCCUUCCCCUAGGAGCAUGCGUAGUAGUACUUUUCUUCGAGGGCUAAUAAAUUUUUGCAAUAAGUAUAUGAGUUCUUUAUGACUAAUGUGAGUCCAUGGAUUAUACGUACUCUCACCGUUCCACCAUUGCUAGCCUCUCUUGUGCCGUGCAACUUUCGCCGGUAUCAUACACCCACCAUAUACCUUCCUCAAAACAGCCACCAUACCUACCUAUUAUGGCAUUUCCAUAGCCAUUCCGAGAUAUAUUGCCAUGCAACUUUCCACCAUUCCAUUUAUUAUGACACGCUCCAUCAUUGUCAUAUUGCUCUUGCAUGCUCAUGUAGUUGACAUUGUAUUUGUGGCAAAGCCACCUUCAUAAUUCUUUCAUACAUGUCGCUCUUGAUUCAUUGCAUAUCCCGGUACACCGCCGGAGGCAUUCACAUAGAGUCAUAUUUUGUUCUAAGUGUUGAGUUGGAAUUCUUGAGUUGUAAAUAAAUAUAAGUGUGAUGAUCUUCAUUAUUAGAGCAUUGUCCCAAGUGAGGAAACGAUGAUGCAGACUAUGAUUCCCCCACAAGUCGAGAUGAGACUCCAGACUUCAUGAAAAAAAUAAAAGAGGCCAAAGAAUCCCAAAUAAAAAAAAGAGGCCAAAGAAGCCCACCAAAAAAAUAAAAAAAUGCGAGAAAAAGAGAGAAGGGACAAUGUUACUAUCAUUUUUCCACAGUUGUGCUUCAAAGUAGCACCACGAUCUUCAUGAUAGAGAGUCUCCGAUGUUGUCACUUUCAUAUACUAGUGGGAUUUUUUCAUUAUGGAACUUGGCUUGUAUAUUCCAAUGAUGGGCUUCCUCAAAAUGCCCUAGGUCUUCGUGAGCAAGCGAGUUGGAUGCACACCCAAUUAGUUUCUUUUGUUGAGCUUUCUUACAUUUAUAGCUCUAGUGUAUCCGUUGCAUGGCAAUCCCUACUCACUCACAUUGAUAUCUAUUAAUGGGCAUCUCCAUAGCCCGUUGAUACACCAAGUCAAUGUGAGACUUUCCCCUUUUUUGUCUUCUCCACAACCACCAUUCUAUUCCAUGCAUAGUGCUAUAUCCAUGGUUUACGCUCAUGUAUUGUGUGAGAGUUUAAAAAGCUGAAGCGCGUUAAAAAGUAUGAACCAAUUGCUUGGCUGAAACCGGGGUUGUGCAUGAUGGGAGUAUUUUGUGUGAUGAAAAUGAAGCAUAGCCUAAUUAUAUGAUUUUGUAGGGAUAAGCUUUCUUUGGCUAUGUUAUUUUGAUAAGACAUGAUUACUUGUUAGUAUGCUUGAAGUAUUACUAUUUUUAUGUCAAUACUAAACUUUUAUCUUGAAUCAUUUGAAUUUGAACAUUCAUGUCACAAUAAAGAAAAUUACAUUGAGAAAUAUGCUAGGUAGCAUUCCACAUCAAAAAUUCUGUUUUUAUCAUUUACCUACUCGAGGACGAGCAGGAAUUAAGCUUCGGGAUGCUUGAUGCGUCUCCAACAUAUCUAUAAUUUUUGAUUGUUCCAUGCUAUUAUAUUACCCGUUUUGGAUGUUUAUAGGCUUUACUAAGAACUUUUAUAUUAUUUUUAGGACUAACCUAUUAACUGGAGGCCCAACCCACAUUGCUGUUUUGUUUUUUGCCUAUUUCAGUGUUUCGCAGAAAAGGAAUAUCAAACGGAGUCCAAACAGAAUGAAACCUUCGGGAGAGUUAUUUAUCGAACAAACGCAAUCCAGGAGACUUGGAGUGGACGUCAAGAAAGAAACAAGGCGGCCACGAGGCAGGGAGGCACGCCCUAGGGGGGUGGGCGCGCCCCCCACCCUUAUGGGCCCCUCGUGGCUCCCCUGACCGACUUCUUUCGCCUAUAUAUAUAUAUUCACAUACCCUAAAACAUCCAGGAGCACCAGGAAACCCUAUUUCCACCACCGCAGCCUUCUGUACCCGCCAUCUUGGAGCCUUUUUCGGCGCUCCGCCGGAGGGGGAAUCGAUCACGGAGGGCUUCUACAUCAACACCAUAGCCUCUCCGAUGAGUUGUGAGUAGUUUACCACAGACCUUCGGGUCCAUAGUUAUUAGCUUGAUGGCUUCUUCUCUCUCCUUGAUUCUCAAUACAAAGUUCUCCUCGAUCUUCUUGGAGAUCUAUUCGAUGUAACUCUUUUUGCGGUGUGUUUGUCGAGGUUCGAUGAAUUGUCGGUUUAUGAUCAAGUUUAUCUAUGAGAAAUAUUUGAAUCUCCUCUGAAUUAUUUUGUGUAUGAUUGGUUAUCUUUGCAAGUCUCUUCGAAUUAAAGUUUGGUUUGGCCUACUAGAUUGAUCUUUCUUGCAAUGGGAGAAGUUCUUAGCUUUGGGUUCAAUCUUGCGGUGCCCUUUCCCAGUGACAGCAGGGGCAGCAAGGCAUGUAUUGUAUUGUUGCCAUCAAGGAUAAAAAGAUGGGGUUUAUAUCAUAUUGCUUGAGUUUAUCUCUCUACAUCAUGUCAUCUUGCCUAAUGUGUUACUCUAUUCUUAUGAACUUAAUACUCUAGAUGCAUGCUGGAUAGCGGUCGAUGUGUGGAGUAACAGUAGUACAUGCAGAAUCGUUUCGAUCUACUUGUCGCGGACGUGAUGCCUAUAUACAUGAUCAUGCCUUGAUAUUCUCAUAACUAUGCACUUUUCUAUCAUUUACUCGACAGUAAUUUGUUCACCCACCAUAAUACUUAUGCUAUCUUGAGAGAAGCCACUAGUGAAACCUAUGGCCUCCGGGUCUAUUUUCCAUCAUAUAAGUUCUCGAUCUACUUUAUUUUGCAAUCUUUACUUUCCAAUCUGUAUCAUAAAAAUACCAAAAAUAUUUAUCUUAUUAUUAUCUCUAUUAGAUCUCACUUUUGCAAGUGGACGUGAAGGGAUUGACAACCCCUUUAUCACGUUGGUUGCGAGGUUCUUGUUUGUUUGUGUAGGUACGAGGGACUUGCGUGUAGCUUCCUACUGGAUUGAUACAUUGUUUCUCAAAAACUGAGGGAAAUACUUACGCUACGUUGCUGCAUCACCAUUUCCUCUUCAAGGGAAAACCACCGCAGUGCUCAAGAGGUAGCAGACCUCAACUACGAUGGCGUGGACGCCGCGCUAGUACACCUCAUCGAGGACGUUGUUCAGGUUCACCUCGGGCAUGAGGAGAGCGGUGGUGCCAGGAACGGCGUGUGGUAUCUGGACACAGGCGCGUCCAACGACAUGACCGGUGAUCGUGCAGUCUUUGCCGAGCUCGACACGGCCGUUAGCGGCAGCGUCAAGUUUGGUGAUGGCUCCGUCGUCACCAUCUGCGGUCGGGGAAAAAUUCUGCUGGCGUGCAAGACCGGCGAGCACUGCACGAUCACCUGGGUGUAUUACAUCCCGCGGCUGCGCUCCCACGUAAUCAGCCUGGGCCAGAUCGACGAGAGCGGCUGCCAGGUGCUGAUCCAGGAUGGCAUGCUGCGCAUGCACGACCGGGAGCGCCGUCUUCUCACUAAGGUACAUAGAGCACUGAAUCUCUUGUAUUAUGUUGCGUUACGGAUAAUGCAGACAGUGUGUCUUGCAGCGCACAACGGUGGCGACAUGGCGUGGACCUGGAAUGUACGCUACGGGCAUCUCAACUUUGACGCCCUACAUAAGCCGGCGCACCAGGACAUGGUGCACGGCAUGCCCAUGGUCGAGAAGGUGGACCAGCUCUGCGACGCAUGCCUGGCCGGCAAGCAGCGGCGCUCGCCAUUCGCACAGCUGGCCAAGCAUCGAGCACAGGAGCGGCUGGAGCUCAUGCACGGUGAUCUUUGCGGCCGAUCUCGCCGGCAACACCGAGCGGGGAGAAAUACUUCCUCCUGCUGGUGGACGACGCCACAAGGUUCAUGUGGCUUGUGCUCCUCGCAUCAAAGGACGAGGCCACAGUGGCGAUCAAGAGCGUGCAAAUCCAUGCGGAGUCCGAAUCGGGGCGCGAGUUGAAGACACUCCGGACGGACCACGUCGAAGAAUUCAUGUCCGGCUUGUUCACAGCAUACUGCACCGAGCUGGGUGUCAGCCGCCACCUCACUGCCCCAUACUCGCCUCAGCAGAACGGUGUGGUGGAGCACCGAACGACACGGUGGUGGGCAUGGCCCGGAGUUUACUGAAGGCCAAGCGCAUCCCCGGCGAGUUCCGGGGCGAAGCGGUCAGGAUGGCGGUGUUUCUACUGAACCGCAUGCCCACCAAGAGCCUGGACGGCAUGACACCGUUCGAGGCAUGGCAUGGACGCAAGCAAAACAUGCAUUUUGUGCACACCUUUGGCUGUGUUGUACAUGUGAAGGACACGUGCCCUGGACUGAAGAAGCUCGAUGAUCGCAGCCGGCCGAUGAUCUUCAUCGGCUAUGAGCACAGCCCAAAGGGCUACAGGGCCUAUGAUCCAGCUACUGGGCGCGUGCACAUCAUUUGCGAUGCCACGUUCGAUGAAGGGGCACGCCGGGACUGGACAAAGGAAGACAACGCCGUGAACAUGUUCAGUGACACCGACAGGUUCGUGGUCAAACACUUUGUGAGCCGAGCUCCAGGGGCAAUAGAUGAGGGGGGUGCAGCCACCUCGCCUCCGCCCACGCCACCUGCGUCUCUAGCGACAUCGUCCGGAGCAUCGCCGUCUCCAGCACCGUCCACUGCAGCGACAGCCAGCCCAGGAUGGGUGGAACUCGUGUUGCCAUCGACGUCGUUCAGCGACAAUGUUCUCGAUGCGGCAGACGACAUCGAGCGCGAGCACCAUUUCUGCACUUUACAGAACAUGAUGGAUUUCGGCCCGACAGAUGAUCCAGACGAGCAGCUCCAUCUUCUAGCAGCAGAGGAGCCAAGCUCGUUCACUGAGGCGGAGCAAGAAGUGAGCUAGCGGGGCGCCAUGAUCGAAGAGCUGAACUCGAUCGAGGACAACCAAACAUGGAAGCUCACAUUGCCUCCCUCUAGGACACCAUGCCAUAGGCCUGAAAUUGGUCUACAAGGUCAAGAAGGACGCACGCGGGAAGGUGCUAAAGCACAAGGCUCAACUCGUGUCAUGGUGAAUUGUAUUUUUGGGCAAUACUAUUGCCGACUUGUUGUCUGCCACGUCUUGAGCUUGCGUUGGUUUUCCUUGAAGAGGAAAGGGUCAUACAGCAAUAGUAGCGUAAGUAUUUCCCUCAGUUUUUGAGAACCAGGGUAUCAAUCCAGUAGGAGGCUCCUCAAAAGUCACACGCACCUACACAAACAAACAAGAACUCGCAACCAACGCAAUAAAGGGGUUGUCCAUCCCUUCAAGUCCACUUGCGAAAGUGAGAUCUGAUAGAGAUAACAUGAUAAGAUAAAUAUAUUUUUGGUAUUUUAUAAUAUAGAUUGGAAAAGUAAAGAUGCAAAUAAAAGUAUAUUGAAAGCUUAUAUGAUCAGAGAUAGACCUGGGGGCCAUAGGUUUCACUAGUGGCUUCUCUCAAGAUAGCAUAAGUAUUACGGUGGGUGAACGAAUUACUGUCGAGCAGUUGAUAGAAAAUCAAAUAAUUAUGAGAUUAUCUAGGCAUGAUCAUGUAUAUAGGCAUAACGUCCGUGACAAGUAGACCGACUCCUGCCUGCAUCUACUACUAUUACUCCACACAUCGACCGCUAUCCAGCAUGCAUCUAGAGUAUUAAGUUCAUAAAGAACCGAGUAACGCAUUAAGAAAGAUGACAUGAUGUAUGAUACGUCUCUAACGUAUCUACUUUUCCAAACACUUUUGCCCUUGUUUUGGACUCUAACUUGCAUGAUUUGAAUGAAAGUAACCCGGACUGAGGCUGUUUUCAGCAGAACUGCCAUGAUGUUGUUUUAUGUGUAGAAAAGAAAAGUUCUCGGAAUGUCCUGGAAAUCCACGGAGGCACUUUUUGGAAUUUAUAAGAAUUUUUGGCGAAAUAAUUAAUGCCAGGGGGCCCAAAGCCUGUCCACGAGACAGGGGGGCGCCCCCCUAGGGCGCGACCUCCUAUCUCGUGGGCCCCCUGGACCUCCUCCGACCUCAACUCCAACUCCAUAUAUUCCGUAUCGGGGAGAAAAAAAUCAGAGAGAAAGUUUCAUCGCGUUUUACGAUACGGAGCCACCGCCAAGCCCUAAUCUCUCUUAGGAGGGCUGAUCUGGAGUCCAUUCGGGGCUUUGGAGAGGGGGAUUCUUCGUCGUCGUCAUCAUCAACCAUCCUCCAUCACCAAUUUCAUGAUGCUCACCGCCGUGUGUGAGUAAUUCCAUCGUAGGCUUGUUGGACGGUGAUGGGUUGGAUGAGAUUUACCAUGUAAUCAAGUUAGUUUUGUUAGGAUUUGAUUCCUAGUAUCCACUAUGUUCUGAGAUUGAUGUUGCUAUGACUUUGCUAUGCUUAAUGCUUGUCACUAGGGCCCGAGUGCCAUGAUUUCAGAUCUGAACAUAUUAUGUUUUCAUGAAUAUAUGUGUGUUCUUGAUCCUAUCUUGCAAGUCUAUAGUCACCUAUUAUGUGUUAUGAUCUGACAACCCCGAAGUGACAAUAAUCGGGAUACUUCUCGGUGAUGACCGUAGUUUGAGGACUUCAUGUAUUCACUAUGUGUUAAUGCUUUGGUUCGGUUCUCUAUUAAAAGGAAGCCUUAAUAUCCCUUAGUUUCCGUGAGGAUCCCGCUGCAAUGGGAGGGUAGGACAAAAGAUAUCAUGCAAGUUCUUUUCCAUAAGCACGUAUGACUAUUUACGGAAUACAUGCCUACAUUACAUUGAUGAAUUGGAGCUAGUUCUAUAUCACCCUAUUUUAUAACUAUUGCAUGAGGAAUCGCAUCCGACAUAAUUAUCCAUCACUGAUCCAUUGCCUACGAGCUUUUCAUAUAUUGUUCUUCGCUUAUUUACUUUUCCGUUGCUACUGAUACAACUACUACAAAAACCCAAAAACAUUUAUCUUUACUGUUGCUACCGUUACCUUUAUUAUCAUACCACUUUUGCUACUAAACACUUUGCUGCAGAUACUAAGUUAUGCAGGUGUGGUUGAAUUGACAACUCAACUGCUAAUACUCAAGAAUAUUCUUUGGCUCCCAUUGUGUCCAAUCAAUAAAUUUGGGUUGUACUUCACCCUCGAAAACUGUUGCGAUGUAACAUCCCAAAUUUUCAAUUUGGAAUGUUAUACAUUAGAUCAUCAAUGCAUAUCAUAUUUUAUUUGCUUUUGGUUUUGAAUCUAGAAAUUCUACGCAACUCAAGGACCCACGGAGAGAGUUGGGGAUUUCGUUAUUUUCAUAUUUGAGUUUUCUCAAAUUUUGGGAAUAUGAUCAUUUGAUUUUAUUUAUAUUAUCAUCAAUUAUUAAUAUUACAAAAACAUGAGAGAGGGAAUAAAAUGACUUUCCCAAAAUAAAGAAAUAUUUAGGAUUUAAUAAUAAAAUGAAAUAAGAUUUUAUUUCGGAGUUUUUCGUUAUUUUAUUUGAAUUUAGGAAAAAUAUGCGUUUUCCCAAAUUGCAUUUAGGCCCCAAAUAAAUGUUCACUUUGUCGACCUUGAUUUUAGAAGUCCAGGAAAAUUUAUUUCGGGAUUUUUGUAGUCCGUUUAGUAUUUCUUUCUAUUUCUUUUCUGAGCGUAAUUAUUUAAAAAAAACGUGAACCGCCUUACGGGCCGUGCCCGAGCGGGACUCCGCCCGGGGGCAGCCUUUAAAUAGCAGCCGCCCGAGCGCCCCCAGCCCACCAGCGCCCGCAGCCAGCCCACCCCGCCCCGAAACCCUAGNNNNNNNNNNNNNNNNNNNNNNNNNNNNNNNNNNNNNNNNNNNNNNNNNNNNNNNNNNNNNNNNNNNNNNNNNNNNNNNNNNNNNNNNNNNNNNNNNNNNNNNNNNNNNNNNNNNNNNNNNNNNNNNNNNNNNNNNNNNNNNNNNNNNNNNNNNNNNNNNNNNNNNNNNNNNNNNNNNNNNNNNNNNNNNNNNNNNNNNNNNNNNNNNNNNNNNNNNNNNNNNNNNNNNNNNNNNNNNNNNNNNNNNNNNGUUCGCCGCCGCCUUGUUUUCCGUGCAGGUUUUUUUAGAAAACCAAUCGGUUUUCUGUCGGUUUUAUUUUCGUUUUUUAGUUAUGGUUUUUUUAUUAGAUCGGUUUUAUUUUCGGUUUAGUUUAAUUAGAGAGCGUUCGCUCGUUUGUUCGUUUUAACGAACGCGUUCAUCGUUUAGAUCUGAAUAACGAAUGUUCGUUCGUUAACCUGUUUGUCAUUUUUUCUUUUUCUCAGAUUUAAUCCGUGAUUUUUCUGAUCGUGAUUUCUGAUCCAAUUUUCGUUCUAGUAUAAGUUUUUGCUCGUUUAUCAGAAUCAGGUGAUUCAAGCGCUCGGAGUUUCGUCUCGAAACCCUCUUUCCGAAUAAUCAACUUGAACAAGUUUUUGCUAUUGUAAAAAAUUGACUUAGAUCUAGAUUAGUAAAACGAAGUUGUUUUAUUUUGCCGUUUGACUUUCGUAUCUUUGUUCGAUUUGUUUCUUUUUGCAAACUGGAGUUCUUAAGUUGAACUUUCUAGUUAGAUCUUUUAUUUGAGUUUUACCUAUGCAUUUGAUGAGUACUUAUUGUAUUCUUAUUUGUUUGUCCGCGAUAGAAUACCCGGAGUGCGCCGCCUGUUAUUUCGAGUCUUUAGGUUUCGCGGAUCAUCAGCAAGGCAAGUAACACUUUGAUCAUUCUUUUCUCAUACCUAGUUUUUAUGCAUUAGAUCAAUCCUCAAACAUUGCAUGAUUAGGAUCUAAUUAAUUUGUGGGUUUUGGGAAGUAGUUGAGGUAGUACCUAUUACCUGUUUUAUUUUUAAACCUUUGGGAGUUACUCCUACGUUUGCUUAUUAUGCCAUGCUAUGCUAGUAGACGUGGAUUGGGUGAGUGUAUCCAUGACAGAUGUGAGAUUGUUAAUUAAUGGUUUACUUAAGAUGGCAACUUAAACACACAUCUGGGUGGAUUGAGGUACCUGGUUUCCAGGAUUUGCCUGUUUUUCUUCGAACCGCCACCCAGGCUCAAAUGGAUCAUAAGAUUAUUCAUGCUAGAAACUUCCGUGUGCAGCCACAUGCUACUAUGGGCUCUAGCAUAGUUGACUAAGUCAUGCGAACUCUUACAGUGGUAGACUAGCUGAUGUAGGGGUUGUAGGUUGGUACGGUCUACCCGUUAUGUAAGGUGCAAGCGCUUCUGAAAGACUAUGUCUCGGUCAUCCAUUUUUCUAACACCAUGGAGUGCGAGAAAUCAAACGGAGGAGAUCGAGUCAUGUGGGGAAAAGUGCGCAAACCUCUGCAGAGUGUAACAAACUAAUCAUGGUUAGCCGUGUCCCCGGUUAUGGACAUCUUGAGUAUCUAGUACUUGGAUAUCAUGUGAAUCUCAUCAUGUUACUUCUAAUUAAUAUUAAUGGGACGUUAAUGAGUACUUUUAAUUGGGAUUGAGAAUGCUGUCAACCAUUCUCAAUGUUUAACAAUCACCAUGAUAGUUAAAUAAAUUUAUUCCUUUGCAGUAGGGAAAAAUUGGCUUUACGCAAAACUGUAACCAUAGAGCUUUACGCCAGCCAAAUAUGCAUGUAGUAUAGCUUACUCUUUCGUUACUCUUUAUGUGUUACAUUGCCAGCAUAUUCCAUGUGCUGACCCGUUUUCGGGCUACAAUGUUUCAUGUUGCAGACUUUUCAGAAGACGAGUAAGGUGCCUUUAGGUCGUGGUUCUAUACUCAGUGAUGCCGUUGGAGUUGAUGGACUCACUUAUCUUCCAAGCCUUCCGCUGUUAUGAUUAUUAGAUGGCCUUAAGCCAUAUUUAUUGUAAUAAGCUCUCUUUGGAGACACUCGAUGUAAUAAGUGUGUGAUUGCUACUCUAUUAUAAAUCCUUCAUGUACUGUGUGGUGUCAGCAUUACUUAUCUAGGGAUGACACCUGAGCACAGAGAAUAGACUGUUUAAGGUCUGGUCGCUACAAAGAUGGUAUCAGAGCACACGCUGACUGUAGGACACGGCCACUAAGCAAAAGCCCUAGAAUGCUACUCUCUUCUCAUUUUCUGACUCCUCAUCUUUUCUAUUCUUUAGGAUGGCGGAUGCAAGGAACAAGUUCAUGCAACCGGAUGAAGAUACACCCUUUGGAUGACACCUGAAGGAAGUCACCAAGUACUUGAAGAUCAGAGUACCAAGCUUCACCGGAACCUACAAUGCCACUUUACCUGAAGAGGAGCACUGGAUGAUUCAAGUUCAAAUUCCAGGAAGGACGUUCAUGCCCGAAACUGAGACCAUAGAGUUUUCCUUAGAUGCACCAACCUGGAACCUAGGAAAGAGCAUGGCAGCCCACAUUUCUAGGGGACGUAUUGGAGAAGUCUAUCACAAGGAACUUAAGGAUACUAUCUACCAGAUUUGUGGGCGCCGAGAUGAGCAAUGGGAGAUGACCAGCACCCGGAAGGACCGCUCAAUUGCAGCUUUCAUCCAGGAGUUGAAUCAGCACAUCCGACGCCAGGAGAACCAAAUGUGCGCAGGGAUGAUGGAUCUGAAGAAGGCCAUGGUCAAAAUGACGGAACUGGAGGAAGAACUCAAGUCUACACGUGAUGGAUACGAGGAGGAAAUAGCAACACUAGUUGAGAAGAGCGAUGAUCUGAAGAAGAAGCUGAAAGUCUUUAUGGGAUUUCCUGCGACAGAAGGAGAAGAUGAAGAUUUCACAUGCCCAGAGAACUACAUCAUCAUUGACGACACCGAGACCCAGAUGAUAGUGAUGAUGAUUAUGUUGAUGAAGUUGGAGCAGAUAUCAUGGAGUCUUCAACGGAGCAGUUUUUCUAGUCGACUACCAUAACAGUAGUAGUGUUCCACCAUGUAUCUAGUAUAGUCCACACACUUUUUUUUGCGAUGGUUCUAGACCGAUUGUAUGCCCUUGUUUGAUUGAAUGAAGUGAUUUUGUCUGCAUUUGCCUCAUGAGCAUUUGGGUAGUGUUUUCUCUUUAGACCUCAUUCUGUUCUUAUUUCUCAUCUUUUCUAAACCCUCAUAUGUCUCCGAGACAUGACAAUGGAUUUCCACCAGAGCUCACCCAGUUGAUCCAGCAGCAGAAUGCAUUGAUGCAGAUACUAGUCCAGAAUCAGAAUCAGGGGAACAACAACAACAACAAUCCACCACCGCCACCACCUGUUGAUCAUUUAACCCGUUUUCUUAGGCUGAAUACGCCGGUGUUCUCCAGUAGCACCGAGCCGAUAGUAGCAGAUGAUUGGAUCCGCAAGACAGGGAGGGAGUUGACCACUGCAGGUUGCACAGAUGCGGAGAAGGUGCGAUUUGCCGCACACCAGCUUGAUGGACCCGCAGCAGCAUGGUGGGAGAAUUUUACAGCCACUUAUCCUGUAGACACUGUCACAUGGGAUCAGUUUCAGCAGGCGUUCCGUACUGCCCAUGUUUCAGCAGGAGCUAUGGCCAUGAAGAAGCGUGAGUUUCGCAACUUGCGCCAAGGAGGACGAACAGUUGGCCAGUAUGUGGAUGACUUUAGUAAACUAGCAUGUUAUGCCCCAGAUGACGUUGCUACGGAUGCAGCUAAGCAGGAGAAGUUUCUGGAAGGGCUGAAUGAUGAGCUGAGCAUGCAGUUGAUGGUAGCAAAUUUCAACAACUACCAGGAGUUGGUAGAUCAUGCUCUUAUGAUUGAAGGGAAGCAGCAGUAGAUUGAAAACCGCAAGGGGAAGUAUGGACAGGGGAAGUGCAACUCUGGAGCUCAACAGAAGCCCCAUCUUACCCCUAAACCGGGAGGGCAAUUUCAGCAUACUCAUGGAGGAGGUAGCUCGCACAAUCAUAAUGGCACAAAGGAUGGAAACGGGAAUGGAGGAAACAACGGACAAAACCGCACCAACCCGUCAACACCAUCCAAGGUAGACCUGAGCCAUAUCACUUAUUUUAAGUGCCGUAAGACUGGGCAUUAUGCAAAUGAAUGUGUAGAAGCCCAAAAUGGUAACGGCAAUGGAAGCUCAGAAAGAAGCCGAACCCUUUCAACAGGGGACAGGUGAACCACGUUACCGUGGAGGAGGUUGAAGCUCAGCCAGACGCAGUAAUAGGUAAGUUUUUGGUUAAGACAUUUACUGCAGUUGUUCUUUUUGAUAAUGGUGCAUCGCAUUCAUACAUAUCAAGGGGAUUCGUGGAUAAGUAUAAAUUACCAACCCAGGCCCUUAGGUCACCCAUGCUAGUAACCUCACCCGGAGCAGAAUACAUGGCUAGUAUAUGGUGUGAUCGAUUACCAUUAAGGAUUGGACACUAUGUUUUUCCCUCGGACCUAAUAGUUCUGGAAUCGCAAGGAUUGGAUGUGAUAUUAGGCAUGGAUUGGUUAUCAAAGUACGAAGGGAACAUAGAUUGCGCCAGUAAGUCGAUUUUUCUUACCACCCUAGAAGGAAGGAGAAUCAAGUAUGUAUCACGGCAUGAGCCGAGGAGGGCACAUAUAAAUUCCUUAUCAGGAGUUGUGCAGGAGGAAGUACCAGUGGUAAGGGAUUUCCCGGAUGUGUUUCCGGAAGAGUUGCCAGGCAUGCCACCGGACAGAGACAUUGAGUUUCUGAUUGAACUACUGCCAGGCACUGGGCCAAUAUCUAAGAGAUCAUAUAGGAUGCCAGCCCAAGAUUUGGAGGAAAUUAAGAAACAAAUUAAGGAGUUGCUGGACAAAGGUUUUAUCCGCCGAAGUUCUUCACCUCGGGGAUCGCCAGUACUUCUAGUGGAGAAGAAGGAUACCAAGUUCAUAUGGACUGAGGAGUAUGAGGCUAGUUUCCAGGAGUUGAAGAAACGUUUAGUUACCUCACCAGUGUUAAUUCUGCCAGAUCAGACCAAGGAUUAUGAGGUGUAUUGCGAUGCUUCACGUCGAGGACUUGGAGCAGUGCUCAUGCAGGAGGGAAGAGUUGUUUCGUACGCUUCACGCCAACUGAAACCUCACGAAUUUAAUUAUGCCACGCAUGAUUUGGAGUUAGCAGCCGUAGUGCAUGCCUUGAAAAUGUGGAGACAUUUUCUCGUUGGAAAUCACUGUGAGGUGUACACAGAUCACAAGAGUUUAAAGUACAUCUUCACGCAAAAGGAGUUGAAUCUCAGGCAGAGGAGAUGGUUGGAGCUUAUUAAAGAUUAUGAUAUGAGAUUGCAUUAUCACCCCGGGAAGGCUAACAUUGUAGCAGACACGUUGAGCCGUAAGAGCCAUGUCAACACCCUAAUGACCGGAGGUUUACCAAAAGAAUUAGCUGAGGAAUUCCGGGAGCUAUGUUUGGAAAUAGUUCCGAGCGGUUAUGUAGCAGCGUUGGAAAUUUAGUCUACCUUGAUGGAUAAAAUCAGAGAAGCUCAAAGGACAGAUAAGGAAGUUGCUUGUAUUAAGGAGAAGAUGAGCAAGGGAAAAGCUAAGGGAUUUCGUGAGGAUGAACACGAUACCCUAUGGUUUGAAGACCUGGUAUAUGUGCCCAAUGACCCGGAGAUCAGGAAGUUGUUUCUGCAAGAAGCACAUGAUUCACCAUAUUCGAUUCACCCAGGAAAUACCAAGAUGUAUUUGGAUUUGAAGGAUACAUUCUGGUGGACCGGAAUGAAGAAAGACAUUGCGGAGUACGUAGCAGUUUGCGAUGUAUGUCAAAGAGUAAAAGCAGAGCAUCAAAAGCCAGCAGGAUUGCUACAGCCAUUGUCGAUACCCGAAUGGAAGUGGGAUAAGUUAGGCAUGGAUUUUAUCACGGGAUUACCAAGGACUCAUUCCGGCUAUGACUCAAUUUGGGUUGUAGUUGAUCGGUUGACGAAGGUAGCACAUUUCAUCCCAGUAAAGACCACUUACACCAGUGCUAAGUUGGCCGAGAUAUACAUGACCAGGAUCGUCUGUUUGCAUGGAGUUCCGAGGAGUAUCGUAUCAGAAAGGGGAACCCAAUUUACCUCAAAGUUCUGGAAGCAGUUGCACGAGACUUUGGGUACCAGGCUAGAGUUCAAUACAACUUUUCAUCCACACACAGAUGGAUAGGCCGAGAGAGUCAAUCAGAUUUUGGAGGAUAUGCUGAGAGCUUGUGCGCUAGAUUAUGGAUCAAGUUGGGAUGACAAUUUGCCAUAUGCAGAGUUUUCUUACAACAACAGCUAUCAAACCAGUUUGAAAAUGGCCCCUUUCGAAGCCUUGUACGGAAGGAGGUGCAGGACACCGUUGUCGUGGGACGAGGUUGGAGACCGCCAGUUGUUUGGACCUGAUUUGAUCAAGGAGUCUGAACAGAAGGUGAAGUUAAUUCGCGAUAGGCUCAAGGUAGCCUAGUCCAGGCAGAAGAGCUAUGUGGAUUCAAAACGCAAGGAGACAGAAUAUGAAGUCGGAGACAGAGUUUAUCUUCGAGUAUCCCCGCUUCGAGGAGUUAAGCGAUUUGGAGUUAAAGGAAAGUUAGCGCCCCGAUUUGUAGGACCAUAUCGUGUUUUGGAACAUAUGGGAGAAGUUGCUUACAAGUUGGAAUUACCCGAGGGAUUGUCAGGUGUUCACGAUGUGUUCCAUGUUUCUCAGUUGAAGAAGUGCCACACAGAGAUGGCUGACAUACCAUUGAGAGACACAGUGCUGUUGGAAGCAAUUCAGUUGGAUAACAAUUUUACCUAUGAGGAGAAACCAGUUAAGAUUCUCGAGUUUGCCAGCAGAGUCACCCGCAGCAAGGUUAUCAAGUUCUGUAAGGUUCAGUGGAGCCACCACUCGGAGGACGAAGCCACUUGGGAAUGAGAGGAAGAUUUGCUCAAGGACCACCCUCACCUAUUUUCUAGCCAACCCGAAUCUGGAGGGCGAGAUUCAUCUUAAGGGGGGUAGGUUUGUAACAUCCCAAAUUUUCAAUUUGGAAUGUUAUACAUUAGAUCAUCAAUGCAUAUCAUAUUUUAUUUGCUUUUGGUUUUGAUCCUAGAAAUUCUACGCAACUCAAGGACCCACGGAGAGAGUUGGGGAUUUCUCUAUUUUCAUAUUUGAGUUUUCUCAAAUUUUGGGAAUAGGAUCAUUUGAUUUUAUUUAUUUUAUCAUCAAUUAUUUCUAUUACAAAAAUAUGAGAGAGGGAAUAAAAUGAGUUUCCCAAAAUAAAGAAAUAUUGAGGAUUUAAUAAUAAAAUCAAAUAAGAUUUUAUUUCGGAGUUUUUCGUUAUUUUAUUUGAAUUUAGGAAAAAUAUGCGUUUUUCAAAAUUGCAUUUAGGCGCCAAAUAAAUGUUCACUUUGUCGGGAUUGAUUUUAGAUGUCCGGGAAAAUUUAUUUCGGGAUUUUUGGAGUCCGUUUAGUAUUUAUUUUUAUUUCUUUUCUGUGCGGAAUUAUUUAAAAAAACACGAACCGCCUUACGGGCCGUGCCCGAGCGGGACUCCGCCCGGGGGCAGCCUUUAAAAAGCAGCCGCCCGAGCGCCCCCCGCCCACCAGCGCCCGCCGCCAGCCCACCCCGCCCCUAAACCCUAGCCGCCAGCCCUGCCGGCCGCCGGCGCCCGAGGUUCGUCGCCGCCUCGUUUUCUGCGCAGUUUUUUUUAGAAAACCGAUCGGUUUUCCGUCGGUUUUAUUUUGUUUUUUUUAGUUUCGUUUUUUUAUUAGAUCGGUUUUAUUUUCGGUUUAAUUUAAUUAGCGAGCAUUCGCUCGUUCGUUCGUUUUAACGAAUGCAUUCAUCGUUUAGAUCUGGAUAACGAACGUUUGUUCGUUAACCUGUUCGUCAUUUUUUUCUUUUUCUCGGACUUAAUCCGCGAUUUUUCUGAUCGCGAUUUCUGAUCCGAUUUUCGUUCUAUUAUAACUUUUCGCUCGUUUAUCGGAAUCAGGUGAUUCAAGCGUCUGGAGUUUCAUCUCGAAACCCUCUUUCCGAAUAAUCAACUUGAACAAGUUUUUGCUAUUGUAAAAAAUUGACUUAGAUCCAGAUUAGUAAAACGAAGUUGUUUUCUUUCGCCGUUUGACUUUCGUAUCUUCGUUCGAUUUGUUUCUUUUUGCAAACCGGAGUUCUUAAGUUGAACUUUCUAGUUAGAUCUUUUAUUUGAAUUUUACCUAUGCAUUAUAUGAGUACUUAUUGUAUGCUUGUUUGUUUGUCUGCGAUAUAAUACCCGGAGUGCGCCGCCUGUUAUUUCGAGUCUCUAGGUUUCACGGAUCAUCAGCAAGGCAAGUAACACUUUGAUCAUUCUUUUAUCAUACCCAGUUUUUAUGCAUUAGAUCAAUCCUCAAACAUUGCAUGAUUAGGAUCUAAUUAAUUUGUGGGUUUUGGGAAGUAGUUGAGGUAGUACCUAUUACCUGUUUUAUUUUCAAACCUUUGGGAGUUACUUCUACGUUUGCUUAUUAUGCCAUGCUAUGCUAGUAGACGUGGAUUGGGUGAGUGUAUCCAUGAUAGAUGUGAGAUUGUUAAUUAAUGGUUUACUUAAGGUGGCAACUUAAACACACAUCUGGGUGGAUUGAGGUACCUGGUUUCCAGGAUUACCUAUUUUUCUUUGGACCGCCACCCAGGCUCAAAGAGAUUAUAAGAUUAUUCAUGCUAGAAACUUCCGUGUGCAGCCACAUGCUACUAUGGGCUCUAGCAUAGUUGACUAAGUCAUGCGAACUCUUACAGUGGUAGACUAGCUGAUGUAGGGGUUGUAGGUUGGUACGGUCUACCCGUUACGUAAGGUGCAAGCGCUUCUGAAAGACUAUUUCUCGGUCAGCCGUUUCUCUAACACCAUGGAGUGCGAGAAAUCAAACGGAGGAGAUCGAGUCAUGUGGGGAAAAAUGCGCAAACCUCUGCAAAGUGUAACAAACUAAUCAUGAUUAGCCGUGUCCCCAGUUAUGGACAUCUUGAGUAUCUAGUACUUGGAUAUCAUGUGAAUCUCAUCAUGUUACUUGUAAUUAAUAUUGAUGGGAUGUUAAUGAGUACUUUUAAUUGGGAUUGAGAAUGUUGUCAACCAUUCUCAAUGUUUAACAACCACCAUGAUAGUUAAAUAAAUUUAUUCCUUUGCAGUAGGGAAAAAUUGGCUUUACGCAAAACUGUAACCAUAGAGCUUUACAGCAGCCAAAUAUGCAUGUAGUAUAACUUACUCUUUCAUUACUCUUUAUGUGUUACAUUGCUAGCAUAUUCCAUGUGCUGACCCGUUUUCGGGCUGCAACGUUUCAUGUUGCAGAAUUUUCAGACGACGAGUAAGGUGCCUUUAGGUCGUGGUUCUAUACUCAGUGAUGCCGUUGGAGUUGAUGGACUCACUUAUCUUCCAAGCCUUCCGCUGUUAUCGUUAUUAGAUGGCCUUAAGCCAUAUUUAUUGUAAUAAGCUCUCUUUGGAGACACUCGAUGUAAUAAGUGUGUGAUUGCUACUCUGUUAUAAAUCCUUCAAGUACUGUGUGGUGUCAGCAUUACUGAUCCAGGGAUGACACCUGAGCACAGAGAUCGGACUAUUUGAGGUCUGGUCGCUACAUGCAAUCCCCUACACUUGUGGGUUAUCAAGACUCUUUUCUUGUGUCGUUGCCGGGGAGCAUAGCUCUAUUCUUUGAGUCACUUGGGAUUUAUAUCUGUUGAUCACUAUGAAGAACUUGAAAGACGCUAAGACCAAGAUUUUGCCCUCAACUAUGAGGGGAGGUAAGGAACUGCCAUCUAGCUCUGCACUAGAUUCUCCCUCCAUUAUUAGUAGGCUUGCGACACCUAAACCUGCUACUGCUAUGAAUUCUGAUAUGUUAUAUGUUAUUGAUGAUGCCACUUCUGCUAUGCAUGAUGAAACUACUUCUGUGCGUGAUACUACUUUGCCAUUAGGUGAAUUUCUAGAUGAACAACUUGCUAUAGUUAGGGGAAAUGAAAAUAUUGAAGAACCUAUUAUUGAUGAUAGUGAUGAUGAAUGUUCCCCCAAUGAUUAUGUAUUACCUGUUGUUCCUAAGGGUAAUGUUAUGAAUGAAGCAGCUACUAUGGAAAUUCUUGCUUGCAAUGAUAGAAAUGAUCUUAAGAAAUUAUUAGCUAAAUGGAAGCAGCAGUCUCUUAAUGCUAGAAGGAAACCCAAUCCUGCUUUUGCUACUUCACCUAUCUGUGUUAAUGAUAAGGAUUAUGAAUUCUCUGUUGAUCAUGAUAUUAUUACUUUAGUUGAAUCUGAUCCGUUUUAUGGCCUUGAAUCUAAAACUGUUGUGGCACAUCUUACCAAGUUGAAUGAUAUAGCCACCCUGUUUACUCAUGAUGAGAAGUCUCGCUAUUUAUAUAUCCUUAAGAUAUUUCCAUUCUCAUUAAAGGGUGAUGCUAAGACUUGGUAUAAUUCUCUUGCUCCUGGUUGUGUGCGCAGUCCCCAGGAUAUGAUUUAUUACUUCUCUGCUAAAUAUUUCCCUGCUCAUAAGAAACAAGCUGCCUUGCAGGAAGUAUAUAAUUUUGUGCAAAUCAAAGAAGAGAGUCUCCCACAAGCUUGGGGGAGGCUUCUCCGGUUACUUAAUGCUUUGCCUGGUCAUCCUCUUAAGAAAAAUGAAAUACUUGAUAUCUUUUAUAAUGGACUAACCGAUGCUUCCAAAGACUACUUGGAUAGUUGUGCUGGUUGUGUUUUCAGUGAAAGAACAGUCGAUGAAGCUGAAAUAUUAUUGAAUAAUAUGUUAACUAAUGAAAAUAAUUGGACUCUUUCCGAGCCAGUUCCUGAAGUAAUUCCUGAACCAAUUGAGCCAACUCCUGAACCUAUUCCUAAACCCACUCCGAAGAAGGGAGGUGUUUUAUUUCUCAGUCCUGAAGAUAUGCAAGAGGCAAAGAAAUCAAUGAAAUAAAAAGGUAUUAAAGCUGAAGAUGUUAAGAAUUUACCACCUAUUGAAGAAAUACAUGGUCUUAAUAUACCGCCUGAAGAACCACAUUGUCUUGAUAACCCGACACAGGUAGUAAAGGUAAAUUCUCUCUAUAGAUAUGAUAAAGUUGAAAUACCCUCUACUAAAUUUCAUAGCCCAUGCUUAGAUGAAUUUGAUGACUUUAUGGCUAGACAAGAAAGUUUUAAUGCUUAUGUUGGUAGAAAGUUAAAGAAUAAUGCUUUCGAGAUAGGACACGUAGGUGAUAAUCUGGCUAGAGUUAAAGAUGAACUUCACCGCUUAGCAAAUAUGCUUCUAUGGUUGCUACUCAAGCUGAGCAAGUACUCAAAGCUCAAAAUGAUUUGCUUGAGGAAUUAAAUAAUAAAAAUGACUUUGCCGUUAGAGUGGCUACUAGAACUCGUAGAAUGACUCAGGAACCUUUGUAUCCUGAAGGCCACCCUAAGAGAAUCGAGCAAGAUUCUCAGAGAAAUAAUUUAGAGGCACCUAGUUCUUCUAAAAAGAAGAAAAAGAAAAAUGAUAGAACCUUGCAUGCUUCUAGUCCCUGUUCAAGAAUUCAUCCGAUUAACCAGUUAACUUGCCGGUUAAUCCCUACUCGUAGGGUCACCAAGUAGCCGAUUAACAGAUUAAUCGCCCGAGUAAUUGAUUAAAUGGCCGAUUAACUUGCCGAUUAGCCUAUUAAUCCCCUACUCAUCAGCUAACCGAGCAGCUACCAGUUAACGAUUUCCUCAACAAUGCUUCUAGUGAACCUACUGUAGACACACCUGAGAAUCCCAAUGAUAUUUCUAUUUCUGAUGCUGAAACACAAUCAGGUGAUGAACAUGAACCUAGCGAUAAUGUUAAUGAUAAUGUUCAUGUUGAUGCUCAACCUAGCAAAAACAAUGAUGUAGAGAUUGAACCUACUAUUGAUCUUGAUAACCCACAAUCAAAGAAUCAACGUUAUGAUAAGAGAGAUUUUGUUGCUAGGAAGCACGGUAAAGAAAGAGAACCAUGGGUUUAGAAACCCAUGCCCUUUCCUCCUAAACCAUCCAAGUCAAAGGAUAAUGACGAUUUUGAGCGCUUUGCUGAAAUGAUUAGACCUAUUUUCGUACGUAUGCGCUUAACUAAUAUGCUUAAAGUAAAUCCUUAUGCUAAGUAUAUGAAGGAUAUCAUCACAAAUAAAAGAAAGAUACUGGAAGCUGAAAUUUCCACCAUGCUUGCUAAUUACACUUUUAAGGGUGGAAUACCAAAGAAACUUAGAGAUCCGGGUGUUCCAACUAUACCAUGCUCCAUUAAAAGAAAUUAUGUCAGAACUGCUUUAUGUGAUCUUGGAGCCGGUGUUAGUGUUAUGCCUCUCUCUUUAUAUCAUAGACUUGAAUUGAAUAAGUUGACACCUACUGAAAUAUAUUUGCAAAUGGCUGAUAAAUCAACUGCUAUACCUGUCGGUAUUUGUGAGGAUGUGCCUAUUGUGGUUGUAAAUGUCACUAUCUUAAUGGACUUUGUUAUUCUUGAUAUUCCCGAGGAUGAUAGUAUGUCUAUUAUCCUUGGUAGACCUUUUCUUAAUACUGCAGGGGCUGUUAUUGAUUGCAACAAAGGCAAUGUCACUUUUGAUGUUAAUGGUAAUGAGCAUACGGCACACUUUCCAAGGAAACAAUCUCAAGUUCAUAGCAUCAAUUCUAUUGAAAAAGUUCCAACUAUCAUUUUUGGAGGUUUUGAAUUUCCUCUCCCUACUGUCAAGAAAAAGUAUGAUAUUCUUAUUGUUGGGGAUUUUCAUAUUCCUAUUGAGGUAACUUAGUGUUAUUCGAAAUUUCUCCGGUUCCGUGUUAUUCAAAAUGAGUUUGUUAACAAGACUUGAUCAACCUUGUUAGCGGGUUCAUUUUGAUGAUCACGAGAUGGAUGAAACUAGAAGGCACAACCUUCUGUACCCUCUUUUUACUUUCUGUUAUUUAGAAUAAAUAAAGCAAAAAUAGUAUUAUCCGUCUGUUUUCUGAAUUAUCCGUGCAUUCAAAAAUAGUCCAAAAAUAAAAGUGCUCCAAAUGCGCUGCAAAUUUAGUAUGAUUUUUUCUGGAAUAUUUGAGGAUUUUAGGCAUUGAAAACACUGCAGGAGGGGCAAGCACCAGGCCACGAGAGAGGAGGGUGCCCCCCCUGUAGGGCGCGCCCCCUUUCUCCUGGGCCCCUGGUGGCUCCCCUCCACUUAUGCCAGCACCCACACACUUCACCUUCUACCCCAAAAAAUACCCAUCCAGCUCAAGCACGAGUUCUAGCUCGUUUGGCUACGAUUUUCGAUCUCCUUGGUCAAAGCUCCAUUCACAAAACUAUUUUGGGAGAUUGUUGCUUGGUAUGUGAUUCCUCCAUUGGUCCAAUUAGUUUUUGUUCUAGUGGUUUAUUCAUUGCAAAUUUUUGUUGCUUAGGUGACCAUGUUCUUGAGCUUGCAUGUUAAAUUUUUGAGGUCCCAAGCAAUUCCAAUGCAUGAUAUGGGCUCUAGGCACUUGUAGGAGUAGUUGCUAUCAGUCUUGUUUAGUUUUAUCCACUUUUAUUUUGAAGUUACUAAAAUUUCAGAAAUUUUCAGAAAAAGAAAUAUGCUUAGAAGAAUGUACCAAGGAGGUUCCUUAGCAAAGAAUGGGCCAAGAAUUGCUAUACGUGAACAAGAUGUUAAUUUGCCAAGGGACGCAAUUGUACGGGCUUAUGAGUGGACAUCCGAUGAUUUUAUGGUCGAAGCAGGCUUUAAGGAAGAAUUUGACGCGUAUGUGCGUAAUGCCGACCUGGAGGACUUCUUAAAAAAUAAGUGUCCUCAAUAUUAUCAAUUGACCGAUUCCUUUGUGCGGAGGUUCGAAUAUAUUUCUGCGCGUAAAUCUCCUAGUGUCAUGUUUGAUAUUUAUGAUACAUCUUAUACCAUGGAUUUAGAGGAUUUCACAACUGCUUGCAAACUCCCUCAGUGGGGUAAUAUUAAUGAUCCUCGCAAAUCUGAAUUUAGAUAUUUUCUUGCUAGUAUUACUGUGGGAGAAUCUAGGGACGUUGCACAAGCUACCAUAGGGAGCAUUCACUUUCCUGCUUUACAUUACUUUGCUCUCUUUAUUGGUAGAUGCAUUAACGGUAAGGACGAGGUAUGUCACAUGUGUGCCCCUGAUCUUUGUGUCCUCAAGAGUGCUGUGUCAGGUUAUAAAGGUUAUAACUUGGGGGCAAUAGUUGCACGUAGGUUGCAGAAUAAUAGUAAAAGGGGAAAUUUCUUUGGAGGAAUUUAUGCAACCCGUGUGGCUAAUUUUCUUAAUAUAUCUCCACGAGAGGGGUAUAUGAUUGUACCUCCUGUUUAUUUGGAUAAAGAAGCUAUGUUUGAUCAUCAUUUUCUUGAGAGGAAUGAACAAUUCCUCCAUUAUCGACUAAUCUAUGAUAGACGCAACGUCAUCCCUGUUACUCUUCCUGCUCCCUACCUUUUUGAUUAUCAGGCAAAAGGAAGAUAUAUAUGUUGUCACUAGGGAAGAAACAACUGGAUAUGAGAGGGGAAUGGAGGCAGCUCGCCAACACGCUGCUACUCAGGAGGCGGUCGCCUCUGCAUCUCAGUACUACCCCAGUUCCACUUAUGGAUAUCAGCCAGGCGGUCCUUGGUAUUAAACCAACUUAGGCCAAAAGCCUAAGCUUGGGGGAGUACGUAUUUCUGACCGACUUUACAUUCAUGUUCACACACUAGUCGUCAGUGCUUAUACUCUUUCAUUGUAUUAUCCAUGCUAGUUUAAAUUUAUUUUUCUAGUUUUCUUCUUAUGUGUUUGAUAAACCUUGAGAAAAAACAAAAAAUAGUUAGUUUAAUUUCCUUGCUUGUAGUAGGAAUUAAAAUGAAAACCCAAAAAGAUUUCUCGUUCUUCUUUUACUUGUUGGGAGCUUUCCCGUGUAAAUAGUUUUAUUUUCGUUUCUUUCCUUUGGGGGUCGAGAAGACCAUAUUGAAAAUGCUUAGUGGCUCUUAUAUGCAUGAUUGUUUAUUUAAUUUAGAGCCCAUAUUACUUGUCCUCUCUCUUGAGUUGAAUGCUUGCAGAUUCCAGCUUAGUCCAAUGCACGUGCGCUCUUAUUAUUAUACACAUCGUUCGGUCAUGCGAGUGAAAGGCAAUAAUGACGAUAUAUGAUGGACUUAUUGGGAUGAGAAAAACUGGUAUGAACUCGACCUCUCUUAUUUUUGUAAAUAUGAUGAUUCAUCGUUCCUGAGUCAGCUAUUAUGAAGUAAACAUAUUUGCAAUGACAUUUAGAGAUUAUAGUUACUUGUGGCAUGCUUGAUUAGCUAUGAGUUAUAAUUGUUUACCUUGCGUGCCAACAUGCUAUUAGAAUGAUUAUGAUGUGGUAUGAUGGGAUGGUAUCCUCCUUUGAAUGAAUUGAGUGACUCGACUUGGCACAUCUUCACACAUGUAGUUGAAUCAAAUCAACAUAGCCUUCAUGAUAUUUAUGUUCAUGGUGGAUUAUAUCCUACUCAUGCUUGUACUCAGUGUGAAUUAAUUUUAGUGCAUGCUUACGACUGUUGUCGCUCUCUCAGUUGGUCGCUUCCCAGUCUUUUGCUAGCCUUCACCUGUACUAAGCGGGAAUACUACUUGUGCAUCCAAAGUCCUUAAACCCCAAAGUUGUUCCAUAUGAGUCCACUAUACCUACCUAUAUGCCGUAUCUACCUUCCGUUCCAAGUAAAUUUGUAUGUGCCAAACUCCAAACCAUCAAAUGAAAUUCUGUUUUGUAUGCUCGAGUAGCUCAUGUUACAACUAGGGCUGCCUAUAUCUUCCAUGCUAGGUGGGUUAUUCUCAAGAGGAGUGGACUCCGCUCCUCAUUCACGAGAAAGGGCCGGUAACCGGGAUGCCCAGUCCCAUGAUCCAAAAAGAUCAAAGCAAAUCAAAAUAAUUAAACAAAACUCCCCCAGGGCUGUUGUAUGUUGGAGGCACUCGUUGUUUCGAGCAAGCCAUGGAUUGAUGCUUGUUGGUGGUUGGGGGAGUAUAAACCUUUACCAUUCUGUUUGGGAACUGCCUAUAAUGCAUGUAGUAUGGAAGAUACAGCCAUCUCAUAGAUGUUGCAUUGAUAGUGAAAGUAUGCCGCUCAAAAUGUUGUUCAAUCUCUAUUUUAAAAUCGAGCUCUGGCACCUUUACAAAUCCCUGCUUCCCUCUGCGAAGGGCCUAUCUAUUUACUUUUAUGUUGAGUCAUCACCCUUCUUAUUAAAAGCACCCGCUGGAGAGCACACUGUCAUUUGCAUUUAUUAUUAUUGGUUUAUAUUGGGUAUGACUUGAUUGGAUCUCUUUUACCAUGAAUUACAAUGUUUAGUCAGUCCUUGAUCUUUAAAGGUGCUCUGCAUUUAUGUUUUGCGGUCUCAGAAAGGGCUAGCGAGAUACCAUUUUGUUAUAUCAUGUUAUAAUUAUUUUGAGAAAGUGUUGUCAUCCGAGUUUUAUUAUUAUGGCUCGCUAGCUGAUUAUGCUAUUGAUAUGAGUGAUUGUGAGAGCUAAGUAUUAUUGUGAGUAUGGUUAGUUCAUAAUAUUUGCUGAAACUUGAAUGCGGGCUUUUUCAUGUUUACAACAACAAGAGCAAACAGAGUUUGUAAAUGUUUUUCUUUAUCACUUUUAGUUUCUCAACUGAAUUGCUGGAGGACAAGCAAAGGUUUAAGCUUGGGGGACUUGAUACGUCUCCAACGUAUCUACUUUUCCAAACACUUUUGCCCUUGUUUUGGACUCUAACUUGCAUGAUUUGAAUGAAACUAACCCGGACCGAUGCUGUUUUCAGCAGAACUGCCAUGAUGUUGUUUUAUGUGUAGAAAAGAAAAGUUCUCGGAAUGUCCAGGAAAUCCAUGGAUUCACUUUUUGGAAUUUAUAAGAAUUUUUGGUGAAAGAAUUAAUGCCAGGGGGCCCACAGCCUGUCCACGAGACAGGGGGGCGCCCCCCGCCUAGGGCGCGGCCUCCUAUCUCGUGGGCCCCCUGGACCUCCUCUGACCUCAACUCCAACUCCAUAUAUUCCGUCUCAGGGAGAAAAAAAACAGAGAGAAAGUUUCAUCGCGUUUUACGACAUGGAGCCGCCGCCAAGCCCUAAUCUCUCUCGGGAGGGCUGAUCUGGAGUCCGUUCAGGGAUCCGGAGAGGGGGAUUCGUAGCCGUCGUCAUCAUCAACCAUCCUCCAUCACCAAUUUCAUGAUGCUCACCGCCAUAUGUGAGUAAUUCCAUCGUAGGCUUGCUGGACGGUGAUGGAUUGGAUGAGAUUUACCAUGUAAUCAAGUUAGUUUUGUUAGGGUUUGAUCCCUAUUAUCCACUAUGUUCUGAGAUUGAUGUUGCUAUGACUUUUCUAUGCUUAAUGCUUGUCACUAGGGCCCGAGUGCCAUGAUUUCAGAUCUGAACCUAUUAUGUUUUCAUGAAUAUAUGUGUGUUCUUGAUCCUAUCUUGCAAGUCUAUAGUCACCUAUUAUGUGUUAUGACCCGACAACCCCGAAGUGACAAUAAUCAAGAUACUUCUCGGUGAUGACCGUAGUUUGAGGAGUUCAUGUAUUCACUAUAUGUUAAUGCUUUGGUCCAUUCCUCUAUUAAAAGGAGGCCUUAAUAUCCCUUAGUUUCCAUGAGGACCCCGCUGCAAUGGGAGGGUAGGACAAAAGAUGUCAUGCAAGUUCUUUUCCAUAAGCACGUAUGAUUAUUUACGGAAUACAUGCCUACAUUACAUUGAUGAAUUGGAGCUAGUUCUAUAUCACCCUAUGUUAUAACUAUUGCAUGAGGAAUCACAUCCGGCAUAAUUAACCAUCAAUGAUCCAUUGCCUACGAGCUUUUCAUAUAUUGUUCUUCGCUUAUUUACUUUUCCGUUGCUACUGUUACAACUACUACAAAACCCAAAAACAUUUAUCUUUACUGUUGCUACAGUUACCUUUAUUAUCAUACCACUUUUGCUACUAAACACUUUGCUGCAGAUACUAAGUUUUCCAGGUGUGGUUGAAUUGACAACUCAACUACUAAUUCUCAAGAAUAUUCUUUGGCUCCCCUUGUGUCAAAUCAAUAAAUUUGGGUUGUACUACACCCUCGAAAGCUGUUGUGAUCCCCUACACUUGUGGGUUAUCAAUGUAGAGGGAUAAACUCAUGCAAUAUGAUAUAAACCCCAUCUUGUUAUCCUCGAUGGCAGCAAUACAAUACGUGCCUUCCUGCCCCUGCUGUCACUGGAAAAGGACACCGCAAGAUUCAACCCAAAGCUAAGCACUUCUCCCAUUGCAAGAAAGAUCAAUCUAGUAGGCCAAACCAAAUUGAUAAUUCAAAGAGACUUGCAAAGAUAACUUAAUCACACAUUAAAGAAUUCAGAGGAGAUUCAAAUAUUUCUCAUGGAUAAACUUGAUCAUAAACCUACAAUUCAUCGGAUCUCGACAAACACACCGCAAAAAGAGUUACAUCAAAUAGAUCUCCACAAGAGAGGGGUAGAACAUGUGAUACGUCUCCAACGUAUCUAUAAUUUUGGAUUGCUCCAUGCUAUAUUAUCUACUGUUUUAGGCAAUAUUGGGCUUUAUUAUCCACUUUUAUAUUAUUUUUGGGACUAACCUAUUAACCGGAGGCCCAGCCCAGAUUUGCUGUUUUAUGCCUAUUUAAGUUUUUCAAGGAAAAUGAAUAUCAGACGGAGUCAAAACGGAACGAAAUCAAUUGGAGAAGUUAUUUUUAGAAGGAAACCCACCUGAUGGACUUGGACCCCACGUCAGAAGAUACGGGAGGUGCUCACGAGGGUGGGGGCGCGCCCACCCCCCUAGGGCGCGCCCCCUGCCUCGUGGGGCCCCCGUAGCUCCACCGAUGUACCCCUUGCACCCAUAUAUACCUACGUACCCUAAAACUUCAAGAACAGAAUAUAGAUCGGGAGUUCCGACACUGCAAGCCUCUGUAGCUACCAAAAAACUCUCGGGAGCCCGUUUCGGCACCCUGCCGGAGGGGGAACCCAUCACCGAUGGCCAUCUUCAUCAUCCCGGCGCUCUCCAUGACAAGGAGGGAGUAGCUCACCCUCGGGGCUGAGGGUAUGUACCAGUAGCUAUGUGUUUGAUCUCUCUCUCUCUCUCUCUCUCUCUCGUGUUCUUGAUUUGGCACGAUCUUGAUGUAUCGCGAGCUUUGCUAUUAUAGUUGGAUCUUAUGUUUCUUCUCCCCCUCUACUCUCUUGUAAUGGAUUAAGUUUCCCCUUUGAAGUUAUGUUAUCGGAUUGAGUCUUUAAAGAUUUGAGAACACUUGAUGUAUGUCUUGCCGUGAUUAUCUGUGGUGACAAUGGGAUAUCAUGUGCCACUUGAUGUAUGUUUUGGUGACCAACUUGUGGAUUCCACCCAUGAAUCUAUGCAUAGGGGUUGGCACAUGUUUUCAUCGUGAUUCUCCGGUAGAAACUUUAGGACACUCUUUGAAGUACUUUUAUGUUGGUUGGAUGAAUCUGAGAUUGUGUGACGCAUAUCAUAUAAUCAUGCCCACAGAUACUUGAGGUGACAAUGGAGUAUCUAGGUGACAUUAGGGUUUUGGUUGAUUUGUGUCUUAAGGUGUUAUUCUAGUACGAACUCUUUUAUAGAUCGAUCCGAAAGAAUAACUUUGAGGUGGUUUCGUACCCUACCAUAAUCUCUAUGUUUGUUCUCCGCUAUUAGUCGCUUCGGAGUGACUCUUUGUUGCAUGCCGAGGGCUUGUUAUAUGAUCUGUCUAUGUUAUUAUUGUUGAGAGAACUUGAACUAGUGAAAGUAUGAACCCUAGGCCUUGUUUCCUAUCAUUGCAAUACCGUUUACGCUCACUUUUACCACUUGUUACCUUGCUGUUUUUAUAAUUUAAGAUUACGAAAACCUUUAUCUACUAUCUAUUUUGCACUUGUAUCACCAUCUCUUCACCGAACUAAUGCACCUAUACAAUUUGCCAUUGUAUUGGGUGUGUUGGGGACACAAGAGACUCUUUGUUAUUUGGUUGCAGGGUUGUUUGAGAGAGACCAUCUUCAUCCUACGCCUCCUACGGAUUGAUAAACCUUAGGUCAUCCACUUGAGGGAAAUUUGCUACUGUCCUACAAACCUGUGCACUUGCAGGCCCAACAACGUGUACAAGAAGAAGGUUGUGUAGUAGACAUCAAGCUCUUUUCUGACGCCGUUGCCGGGGAGUCUAGGUAAAGGGCACUCACUCACACCCCGUCAACUAAGCUCUUUUCUGGCGCCGUUGCCGGGGAGGUUAGCGCUUGAAGGUAUAUCUUUAGAUCUUGCAAUCGAAUCUUUUUGUUUCUUGUUUUAGCCCUAGUUUAGUUUAUAAAAGAAAAUUAAAAAAAAAUGGAGUUAAGUUUGUCACAUACGCUUCACCUUUUUAAUAUCUUUCGUGAGUAUGAUGGAAAGGAAAAUUGUGCUCAAGUACUAGAAGAAGAAUUACAUAGAAUUCUUGGCAUAAAAUAUGUGAAAGAUGAGCAUGAUUGCAAUGAUGUUAGUAUGAAUUCCCUGAAUAUCCAUGAUGCUAAUGAUAUGCAAAGCCACAAGCUUGGGGAAGCUAUGUUUGAUGGAGAUGAUAUUUUUUGUCCCCCAAACUUUGAUGAGAAAAUUUACUAUGAUGAAAGCAUGCCUCCUAUCUAUGAUGAUUAUUGUGAUGACACGUAUGCUUUAAAGAAUAAUGAUAACCAUGAAACUUGUCAUCUUGAUCUUAAUUUUCAAUCAUAUGAUAGUUUUUUUGUUGAGUUUCCUCCCACUACUAUUCAUGAGAAGAAUUUUGCUUAUGUGGAGAAUAGUAAAUUUUCUAUGCUUGUAGAUCAUGAAAAGAAUGCUUCAGGUGCGGUUUAUAUUGUUGAAUUCAUUCAUGAUGCUACUGAAAAUUAUUGUGAGGGAGGAACUUACGCUUGUAGGAAUUGCAAUAAUAUCAAGUUUCCUCUCUAUGUGCUUAAAGUUUUGAAGUUAUGCUUGUUUUGCCUUCCUAUGCUAGUUCAUUAUUGUUCCCAUAAGUUGUUUGCUCACAAAAUCCCUAUGCAUAGGAAGUGUGUUAGGCUUAAAUGUGCUAGUCAUAUGCUUCAUGAUGCUCCCGUUAUGUUUCAAUUCUUAUCUUUUAUGUGAGCAUCAUUGCCAUCAUCAUGCCUAGCUAAAAAGGCAUUAAAGAAAAGCGCUUGUUGGGAGACAACCCAAUAUUUACCCUUACUGUUUUUGUGUGUCCACAUGAUUAUGCUACUGUAGUAAUCAUGUUUUAUAGCUUUUGUUUCAAUAAAGUGCCAAGUAGAACCUUUGGAAAGACUUGGGUGAAGUUUAUGUGAUUUUGCUGUAAAAAACAGAAACUUUUGCGCUCACGAGAUUAGAUGCUAUGUUUUACUGGAGAGUGAUUUUAGGUUGAUUCUUUUUGCAGAUGAUUAAUAGACAAAUUACUCAGGUCCAGAAAUUUAUUUCAUAAUUUUUGGCGUUCCAUAAGUAUAUGUUUGUUACAGAUUAUUACAGACUGUUCUGUUUUUGACAGAUUCUGUUUUCUAUGUGUUGUUUGCUUAUUUUGAUGAAUCUAUGAGUAAUAUCGGAGGAUAUGAACCAUAGAUAAGUUGGAGUAGAGUAGAUAUUACACCAAUAUGAAUUUAGAAUGAGUUCAUUACAGUACCUAAGUGGUUGUUUUAUUUUCUUAUACUAACGGAGCUUACGAGUUUUUUUUUUUAGUUUUGUGUGGUUGAAGUUUUCAAGUUUUGGGUAAAGAUUCGAUGUACUAUGGAAUAAGGAGUGGAAAGAGCCUAAGAUUGGGGAUGCCCAAGGCACCCCUAGGUAAUAUUCAAGGACAACCAAGAGCCUAAGCUUGGGGAUGCCCCGGAUGGCAUCCCCUCCUUCGUCUUUGUUCAUCGGUAACUUUACUUGGAGCUAUAUUUUUAUUCACCACAUGAUAUGUGUUUUGCUUGGAGAGUCAUUUUAUUUUGUUAGUUUUUGCUUGAUGUUAGUUAUAAUAAUGUUUUGCAUCUUUAGUUUCAAUAAAAAGGUCAAGGAUAGCCUUUGCCAUGCUUAUUUUGCCAGUAUUCAUGUUGCUGUUUGAAAACAGAAAGUUUACCACUGUUGCAAAAAUUCCCUAGAAAAGUCAAAGAAUGGUAUAACGUUGAAUCUUUUUGCAUAUUAAGCUCUGAUAAAUAUAUUACAGUGGUAAUUUUAGUUCAUAAUUUUUGGGGUCAGGGAAGUAUUCAUCCUCUUGCAUUCGUUACAGACUAUACUGUUUUGGCAGAUUGCUGUUAUGGUUGCAUUGUUUGCAUAUGUUUGUUUGUUUAAUGAUUCUAUUUGAGGAUAGGAGUAUUAAAUAUACAUAGGCAUUUAUUAUGCAAUGUUUAAUAAUAAUUUUAGUGAUUUUACAGUACAAAAUAAUAAGGUUUUGUAUUGGUUUAUACUAACCUAUCUCACGAGUUCUUGUUGAGUUUGUUGUGAAUGAAGCGUUUGGUAAAAAGAGAAACCAUGAUAUGAGAGGAAUUAAGGAGACACAAAAGUUCAAGCUUGGGGAUGCCAAGGCACCCCAAGAUAAUAUUUCAAGAAGUCUCAAGCAUCUAUGCUUGGGGAUGCCCCGGUAGGCAUCCCACCUUUCUUCUUCAACAACUAUCGGUUAGUAUCGGUUGAGCAUAAGUUUUUGCUUCUUCACAUGAGUCGUGCUAUCCUUGCAAAGUCAUUUGUUUUGUUUUUCUUUCUGUUUGAAUAAGAUACCAAGAUCUGAAAUUCUUUAAUGUUAGAGAGUCUUCACAUAGUUGCACCAUUAUUCGACUACUCAUUGAUCUUCACUUAUAUCUUUCGGAGUAGUUUUUGUUAUUGCUCUAGUACUUCACUUAUAUCUUUUAGAGCUUGGUCGUAGUUUAUUUUGAAGAAAUAUAUGAACUCUCAUGCUUCACUUAUAUUAUUUUGAGAGUCGUUAAUAGCAUGGUAAUUUGCUUAAUAUUAAUAUACUUGGUAUUCAAGAUAUGUGAAACUUUCUUUUGAGUGCGUUGAAUACUAAGAUAAGUUUGAUGCUUGAUAAUUGUUUUGAGAUAUGGAGGUAGUGAUAUUAAAGUGAUGCUAGUUGGGUGAUUAUGAAUUUAAAGAAUGGUUGUGUUGAAGUUUGUGAUUCCCGUAGCAUGCACGUAUGGUGAACCGCUUUGUGAUGAAGUCGGAACAUGAUUUAUUUAUUGAUUGUCUUCCUUAUGAGUGGCGGUCGGGGACGAGCGAUGGUCUUUUCCUACCAAUCUAUCCCCCUAGGAGCAUGCGCGUAAUACUUUGCUUUGAUAACUUGUAGAUUUUUUCAACAAGUUUAUGAGUUCUUUUGCUUAAUGUUGAGUCAAUGGAUUAUACGCACUCUCACCCUUCCACCAUUGCUAGCCUCUCUAAUAGCGCGCACUUUUCGCUGGUAUCAUACACCCACCAUAUACCUUCCUCAAAACAGCCACCAUACCUACCUAUCAUGGCAUUUCCAUGGCCAUUCCAAGAUAUCUUGCCAUGCAACUUUCCACCGUUCCGUUCAUAUGACACACAUUACUUUUGUCAUAUUGCUUUUUGCAUGAACAUGUAGUAGACAUUGUAUUUGUGGCAAAGCCACCGUUCAUAAUUUUCAUAGAUGUUGAUCUUGAUUCAUUGCAUAUCCCGGUACACCGCUGGAGGCAUUCAUAUAGAGUCAUAUUUUGUUCUAAGUAUUGAGUUGUAAUUGUUGAGUUGUAAGAAAAAUAAAAGUGUGACGAUCAUCAUUAUUAGAGCAUUGUCCCAGUGAGGAAAGGAUGAUGGAGACUAUGAUUCCCCCAUAAGUCGGGAUGAGACUCCGGACGAAAAAAAGAGGCCAUAAAAAAAAGAGAAAAGGCCCAAACAAAAAAAACCAAAAAAAAUGAGAGAAAAAGAGAGAAGGGACAAUGUUACUAUCAUUUUACCACACUUGUGCUUCAAAGUAGCACCAUGAUCUUCAUAAUAGAGAGUCUCUCGUUUUAUCACUUUCAUAUACUAGAGGGAAUCUUUCAUUAUAGAACUUGGCUUGUAUAUUACAAUGAUGGGCUUCCUCAAAAUGCCCUAGGUCUUCGUGAGCAAGCGAGAUGGAUGCACACCCACUUAGUUUCUUUUUGUUGAGCUUUCAUAUACUUAUAACUCUAGUGCAUCUGUUGCAUGGCAAUCCCUACUCACUCACAUUGAUAUCUAUUGAUGGGCAUCUCCAUAGCCCGUUGAUACGCCUAGUUGAUGUGAGACUAUAUUCCCUCCUUUUGUCUUCUCCACAACCACCAUUCUAUUCCACAUAUAGUGUUAUGUCCAUGGCUCACGCUCAUGUAUUACGUGAAAGUUGAAAUCGUUUGAGAUUAUUAAAGUAUGAAACGAUUGCUUGGCUUGUCAUUGGGGUUGUGCAUGAUUUAAAUAUUUUGUGUGGGGAAGAUGGAGCAUAGCCAGACUAUAUGAUUUUGUAGGGAUAACUUUCUUUGGACAUGUUAUUUUGAGAAGACAUAAUUGCUUAGUUAGUAUGCUUGAAGUAUUAUUAUUUUUAUGUCAAUAUGUACUUUUGUCUUGAACCUUGUGGAUCUGAAUAUUCAUACUACAAUUAAGAAGAAUUACAUUGAAAUUAUGCCAAGUAGCACUCCGCAUCAAAAAUUCUUUUUUUAUCAUUUACCUACUCAAGGACGAGCAGGAAUUAAGCUUGGGGAUGCUUGAUACGUCUCCAACGUAUCUAUAAUUUUUGAUUGCUCCAUGCUAUAUUAUCUACUGUUUUAGGCAAUAUUGGGCUUUAUUAUCCACUUUUAUAUUAUUUUUGGGACUAACCUAUUAACCGGAGGCCCAGCCCAGAUUUGCUGUUUUAUGCCUAUUUCAGUGUUUCGAAGAAAAGGAAUAUCAGACGGAGUCAAAACAGAACGAAAUCAAUUGGAGAAGUUAUUUUUGGAAGGAAACCCACCUGAUGGACUUGGACCCCACGUCAGAAGAUACGGGACGUGCUCACGAGGGUGGGGGCGCGCCCACCCCCCUAGGGCGCGCCCCCCUGCCUCAUGGGGCCCCUGUAGCUCCACCGACGUACCCCUUGCACCCAUAUAUACCUACGUACCCUAAAACUUCCAGAACAGAAUAUAGAUCGGGAGUUCCGCCGCUGCAAGCCUCUGUAGCUACCAAAAACCUCUCGGGAGCCCGUUCCGGCACCCUGCCGGAGGGGGAACCCAUCACCGGUGGCCAUCUUCAUCAUCCCGGCACUCUCCAUGACGAGGAGGGAGUAGUUCACCAUCGGGGCUGAGGGUAUGUCCCAGUAGCUAUGUGUUUGAUCUCUCUCUCUCUCUCUCUCUCUCUCUCUCUCUCUCUCGUGUUCUUGAUUUGGCACGAUCUUGAUGUAUCGCGAGCUUUGCUGUUAUAGUUGGAUCUUAUAUUUCUUCUCCCCCUAUACUCUCUUGUAAUGGAUUGAGUUUCCCCUUUGAAGUUAUGUUAUCGGAUUGAGUCUUUAAAGAUUUGAGAACACUUGAUGUAUGUCUUGCCGUGAUUAUCUGUGGUGACAAUGGGAUAUCAUGUGCCACUUGAUGUAUGUUUUGGUGACCAACUUGCAGGUUCCACCCAUGAACCUAUGCAUAGGGGUUGGCACACAUUUUCGUCGUGAUUCUCCGGUAGAAAUUUUGGGGCACUCUUGGAAGUACUUUUAUGUUGGUUGGAUGAAUCUGAGAUUGCGUGACACAUAUCGUAUAAUCAUGCCCACGGAUACUUGAGGUGACAAUGGAGUAUCUAGGUGACAUUAAGGUUUUGGUUGAUUUGUGUCUUAAUGUGUUAUUCUAGUACAAACUCUUUUAUAGAUCGAUCCGUAAGAAUAACUUUGAGGUGGUUUCGUACCCUACCAUAAUCUCUACGUUUGUUCUCCACUAUUAUUGGCUUCGGAGUGACUCUUUGUUGCAUGUUGAGGGCUUGUUAUAUGAUCUGUCUAUGUUAUUAUUGUUGAGAGAACUUGCACUAGUGAAAGUAUGAACCCUAGGCCUUGUUUCCUAUCAUUGCAAUACCGUUUACGCUCACUUUUACCACUUGUUACCUUGCUGUUUUUAUAAUUUCAGAUUACAAAAACCUUUAUCUACUAUCUAUUUUGCACUUGUAUCACCAUCUCUUCGCCGAACUAGUGCACCUAUACAAUUUGCCAUUGUAUUGGGUGUGUUGGGGACACAAGAGACUCUUUGUUAUUUGGUUGCAGGGUUGUUUGAGAGAGACCAUCUUCAUCCGACGCCUCCUACGGAUUGAUAAACCUUAGGUCAUCCACUUGAGGGAAAUUUGCUACUAUCCUACAAACAUGUGCACUUGCAGGCCCAACAACGUCUACAAGAAGAAGGUUGUGUAGUAGACAUCAACAUGGUAUUGAGAUCCAAAAAGAGAGAAGAAGCCAUCUAGCUAAUAACUAUGGACCCAAAGGUCUGUGGUAAAUUACUCACAACUCAUUGGAGGGGCUAUGGUGUUGAUGUAGAAGCCCUCCAUGGUCGAUUCCCCCUCCAGCGGAGCGCCGGCGAAGGCUCCAAGAUGGGAGCUCGCGGAUACAAAAGGUUAUAGCGGUGGAAAUUAUUUUUCGUUGGCUCCCUGGAUGUUUUCGGGGUACGUGGGUAUAUAUAGGAGGAAGAAGUAGGUCAGUGGCCGCCCGAGGGGCCCACGAGAUAGGGGGCGCGCCCUCCAUCCUCGUGGCCGCCUUGGCUGCUUCUUGGAUUGCACUCCAAGUCCUCUGGAUCACGUUUGUUCCAAAAAUCACGCUCCCGAAGGUUUCAUUCCAUUUGGACUCCGUUUGAUAUUCCUUUUCUUCGAAAUACUGAAAUAGGCAAAAAAAAACAGCAAUACAGGCUAGGCCUCCGGUUAGUAGGUUAGUCCCAAAAAUGAUAUAAAUGUGUAACUAAAGCCCAUAAACAUCCAAAAGGGGUAAUAUAAUAGCAUGGAACAAUAAAAAAUUAUAGAUACGUUGGAGAUGUAUCAAGCAUCCCCAAGCUUAAUUCCUGCUCGUCCUCGAGUAGGUAAAUAAUAAAAACAUAAUUUUUGAUGUGGAAUGCUACCUAGCAGAAUUCUCAAUGUAAUUUUCUUUAUUGUGGCAUGAAUGUUCAGAUCCAAAUGAUUCAAAAUAAAAGUUCAUAUUGACAUAAGAAAUAUUAAUACUUCAAGCAUACUAAUCAAAGCAAUCAUGUCUUCUCAAAAUAACAUGGCUAAAGAAAGUUCAUCCCUACAAAAUCAUAUAGUUAGGCUAUGCUUCAUUUUCAUCACGUAAAAAUGUUCCCAAAUUCUACACCCCCGAUGACAAGACAAGCAAUUGUUUCGUACUUAAAUAAUCUCAUACUUUUCAACUUUCACGCAAUACAUGAGCGUGAGCCAUGGAUAUAGCACUAUGGGUGGAAUAGAAUAUGAUGAUGGGGAUUGUGUGGAGAAGACAAAAAAAGAGAAAGUCUCACAUUGACGAGGAUAAUCAAUGGGCUAUGGAGAUGCCCAUCAAUUGAUGCCAACAUGAGGAGUAGGGAUUGCCAUGCAACGGAUGCACUAGAGCUAUAAAUGAAUGAAAGCUCAACAAAAGAAAACUAGUGGGUGUGCAUCCAACUUGCUUGCUCACGAAAACCUAGGGCAUUUUGAGGAAGCCCAUCGUAGGAAUAUACAAGCCAAGUUCCAUAAUGAAAAUUUUCCACUAGUAUAUGGAAGUGACAACAUAUGAGACUCACUAUAUGAAGAACAUGGUGCUACUUUGAAGCACAAGUGUGGAAAAAGAGAUAGUAACAUUGCCCCUUUUUAUUUAUUUUCUUUUUUUCCUUUUUUUAUUUUUUUCCUUUUUUUCUUUGGCCUUUUCUUUUUUUUGGCCUUUCUUUUUUUUCUUUUUUUUCUUUUUGGGGACAAUGCUCUAAUAAUGAUGAUCAUCACACUUUUAUUAAUUUACAACACAUGAAUUACAACUCAAAACUAGAAAAAGAUAUGACUCUAUAUGAAUGCCUCCGGCGGUGUACUGGGAUGGUGCAAUGAAUCAAGAGUGACAUGUAUGAAAAAUUAUGCAUGGUGGCUUUUCCACAAAUACGAUGUCAACUACAUGAUCAUGCAAUGGCAAUAUGACAAUAGUAAUGCGUAUCAUGAUGAUAAACGGAACGGUGGAAAGUUGCAUGGCAAUAUAUCUCGGAAUGGCUAUGGAAAUGCCAUAAUAGGUAGGUAUGGUGGUUGUUUUGAGGAAGAUAUGAGGAGGUUUAUGUGUGAUAGAGUGUAUCAUAUCAUGGGGUUUGGAUGCACCGGCGAAGUUUGCACCAACUCUCAAGGUGAGAAAGGGCAAUGCAUGGUACCGAAGAGGCUAGCAAUGAUGGAAAGGUAAAAGUGUGUAUAAUCCAUGGACUCAACAUUAGUCAAAAGAACUCAUAUACUUAUUGCAAAAAUUUAGAAGUCAUCAAAAACCAAGCACUACGCGCAUGCUCCUGGAGGGAUAGAUUGGUAGGAAAAGACCAUCGCUCGUCCCCGACCACCAAUCAUAAGGAUGCACAAUUCAAGUACACUUCAUGUUUCAAAUUUGUUACACAACUUUAACCAUACGUGCAUGCUACGGGACUUGCUAAAUUUAACACAAGCAUUUUUUAAAUUCAUAAUCCCCCAACUAGCAUGACUUUAAUAUCACUACACUAGUAGAAAAGGGGACAAAGGUCCAGGCCAGGUCAGCCCAUUAGUCCCGGUUCAGUCCAGAACCGGGACCCAUGGGGGCAUUGGACCCGUUUCGUGAGCCCCGGGGGCUGGCCAGGCCACGUGGGCCAUUGGUCCCGGUUCGUCUGGACCUUUUGGUCCCGGUUGGUGGAACGAACCGGGACCAAUGGGCCUCACUCCUGGCCCACCACCAUUGGUCCCGGUUGGUGGCUUGAACCGGGACCAAAGGCUGCCCUUUAGUCCCGGUUCAUGCCACCAACCGGGACCAAUGAGGUACCUAUAUAUACCCCCUCGCGUAAGAGCAGAUCACACUGCUCUGUUUUUUCUGGCCGCCGAGGGGGAGAGGGCUUGGUGGUGCUCUAGCUCACAUCCUAUGCACACAAGGUGUUCGAUGGAAUGCCCGAGCCACACUACUUAAUCUUUCUCCUCUCCAAGCUCGACAUCCAAGCUCCAUUUUCCUCAAUAUUUGUCUAGGUUUAGCGGUCCGUCACGCCCCGUCCCCGUCUUCACCGUCGUCGAUCACUCGUGCUGAUCUCAUCGCCGACACCCCCAUGGUGAUCCUCUUGUUUUUAUCUUCUUUCUGAAAGAAAAAAUAUUCUUACUUGUAUGUUUAGAUAGAUACUUGUAUUAUUUUCUUACUUUUAUUAUGGCAUCUUAUAUAGUGCGAUGGUUUUGGUAUCCGCCCCCAUCGGCCCUCGUCCUGUCUAUGAUUCAGAUGCGGUAUAUAUUAUCUUUUCAUAACUAUUGGUUCAUUUGUUGUUUAUGACAAUUAUGCCAACCAACGUGACAUAGAUUUUAUUUAUCUAGGAGGUUGUUGAACCAGAAAUUCCAACCGACCCUAUUGUCGAGAGGUUAAAUUUAGUUGAAGAAGAAAACAAUUUCAUGAAGGAAAAAAUAAGAAAAAUUGAGGAGAAGAUGAUAUUGGAGUUGCAUGUUGCGGAUGUCGUCGAUGAUAACAAGAUCAAGAUGGAUGCAAUGCGCUUGAAGAUUAGAAGGAUUAGAAAAUAUGCCAUUCAUACCGAGUCUUGGUAUCAUUACGCUGUUGGAUCAGUUGUUACCUUGGUUGCAAUUAUGAUCGCAUUUGUUUUCGCAUUGAAAUGUUUUACAUAGUUUCAAUGUAUGGUUUAAUUAAUUUAGAUGCUCUGUAGAGCUUUAUGUUGUUAGAUGAGAACUAUGUAUGUACUUUGGUUUUAAUGUGAUGAUGAACUUCUAUUAAUUUGAUCACUUAGCUAUCUAUUCAUGAUGUUCUAUAAUGAUUUUUGAUACACUUAAUUAUAUAUAAUGCACGCAGAUGAACCGGUAAUGGAUGUACGGUAACAGACACACCUCCGAGUACAUUAAGGGCGUGCAUGAUUUUCUCGAAGUGGCUGAGGUAAACAAGCAGAAUGGUUUUAUGUGUUGUCCAUGCCUUAUAUGUGGGAAUAGGAAGUCUUACUCUGACCAGAAAAUCCUUCACACCCACCUGCUUUACAAGGGUUUCAUGCCACACUAUAAUGUUUGGACGAGGCACGGAGAAAUAGGGGUUAUGAUGGAAGACGGCGAAGAAGAAGAGUACGAUGACAACUAUGUGCCCCCUGAAUACGGUGAUGUUAUUGAACAUCAAGAGGAACCAGAAGAUGUGCACGAUGAUGUUGCAAUGGGCGAAGCUGCUGAAGAUCAAGAGGAACCAGACGAUGUGCCCGAUGAUGAUGAUCUCCGCCGGGUCAUUGUCGAUGCAAGGACGCAAUGCGAAAGUCAAAAGGAGAAGCUGAAGUUCGAUCACAUGUUAGAGGAUCACAAAAAAGGGUUGUACCCCAAUUGCGAAGAUGGCAACACAAAGCUCGGUACCAUACUGGAAUUGCUGCAAUGGAAGGCAGAGAAUGUUGUGCCUGACAAAGGAUUUGAGAAGCUAGUGAAAAUAUUGAAGAAGAAGCUUCCAAAGGAUAACGAAUUGCCCGACAGUACAUACGCAACAAAGAAGGUCGUAUGCCCUCUAGGAUUGGAGGUGCAGAAGAUACAUGCAUGCCCUAAUGACUGCAUCCUCUACCGUGGUGCGUACAAGGAUCUGAACGCAUGCCCGGUAUAUGGUGCAUUACGGUAUAAGAUCAGAUGAGAUGACCUUGGUGAUGUUGACGGCGAGCCCCCCAGGAAGAGGGUUCCUGCGAAGGUGAUGUGCUAUGCUCCUAUAAUACCACGGUUGAAACGUCUGUUCAGAAACGGAGAGCAUGCCAAGUUGAUGCGAUGGCACAGUGAGGACCGUAAGAAAGACGGGAAGUUGAGAGCACCCGCUAACGGGUCGCAGUGGUGAAAAAUCGAGAGAAUGUACUGGGAUGAGUUUGCAAGUGACCCAAGGAACGUAUGGUUUGCUUUAAGCGCGGAUGGCAUUAAUCCUUUCGGGGAGCAGAGCAGCAAUCACAGCACCUGGCCCGUGAAUCUAUGUAUGUAUAACCUUCCUCCUUGGAUGUGCAUGAAGCGGAAGUUCAUUAUGAUGUCAGUUCUCAUCCAAGGCCCUAAGCUACCCAACAACGAUAUAGAUGUGUACCUAAGACCAUUAGUUGAAUAACUUUUACAGCUGUGGAGUGGGAACGGUGUACGUACGUGGGAUGAGCACAAAAAGGAGGAAUUUGACCUAAAGGCGUUGCUGUUCGUGACCAUCAACGAUUGGCCCGCUCUUAGUAACCUUUCAGGACAGACAAACAAGGGAUACCAUGCAUGCACACACUGUUUACUUGACACCGAUAGUAUAUACCUGGAAAAGCUGCAGGAAGAAUUUGUACCUGGGCCAUCGUCGAUUUCUUCCGACCAACCAUCAAUGUUGAAAGAAAGGCAAGCAUUUCAAAGGCGAGGCAGAUCACUGGAAGAAGCCCGCCAUGUGUACCGGUGAUCACGUACUUGCUAUGGUCAAUGAUUUACACGUAAUCUUUGGAAAGGGUCCCGACGCACUAGCUGUUCCGAAUGAAGUUGAGGGACACGCACCCAUGUGGAAGAAGAAAUCUAUAUUUUGGGACCUACCCUACUGGAAAGACCUAGAGGUCCGCUCUUCAAUCGACAUGAUGCACGUGACGAAGAACCUUUGCGUGAACCUACUAGGAUUCUUGGGCGUGUAUGGAAAGACAAAAGAUACACCUGAGGCAUGGGAGGACCUGCAAUGUUUGCACGAAAAAGACGGCAUGCCUCCGAAGUAGUAUGAAGUUCCCGCCAGCUACGCUCUUAUGAAAGAAGAGAAAGAAAUCUUCUUUGAAUGCCUGCUUACUAUGAAGGUCCCGACUGGCUUCUCGUCUAAUAUAAAGGGAAUAAUAAAUAUGCCAGAGAAAAAGUUCCAGAACCUAAAGUCUCAUGACUGCCACGUGAUUAUGACGCAACUGCUUCCGGUUGCAUUGAGGGGGCUUCUAUCGGAAAACGUCCGAUUAGCCAUUGUGAAGCUAUGUGCAUUCCUCAAUGCAAUCUCUCAGAAGGUGAUUGAUCUAGAAAACAUAGCAAGGCUAAGGAGUUAUGUGGCGCAAUGUCUUGUCAAUUUCGAGCUGGUGUUCCCACCAUCCUUCUUCAAUAUCAUGACGCACAUCCUAGUUCAUCUAGUCGACGAGAUUGUCAUUCUGGGGCCCGUAUUUCUACACAAUAUGUUCCCCAUUGAGAGGUUCAUGGGAGUCCUACAGAAAUAUGUCCGUAACCACGCUAGGCCAGAAGGAAGCAUCUCCGUGGGCCAUCAAACAGAGGAUGUCAUCGGGUUUUGUGUUGACUUCAUUCCUGGCCUUAAGAAGAUAGGUCUCCAUAAAUCGCGGUAUGAGGGGAGACUGACUGGAAAAGGCACGCUUGGAAGGGACUCAAUAAUAUGCAGGGACGGAUAUUCUUGGUCUCAAGCACACUACACAGUUCUACAGAACUCUACCUUGGUGACCCCGUAUGUCGAUGAACACAAGAACAGUCUGCGCUCCAAACACCCGGAGCAGUGCGACGACUAGAUUACAUGUGAACACAUUAGGACUUUCAGCAGUUGGUUGGAAACACAUCUCAGAGGUGACAACGCUGUUUGUGAUGAGUUGUACUUGUUGUCCAGGGGACCAUCUUUGACUGUUACGAUUUGGAAAGGAUAUGAGAUAAAUGGGAAUAUAUUUUACACGAUUGACCAAGAUCAAAAGGGCACCAACCAAAACAGCGGUGUCCGCUUUGAUGCAACAACCGAGAGGGGAAAGGACACAUAUUAUGGUUACAUAGUGGACAUAUGGGAACUUGACUAUGGACAUGAUUUUAAGGUCCCUUUGUUUAAGUGCAAAUGGGUCAAUCUGUCAGGAGGCGGUGUACAGUGGAUCUGAAAAAUCUUGGGUACACUAACGAACUGUUCGUCCUAGCCAAUGAUGUCGCACAGGUUAUCUAUGUGAAGGACAUGUCUACCAGACCGAGAAAAAGAAAAGAUAGGGAAGCGAAUACAUCAUACGAUGAGCCAAAGCGCCACAUAGUUCUUUUAGAGAAAAGGGACAUCGUGGGAGUGGAGGGCAAGACAGACACGUCUGAAGAUUAUGAAAAGUUUCAUGAAAUUCCUCCCUUCAAAGUCAAGGCUGACCCAAGCAUCCUGAUAAACGAUGAAGAUUAUCCAUGGUUACGGUGCAAUAAGCAAAUGACACAAGGGAAGAAAAAGUCAAGACUUUCUCCCGCAACUAUUAUGAUGAUACCAUGCCAACUUUGUAACAGACGAGUAUGAUACCAUUCUCCGUUUUGUACAUGUACAUGCUAUGUGGGUGAAAUUAUGAUACCAUGCCAACUUUCAACUUUUUCAGAGUUCAUUUGAAAUGCUUUAAUGUCUUAUGGUUCGGCCGUCGUAAUACCAUUAAUCAAGGUUCGCUCCUUGUCAACUAUGUUCUCACCAAGAACACUCUCAAGAGGGCAGCCACAUGGGCCAUUGGUCCCGGUUCGUCUGGACCUUUUGGUCCCGGUUCCACGCACGAACCGGGACCAAUGCACCUCGCCCGGGACCAUGACCAUUAGUGCCGGUUUGUGCCACAAACCGUGACUAAAGGGUUGGUACUCGUUUCGCUCAGAGUUUAGUCCCACCUCGCCAACCGAAGGGUGCUCACACCAGUUUAUAAGCCCGUCCCACUCUGCCUUGUUGAGCUCCUCUCAAAGUGAAAAUAGAUGCCCCUGUACAGGGAAUUUGACCUAAAAUCAUAGUGAAUUUCUCUGAAAUUCAUAGAAAUUUAUUAUGAAUUUAGGUUGAAUUUUCUCUAUUGGCGCAUCUAUGUUCAUUUUUUUAGUAAAGUUAAUCACAAACUUGUGAUUCACACAAAUUUCAAAGAAUUCAAAUUUUAACUAUUCAAAUUUGAAAACUAAUGGCACUAAUAGAAAGUUUAUAAUUUUUCUAAAACUAAUGGCACUAACAAAAAGUUUAUAAUUUUCCUGACCUAAAAGCAAAAAGAAUUAAAAAUAAUGCAAAAAACAAAAGAAAAUAAAUAAUGCAGAAAACAAAACAAAAAAACAGGAAACAAAAUAAAAAUAGCAACAAUAAUUAUUUUUUUGUAAGUAGAAACAAAAUAAAAUAAAUAAAGCAACAAACGAAGAAAACAAAAAAGGGUUUUCAAAUUUGAAAACUAAUGGCACUAAUAGAAAGUUUAUAAUUUUUCUAAAACUAAAAGCAAAAAAGAAUUAAAAAAUAAAGAAAAAAACAAAAGAAAAUAAAUAAUGCAGAAAACAAAACAAAAAAACUGGAAAAAAAUAAAAAUAGCAACAAUAAGUAAAGAAAACAAAAAACAAAAAAAGUGCCUCCUACUAGGCCCCCACGACCUGAAUACGACUAGAAACCCAACAAUGGGCCAGGAUUUAGGCCCGCAGUAAGCCCAGUAGGCCCACAGGCACAUAGAGACAGAUUAGGCCCGAAAGCCUGAUUUAGAGAGGAGCUCGAGAGGGUUGGCACAUCGCACCUUAUAAACAGGUGCGUCUCUCUCUCAGCUAGCGAGGUGGGACUAAACUCCCACCACCACGCCGUUGUGCAAGGCCCAUUGGUCCCGGUUGGAGCUACCAACCGGUACCAAUGCCCCCCCCCUUUAGUCUCGGUUGGUGCCACCAACCGGGACCAAAGGGCGCCGCUUCCCGCACUUUGGGAUGCUGAAAACUGGCCUUUCGUCCCGGUUGGUGGCACGAACCGGGACCAAAGGGGGCAUUCGUCCCGGUUUGUGCCACAAACCGGGACCAAAGCCUUUCCUAUAUAACCAAACACUUGGGAAAUUUCCCCCACCCGCCAUUCUNNNNNNNNNNNNNNNNNNNNNNNNNNNNNNNNNNNNNNNNNNNNNNNNNNNNNNNNNNNNNNNNNNNNNNNNNNNNNNNNNNNNNNNNNNNNNNNNNNNNNNNNNNNNNNNNNNNNNNNNNNNNNNNNNNNNNNNNNNNNNNNNNNNNNNNNNNNNNNNNNNNNNNNNNNNNNNNNNNNNNNNNNNNNNNNNNNNNNNNNNNNNNNNNNNNNNNNNNNNNNNNNNNNNNNNNNNNNNNNNNNNNNNNNNNNNNNNNNNNNNNNNNNNNNNNNNNNNNNNNNNNNNNNNNNNNNNNNNNNNNNNNNNNNNNNNNNNNNNNNNNNNNNNNNNNNNNNNNNNNNNNNNNNNNNNNNNNNNNNNNNNNNNNNNNNNNNNNNNNNNNNNNNNNNNNNNNNNNNNNNNNNNNNNNNNNNNNNNNNNNNNNNNNNNNNNNNNNNNNNNNNNNNNNNNNNNNNNNNNNNNNNNNNNNNNNNNNNNNNNNNNNNNNNNNNNNNNNNNNNNNNNNNNNNNNNNNNNNNNNNNNNNNNNNNNNNNNNNNNNNNNNNNNNNNNNNNNNNNNNNNNNNNNNNNNNNNNNNNNNNNNNNNNNNNNNNNNNNNNNNNNNNNNNNNNNNNNNNNNNNNNNNNNNNNNNNNNNNNNNNNNNNNNNNNNNNNNNNNNNNNNNNNNNNNNNNNNNNNNNNNNNNNNNNNNNNNNNNNNNNNNNNNNNNNNNNNNNNNNNNNNNNNNNNNNNNNNNNNNNNNNNNNNNNNNNNNNNNNNNNNNNNNNNNNNNNNNNNNNNNNNNNNNNNNNNNNNNNNNNNNNNNNNNNNNNNNNNNNNNNNNNNNNNNNNNNNNNNNNNNNNNNNNNNNNNNNNNNNNNNNNNNNNNNNNNNNNNNNNNNNNNNNNNNNNNNNNNNNNNNNNNNNNNNNNNNNNNNNNNNNNNNNNNNNNNNNNNNNNNNNNNNNNNNNNNNNNNNNNNNNNNNNNNNNNNNNNNNNNNNNNNNNNNNNNNNNNNNNNNNNNNNNNNNNNNNNNNNNNNNNNNNNNNNNNNNNNNNNNNNNNNNNNNNNNNNNNNNNNNNNNNNNNNNNNNNNNNNNNNNNNNNNNNNNNNNNNNNNNNNNNNNNNNNNNNNNNNNNNNNNNNNNNNNNNNNGGGGGUCGAUAUACCCGCUCCCAAUAACUUCAACACAUGGGGGGGGUCGAUAUACCCCCUCCCCGAUAAUAUUAUUUUCCUAUGUACGUAUGUCGUCGUUGUCGAUAUAAACCCCUCCCGAUAACUUCAACAUGUGGGGGGUCGAUAUACCUCCUCCUGAUAACUUCAACACAUGGGGGGGGUCGAUAUACCCCCUCCCCGAUAACAUUAUUUUCCCGUGUAUGUAUCUCGUCGUUGUCGAUAUUACCCCCUUGAAGCAUUGUCGAGGCCACCCCAAACCCUAGAGAAGCAGCGUCGAGGCCACUAAUUAAUAUGAUUCCUUACUGUGAUUAGCUAACUAGUUCUACGUUUGCCACUAAUAUAUCCAUAUAUGUCAUGUUUGAAUAAUAGUUGCCAUGUUGUAAAUAUUUGUAGAAACUAUGGACACCCCCCGAGAUGAAGCAACAGAAGCGAUGUUGGGGGAGAUAAUCGCACAUGGAAGUGAUGCCGUCUUAUCGUUUCUAAAUGACACCAAUGGUCUGGAAGGACAGGGUGAAGAAGCAGGCAAUUAUGAUGGCUCCUUUGACCCAAUGCCGGUGCAAGGAGACCAUGAGGACGGCUCCAGUGACCCAAUGAUGGUGCAAGAAGGAGACUGUGAUGACGGCUCCGGUGACCGAACCGAGUCUGGCCAGGUAUAUAUAUUAGUUAAGCCUGUACUGACUAGCUAAUUGAUGCAUUCAUUGUUUUGGUAUAUGUACACAUAUUAAUUAACUCUCGUCUUUCUUCUUUUUUCUAGCCCUCCGGAUCGAGCACAACUUCAGUAAGGAGACGAGACCCGAAGAAAAAGUUGAGCUCGGAUGAAAGGUUUGAGAUCACAGCAAUCACGCGCGACGACGAACCGAUUGAACCCAUCCGGACAAAGAACGCAUUUUCUGCUCAGUGCGGGGUUCUUGUUAGGGACAAGAUCCCGAUCAGCAUCCACCAAUGGUAUAAGACUAAGGAGGAAGACCCUGAGGUGUCUUAUGUCAAUGAUAUGCAGAAAGAUGAUCUUUGGACUGAGCUGAAGGCAAAUUUCACCCUACCGCCAGAGGAGGAUCUGGAGAAGCCAGUUAAAGAGCAAUUAAUCAAGUCUUGUGAUCUUAAGAAGAUGGCAGGCCUAUUCAGGAGGUGGAGGAAAGAGCUAAAAAAGUUUGUCGACAAAGAAGAGACACUAGAAUUCAUCGACAAAUAUGAGAAGAUCAGAUAUCACUGGCCCGCAUUUGUGGCCCACAAGACAUCGGAAAAAGAGUAAGAAGAUGUCGGCGACAAACAAGCAAAAUUCUGUGAAGAAGAAGUUUCACCAUCGCACGGGGUCAGGUGGCUACCUCAAAGCCCAGCGUAAGUGGUCCAAGGCUGAGAAUGAUCUGCUUGAUAAAGGGAUCGAACCAGAGACAAUGAACUGGCCAGACCAUUGCUGGACUUGGUUCUUCGGGGCUGGCGGAAUCUUGGACCCUGUAUCAUGGAAGUGCCAUUGCACGGACGAGCAACUGAAAAUAACAGUCAAUAGGCUUCGGCACUAUAUCGAUGCAGCGCAGCAAGGGACGUUCGUUCCAGACAGGGAGAAGGACGAGCACACAAUGGCCCUUGGGAAUCCUGAGCACCCUGGACGGACACGAGGCACGCCAGGCUCCAUUCCAUGGAAGGUUGGUUUUCCGGACGCAGGCGGUUACAAAUGCCAUGAGAGGAGGAAGAAAGUGGAGCAUAGCCAACUGGAGGCGCUGCACGCAAGGGUACAAGGGCUAGAGGAACGAGAAGCAUAUCACAGCAAACGACCUGCCGAAGCUUCCCCCGAAGCUACCCCGCCAUCUCAGCGGAGAAGCAGCGUGGCUUCCACCGAGUUGCUUCAGCCGGAGCAUGUCUUGAUGGCUCCUGCUAGCUACCCCAUGGAUUUUAUCACGGAGUCUCAAAAUUUCCACCUUAUGAUGCAAUGGCAGAACUUAAAAGUCAAGGCGGCUGUCGGCCAAGUUUGACCUUCUGAACCCGGCGCAACUUUUCACUGUCUUACGAUUACAGAAGGAUAUGCUAGGGUGAUGGUGGAAAAAUAACGGAGGGAUUUGAGGACCCUACCGGUGAAGGGGAGACUCGGCUGGGUUCUGCUCUGAAGACUCCAUGCCUAUGGAGGAAGGAGUUCAUGAAGCUUCCGAACUGGACGCCUCCUCCUCCUCCUCCGGCGAGUCAGGGCACUCCGCCUCCUCCACCGCCUACUCCUCCGGCGAGUAACGAUCAGGGCACUCGGCCUCCUUCUCCGGCGCGUGGCGGCACUCCGCCUCCUUCUCCGCCUGUGCCGGCGCGCCCGAGCAGCCAGCAGCCUCCUCCUUCUCCACCUCGCCAGCAAGGGCGGAAGAGAUCCGUCACCGCACUGGCUACUCCGGCGCGUCGUAGUACUUCUCCUCCGCCUCGUAAGCAAGCACGAAAGAAGACAAACGCUGCAGCCGCUCUGUCUGCUCCGGUGUCUAGCAGUACAGCCAGCAGAGGUGGGAGGCAAUACAUAUAUAGUCCUUCUCUCAAGCCUCUAGUGAAGUUACCGUACGAGAGGACCAAGGAGGAAAACGCGAAGAUCGUGCGGACCGAAGUGGAGGACUUCUUUAAAGGCUUGAAAGCAAAGAGACAUCCACCUCCGGAGGAGAAGGUAGAUCUAGUGAAAGCAAAGCGCACUAUCGAUGCCCUGAGGAAACCACCAAAGUCUCCAUCGAGAACCAACUAUGAGCGCAAUACUGAACAGGCAUAUCUCGCAGCGGAGCGGUGGGGAAGUACUGUCAGUGAUCGAAGGUUAAAAGAACGAGCAACUAAGAAAAAAAUUGCCCAGCUCGACGAACAAGCAAAUCAAUCGUAGCCCCCGCUCAAUGUGUCUAGCGGCGACAUCAUCGCUAAUGCUCCGGGGAUGGUGCCCAGUUAUAACAAUCUUGCAGAUUACCUGCCUGAUGAUACGUCCAUUUUGCAUCAUGCUUUUAUAUCAAUAUUUAUUGCAUUAUGGGAUGUUAUUACACAUUAUAUCUCAAUACUUAUCUGUUGGAAAUAUGCCCUAGAGGCAAUAAUAAAAUGAUUAUUAUUAUAUUUCCUUGUUCAUGAUAAUUGUCUAUUAUUCAUGCUAUAAUUGUGUUAUCCGGAAAUCAUAAUACAUGUGUGAAUACAUAGACCACAACAUGUCCCUAGUGAGCCUCUAGUUGACUAGCUCAUUGAUCAACAGAUAGACAUGGUUUCCUGAUUAUGGACAUUGGAUGUCAUUGAUAACGGGAUCACAUCAUUAGGAGAAUGAUGUGAUGGACAACACCCAAUCCUAAGCAUAGCACAAGAUCGUGUAGUUCGUUUGCUAGAGCUUUUCCAAUGUCAAGUAACAUUUCCUUAGACCAUGAGAUCAUGUAACUCCCGGAUACCGUAGGAGUGCUUUGGGUGUACCAAACGUCACAACGUAACUGGGUGACUAUAAAGGUAUACUACAGGUAUCCCCGAAAGUGUCUGUUGGGUUGACACGGAUCGAGACUGAGAUUUGUCACUCCGUAUGACGGGGAGGUAUCUCUGGGCCCACUCGGUAACGCAUCAUCAUAAUGAGCUCAAUGUGACCAAGUGGUUGGUCACGGGAUCAUGCAUUAUGGUACGAGUAAAGUGACUUGCCGGUAACGAGAUUGAACGAGGUAUUGGGAUACCGACGAUCGAAUCUCGAGCAAGUAACGUACCGAUUGACAAAGGGAAUAGUAUACGGGAUUAAUUGAAUCCUCGACAUCGUGGUUCAUUCAAUGAGAUCAUCAUGGAACAUGUGGGAGACAACAUGUGUAUCCAGAUCUCGCUGUUGGUUAUUGGCUGGAGAGCUGUCUCGGUCAUGUUUGCGUGAUUCCCGAACCCGUAGGGUCUACACACUUAAGGUUCGGUUACGCUAGGGUUGUAGAGAUAUUAGUAUGCGGUAAUCCAAAAUUGUUCGGAGUACCGGAUGAGAUCCCGGAUGCCACGAGGAGUUCCGGAAUGGUCCGGAGGUAAAGAUUUGUAUAUGGGAAGUCCAGUUUCGGCCACCGAGAAAGUUUCGGGGGUCACCGGUAUUGUACCGGGACCAACAGAAGGGUCCCGGGGGUCCACCGGGUGGGGCCACCUAUCCCGGAGGGCCCUAUGAGCUGAAGUGGGAAGGUAACCAGCCCCUGAUGGGAUGGUGCGCCCCCUUGGGCCUCCCCCUGUGCCUAGGGUUGGAAACCCUGGGGGUGGGGGCGCCCCACCUGACUUGGGGGGCAAGUCCCNNNNNNNNNNNNNNNNNNNNNNNNNNNNNNNNNNNNNNNNNNNNNNNNNNNNNNNNNNNNNNNNNNNNNNNNNNNNNNNNNNNNNNNNNNNNNNNNNNNNNNNNNNNNNNNNNNNNNNNNNNNNNNNNNNNNNNNNNNNNNNNNNNNNNNNNNNNNNNNNNNNNNNNNNNNNNNNNNNNNNNNNNNNNNNNNNNNNNNNNNNNNNNNNNNNNNNNNNNNNNNNNNNNNNNNNNNNNNNNNNNNNNNNNNNNNNNNNNNNNNNNNNNNNNNNNNNNNNNNNNNNNNNNNNNNNNNNNNNNNNNNNNNNNNNNNNNCCCCCUAUAUAAAGAGGGGGGAGGGAGGGCUGCGUACCCUAGCCCCUGGCGCCUCCCUCUCCCCCAUAACACCUCUCCCUCUCGCUGAGCUUGGCGAAGCCCUGCCGAGAUCCCUGCUACUUCCACCACCACUUCGUCAUGCUGCUGGAUCUCCAUCAACAUCUCCUUCCCCCUUUCUAGAUCAAGAAGGAGGAGAUGUCUUCCCCAACCGUACGUGUGUUGAAUGCGGAGGUGCCGUCUGUUCGGCACUAGGAUAUUCAGUGAUUUGGAUCACGACGAGUACGACUCCAUCAACCCCGUUCUCUUGAACGCUUCCGCUCGCGAUCUACAAGGGUAUGUAGAUGCACUCCUCUCUCUUGUUGCUAGAUGACUCCAUAGAUUGAUCUUGGUGAAGCGUAGAAAAUUUUUAUUUUCUGCAAGGUUCCCCAACAGUGGCAUCAUGAUCUAGGUUUAUGCAUAGUUUCUAUGCACGAGUAGAACACAAUUUUGUUGUGGGCAUAGAUUUUGUCAAUUUACUUGCCACUACUAGUCUUAUCUUGUUUCAGUGGCACCAUGGGAUGAAGCGGCCCGGACCGACCUUACACGUACGCUUAUGUGAGACAGGUUCCACCGACUGACAUGCACUAGUUGCAUAAGGUGGCUAGCGGGUGUCUGUCUCUCCCACUUUAGUCGGAUCGGAUUCGAUGAAAAGGGUCCUUAUGAAGGGUAAAUAUAAAUUGGCAUAUCACGUUGUGGUUUUGAUGUAGGUAAGAAUCGUUCUUGCUAGAGCCCUAUAGCAGCCACGUAAAACUUGCAACAACAAUUAGAGGACGUCUAACUUGUUUUUGCAGCAUAUGCCUUGUGAUGUGAUAUGGCCAAAAGGAUGUGAUGAAUGAAUUAUAUGUGAUGUAUGAGAUUGAUCAUGUUCUUGUAAUAAGAAUAACGACUUGCAUGUCGAUGAGUAUGACAACCGGAAGGAGCCAUAAGAGUUGUCUUUAUUUAUUGUAUGACCUGCGUGUCAUGGAAUAACGCCAUGUAAUUACUUUACUUCUUUGCUAAACCAUUAGCUAUAGUAGUAGAAGUAAUAGUUGGCGAACAACUUCAUGGAGACACGAUGAUGGAGAUCAUGGUGUCAUGCCGGUGACAAUGAUGAUCAUGGCGCCCCGAAGAUGGAGAUCAAAAGGAGCAAAAAAUGAUAUUGGCCAUAUCAUGUCACUAUUUGAUUGCAUGUGAUGUUUAUCAUGCUUUUGCGUCUUAUUUGCUUAGAACGAUGGUAGUAAAUAAGAAGAUCCCUCAUAAUAAUUUCAAGGAAGUGUUCCCCCUAAUUGUGCGCCAUUGCGAAAGUUCGUUGUCUCGAAGCACCACGUGAUGAUCGGGUGUGAUAGAUCCUAAAGUUCACAUACAAUGGGUGUAAGCCAGAUUUACACAUGCAAAACACUUAGGUUGACUUGACGAGCCUAGCAUGUACAGACAAGGCCUCAGAACACAAGAGACCGAAAGGUCGAACAUGAGUCGUAUAGAAGAUCGGACACGGCCUAGUUGAAUCGGAUCAUGGAUCACUUAGAUGACUAGAGGGAUGUCUAUCUGAGUGGGAGUUCAUUAAAUAAUUUGAUUAGAUGAACUUAAUUAUCAUGAACUUAGUCUAAAACUUUUGCAAUAUGUCUUGUGGAUCAAAUGGCCCACGCUAAUGUUGCCCUCAACUUCAACGCGUUCCUAGAGAAAACCAAGCUGAAAGACGAUGGCAGCAACUAUACGGACUGGGUCCGGAGCUUGAGGAUCAUCCUCAUAGCUGCGAAAAGAGCAUAUGUCCUAGAUGCACCGUUAGGUGAAGCACCCGUUUUCCCCGCAACUCAAGAUGUUAUGAACGCCUGGCAGUCGCGUGUUGAUGACUACUCCCUCGUUCAGUGCGGCAUGCUUUACAUCUUAGAACCGGGGCUCCAAAAGCGUUUUGAGCAACACAGAGCAUAUGAGAUGUUCGAAGAACUGAAAAUGGUUUUCCAAGCUCAUGCCCGGGUCGAGAGAUAUGAAGUCUCUGACAAGUUCUACAGUUCUAAGAUGGAGGAAAAUAGUUCUAUCAUUGAGCACAUACUCAAAAUGUCUGGGUUGCACAACCGCUUGUACCAGCUGGACAUUAACCUCCCGAAUGAGGCGGUCAUUGACAGAAUCCUUCAGUCGCUCCCACCUAGCUACAACAGCUUUGUGAUGAACUACAAUAUGCAGGGGAUGGUGAAAACUAUUCCUGAGGUAUUUUCAAUGCUGAAAUCAGCGGAGGUGGAAAUCAAAAAGGAACAUCAAGUGUUGAUGGUCAAUAAAACCACUAGUUUCAAGAAAGGCAAGGGUAAAAAGAACUUCAAGAAGGACGGCAAGGGAGUUGCCGCGCCCGGUAAUCCAGUUGCCGAGAACAAGCCAAAGCAUGGACCCAAACCUGAGACUGGGUGCUUUUAUUGCAAGGGAAACGGACACUGGAAGCGGAACUGCCCCAAGUACUUAGCGGACAAGAAGGCCGGCAACACCAAAGGUAUAUGUGAUAUACAUGUAAUUGAUGUGUACCUUACCAGUACUCAUAGUAGCUCCUGGGUAUUUGAUACCGGUGCGGUUGCUCAUAUUUGUAACUCAAAACAGGAGUUGUGGAAUAAGCGGAGACUAGCGAAGGACGAGGUGACGAUGCGCGUCGGGAAUGGUUCCAAGGUCGAUGUGAUCGCUGUCGGCACGCUACCUCUACAUUUACCUACGGGAUUAGUUUUAAACCUCAAUAAUUGUUAUUUAGUGCCAGCUUUGAGCAUGAACAUUGUAUCUGGAUCUUGUUUAAUAUGAGAUGGCUACUCAUUUAAAUCCGAGAAUAAUGGUUGUUCUAUUUAUAUGAGAGAUAUGUUUUAUGGUCAUGCCCCGCUGGUCAAUGGUUUAUUCUUAAUGAAUCUCGAACGUGAAGUUACACAUAUUCAUAGUGUGAAUACCAAAAGAUGUAAUAUUGAUAUUGAUAGUCCCACAUAUCUAUGGCUGCCGCCUUGGCCACAUUGGUGUCAAACACAUGAAGAAGCUCCAUACAGAUGGACUUUUGGAGUCUCUUGAUUUUGAAUCAUUUAACACGUGCGAACCAUGCCUCAUGGGUAAAAUGACCAAGACUCUGUUCUCCAGAACAAUGGAGCGAGCAACCAACUUAUUGGAAAUGAUACAUACUGAUGUGUGCGGUCCAAUGAGAGUUGAGGCUCGCGGUGGCUAUCGUUAUGUUGUCACCCUCACUGAUGACUUGAGUAGAUAUGGGUAUGUUUACUUGAUGAAACACAAGUCUGAGACCAUUGAAAAGUUCAAGGAAUUUUAGAAUGAGGUAGAGAAUCAACGUCACGAAUUUGGUACGCACUUAUGGAAAUGUGCAAUCAUUUCACAACUCACGCCGCCUGGAACACCUCAGCGUAGUGGUGUGUCCGAACGUCGUAAUCGCACUCUAUUGGAUAUGUUGCGAUCUAUGAUGUCACUCAUCAAUUUACCGCUAUCAUUUUGGGGAUACGCUCUAGAGACAGCUACAUUCACUUUAAAUAGGGUACCGUCUAAAUCCAUUGAGACAGCACCGUAUGAAUUAUGGUUUGGGAAGAAACCUAAGCUGUCGUUUCUAAAAGUUUGGGGAUGUGAUGCUUAUGUCAAGAAGCUUCAACCUGAAAAGCUCGAACCCAAAUCGGAAAAAUGCGUCUUCAUAGGAUACCCUAAGGAAACCAUUGGGUAUACCUUCUACCUAAGAUCCGAAGGCAGGAUUUUCGUUGCCAAGAAUGGGUCCUUUCUGGAGAAAGAGUUUCUCUCGAAGGAAAUAAGUGGGAGGAAAGUAGAACUCGAUGAAGUACUGCCUCUUGAACCAGAAAGUAGCACAGCUCAGGAAGAUGUUCCUGUGGUGCCUGCACCGACUAGAGAGGAAGUUAAUGAUGAUGAUCGAGGUACUUCGGAUCAAGUUGCUACUGAACUUCGUAGGUCCACAAGGACACGUUCCACACCAGAAUGGUAUGGCAACCUUGUCCUGGAAAUAAUGUUGUUAGACAACGGUGAACCUUCGAACUAUGAAGAAGCGAUGGAGGGCCCAGAUUCCAACAAAUUGCUUGAAGCCAUGCAUCCCGAGAUAGGAUCCAUGUAUGAAAACAAAGUAUGGACUUUGACAGACUUGCCCGAUGAUCGGUGAGCAGUAGAAAACAAAUGGAUCUUUAAGAAGAAGACGGACGCGGAUGGUAAUGUAACCAUCUAUAAAGCUCGACUUGUUGCUAAGGGUUAUCGGCAAGUUCAAGGAGUUGACUACGAUGAGACUUUCUCUCCCUUAGCGAAGCUGAAGUCCGUCCGAAUCAUGUUAGCAAUUGUCGCAUACUAUGAUUAUGAGAUAUGGCAAAUGGACGUCAAAACGGCAUUCCUUAACGGCUAUCUUAAGGAAGAACUGUAUAUGAUGCAGCCGGAAGGUUUUGUCGAUCCUAAGAAUGCUAACAAUGUAUGCAAGCUCCAGCGAUCCAUUUGGGUUUAUGAAGACUUAUGGAGAAGCCUGCGUUUACAAGAAAGUGAGUGGGAGCUCUGUAGCAUUUUUCAUAUUAUAUGUAGAUGACAUACUUUUGAUGGGAAAUGAUAUAGAAAUUUUGGACAGCAUUAAGGCCUACUUGAAUAAGUGUUUUUCAAUGAAGGACCUUGGAGAAGCUGCUUACAUAUUAGUCAUCAAGAUCUAUAGAGAUAGAUCGAGACGCCUCAUAGGUCUUUCACAAAGCACAUACCUUGAUAAGAUAUUGAAGAAAUUCAAUAUGGAUCAGUCCAAGAAGGGGUUCUUGCCUGUGUUGCAAGGUGUGAAAUUGAGCUUCGCUCAAUGCCCGACCACGGCAGAAGAUAGAGAAAAGAUGAGUGUCAACCCCUAUGCCUCGGCUAUAGGUCUAUUAUGUAUGCCAUGCUGUGUACCAGACCUGAUGUAAACCUUGCCGUAAGAAGUUACCAAAGUAAUCCCGGCAUGGAACACUGGACAACGGUCAAGAAUAUCCUGAAGUACCUGAAAAGGACUAAGGAUAUGUUUCUCGUUUAUGGAGGUGACGAAGAGCUCGUCGUAAAGGGUUACGUCGAUGCUAGCUUCGACACAGAUCUGGAUGACUCUAAGUCACAAACCGGAUACGUGUAUAUUUUGAAUGGUGGGGCAGUAAGCUGGUGCAGUUGCAAGCAAAGCGUCAUGGCAGGAUCUACAUGUGAAGCAGAGUACAUGGCAGCCUCGGAGGCAGUGCAUGAAGCAAUAUGGAUGAAGGAGGUCAUCACCGACCUAGGAGUCAUACCCAAUGCGUCAGGGCCGAUCACUCUCUUCUGUGACAACGCUGGAGCUAUUACCCUUGCCAAGGAGCCCAGGUUUCACAAGAAGACCAGGCACGUCAAGCGUCGCUUCAAAUCCAUUUUUGAAAAUGUUCAAGAUGGAGACAUUGAUAUUUGCAAAGUGCAUACAGAUCUGAAUGUCACAGAUCCGUUGACUAAACCUCUUCCGCGAGCAAAACAUGAUCAACACCAGAACACUAUGGGUGUUUGAUUCAUCACAAUGUAACUAGAUUAUUGACUCUCGUGCAAGUGGGAGAUUGUUGGAAAUAUGCCCUAGAGGCAAUAAUAAAAUGAUUAUUAUUAUAUUUCCUUGUUCAUGAUAAUUGUCUAUUAUUCAUGCUAUAAUUGUGUUUUCCGGAAAUCAUAAUACAUGUGUGAAUAAAUAGACCACAACAUGUCCCUGGUGAGCCUCUAGUUGGCUAGCUCGUUGAUCAACAGAUAGUCAUGGUUUCCUGAGUAUGGACAUUGGAUGUCAUUGAUAACGGGAUCACAUCAUUAGGAGAAUGAUGUGAUGGACAAGACCCAAUCCUAAGCAUAGCACAAGAUCAUGUAGUUCAUUUGCUAGAGCUUUUCCAAUGUCAAUUAUCAUUUCCUUAGACCAUGAGAUCGUGUAACUCUCGGAUACCGUAGGAGUGCUUUGGGUGUACCAAACGUAACAACGUAACUGGGUGACUAUAAAGGUAUACUACAGGUAUCCCCGAAAGUGUCUCUUGGGUUGACACGGAUUGAGACUGGGAUUUGUCACUCCGUAUGAUGGAGAGGUAUCUCUGGGCCCACUCGGUAAUGCAUCAUCAUAAUGAGCUCAAUGUGACCAAGUGGUUGGUCACGGGAUCAUGCAUUACGGUACGAGUAAAGUGACUUGCCGGUAACGAGAUUAAACGAGGUAUUGGGAUACCGACGAUCGAAUCUCGGGCAAGUAACGUACCGAUUGACAAAGGGAAUUGUAUACGGGAUUACUUGAAUCCUCGACAUCGUGGUUCAUUCGAUGAGAUCAUCAUGGAAUAUGUGGGAUCCAACAUGGGUAUCCGGAUCCCGCUGUUGGUUAUUGGCCGGAGAGCUGUCUUGGUCAUGUCUGCGUGAUUCCCGAACCCAUUGGGUCUACACACUUAAGGUCCGGUGACACUAGGGUUGUAGAGAUAUUAGUAUGCGGUAAUCCGAAAGUUGUUCGGAGUCCCGGAUGAGAUCCUGGAUGUCAUGAGGAAUUCCAGAAUGGUCCGGAGGUAAAUAUUUAUAUAUGGGAAGUGCAGUUUCGGCCACCAGGAAAGUUUCGGUCAUCACCGGUAUUGUACCGGGACCACAGAAAGGGUCCCGGGGUUCCACCGGGUGAGGCCACCUAUCCCGGAGGGCCCUAUGGGCUGAAGUGGGAAGGGAACCAGCCCACCACACCCCCUCGGACCUUCCCCUGCACCUAGGGUUGGAAACCCUGGGGGUGGGGGGCGCCCCACCUGACUUGGGGGCGCAAGUCCCCCCCUUUGCCCCCCCCCCUCCCCCUUGAGAUUGGAUCUCUAGGGGGCGGCGCCCCCCCAGGGCCCCCUAUAUAAAGAGGGGGGAGGGAGGGCUGCGUACCCUAGCCCCUGGCGCCUCCCUCUCCCACCGUAACACCUCUCCCUCUCGCUGAGCAUGGCGAAGCCCUGCCGAGAUCCCNNNNNNNNNNNNNNNNNNNNNNNNNNNNNNNNNNNNNNNNNNNNNNNNNNNNNNNNNNNNNNNNNNNNNNNNNNNNNNNNNNNNNNNNNNNNNNNNNNNNNNNNNNNNNNNNNNNNNNNNNNNNNNNNNNNNNNNNNNNNNNNNNNNNNNNNNNNNNNNNNNNNNNNNNNNNNNNNNNNNNNNNNNNNNNNNNNNNNNNNNNNNNNNNNNNNNNNNNNNNNNNNNNNNNNNNNNNNNNNNNNNNNNNNNNNNNNNNNNNNNNNNNNNNNNNNNNNNNNNNNNNNNNNNNNNNNNNNNNNNNNNNNNNNNNNNNNNNNNNNNNNNNNNNNNNNNNNNNNNNNNNNNNNNNNNNNNNNNNNNNNNNNNNNNNNNNNNNNNNNNNNNNNNNNNNNNNNNNNNNNNNNNNNNNNNNNNNNNNNNNNNNNNNNNNNNNNNNNNNNNNNNNNNNNNNNNNNNNNGUGAGGCCACCUAUCCCGGAGGGCCCUAUGGGCUGAAGUGGGAAGGGAACCAGCCCACCACACCCCCUCGGACCUUCCCCUGCACCUAGGGUUGGAAACCCUGGGGGUGGGGGGCGCCCCACCUGACUUGGGGGCGCAAGUCCCCCCCUUUGCCCCCCCCCCCCCCCCUUGAGAUUGGAUCUCUAGGGGGCGGCGCCCCCCCAGGGCCCCCUAUAUAAAGAGGGGGGAGGGAGGGCUGCGUACCCUAGCCCCUGGCGCCUCCCUCUCCCACCGUAACACCUCUCCCUCUCGCUGAGCAUGGCGAAGCCCUGCCGAGAUCCCCGCUACUAUCACCACCACGCUGUCGUGCUGCUGGAUCUCCAUCAACCUCUCCUUCCCCCUUGCUGGAUCAAGAAGGAGGAUACGUCUUCCCCAACCGUACGUGUUUUGAACGCGGAGGUGCCGUCCAUUCGGCACUUGGAUCUUCGGUGAUUUGGAUCACGACGAGUACGACUCCAUCACCCCCGCUUUCUUGAACGCUUCCGCUCGCGAUCUACAAGGGUAUGUAGAUGCACUCCUCUCUCUCGUUGCUAGAUGACUCCAUAGAUUGAUCUUGGUGAAGCGUAGAAUUUUUUUAUUUUCUGCAACGUUCCCCAACAUUAUGUCUAUUCUCUCUUAUUUUACAAGGUUUACCAUGAAGAGGGGGAAUGCCGACAGCUGGAAUUCUGGCUGGAAAAGGAGCAAACGUUGGAAACCUAUUCUGCACAACUCCAAAAGUCCUGAAACUCCAUGAAACAACUUUUUGGAUUUAUUAAGAAUUUAUGAGCAAAAGAAAUAGGCCAGGGAGCCCACACCCUGUCCAGGAGACAGGGGGCGCCCCCCCCCCCUGUAGGGCGCGGCCCCCUAUCUCCUGGGCCCCCUGGUGGGCCUCCGGCGUCCAUCUUCAGCUAUAUAAUCACUCUUUCUCUGGAAAAAAAUCUAGGGCUCUGGCGGAGCUGUUCUGCCAGGGAAACUUCCCUCCAGGAGGGGGAAAUCAUCACCAACAUCAUCACCAACGAUCCUCUCAUCGGGAGGGGGUCAAUCUCCAUCAACAUCUUCACCAGCACCAUCUCCUCUCAAAACCCGAGUUCAUCUCUUGUAUCCAAUCUUGUAUCAAAACCACAAAUUGGUACCUGUGGGUUGCUAGUAGUGUUGAUUAUUCCUUGUAGUUGAUACUAAUUGGUUUACUUGGUGAAAGAUCAUAUGUUCAGAUCCUUUAUGCAUAUUAUUACUCCUCUGAUUAUGAACAUGAAUAUGCUUUGUGAGUAGUUACGUUUGUUCCUGAGGACACGGGUGAAGUCUUGCUAUUAGUAGUCAUGUGAAUUUGGUAUUCGUUCGAUAUGUUGAUGAGAUGUAUGUUGUCUUUCCUCUAGUGGUGUUAUGUGAACGUCGACUACAUGACACUUCACCAUUAUUUUGGCCUAGAGGAAGCCAUAGGGAAGUAAUAAGUAGAUGAUGGGUUGCUAGAGUGACAGAAGCUUAAACCCUAGUUUAUGCGUUGCUUCAUUAGGGGUUGCUAUGGACCCAUAUGUUUAAUGUCGUGGUUAGGUUUACCUUAAUACUCCUUUUUGUAGUUGCGGAUGCUUGCAAUAGGGGUUAAUCAUAAGUGGGAUGCUUGUCCAAGUUAGGGCAGUACCCAAGUUCCGGUCCACCCAUAUAUCAAAUUAUCAAAGUACCGAAUGCGAAUCUUACGAACGUGAUGAAACUAGCUUGACGAUAAUUCCCAAUGUGUCCUCGGGAGCUCCUUUCUCAUUAUUAGAAUUGUCCAGGCUUAUCCUUUGCUACAUAAAGGAUUGGGCCACCUUGCUGCACUUUAUUUACUUUAUUUACUUUUUGCUCGUUACUAUUUAUCUUAUCACAAAACUAUCUAUUACCUACUAUUUCAGUGCUUGCAGAGAAAACCUUACUGAAAACUGCUUAUCAUUUCCUUCUGCUCCUUGUUGGGUUCGACACUCUUAUUUAUCGAAAGGACUAUGAUAGAUCCCCUACACUUAUGGGUCAUCUGGCGCCGUUGCCGGGGAGUGUAGCGCUUUUGGUGAGUGGAACUUGGUAAGGAAACACUUAUAUAGUGUGCUGAAAUUUGUUGUUACUUGUGACUAUGGAAACUAAUUCUUUGAAGGGUUUGUUUGGGGUAUCUUCACCCCAACCAGAAGAACAAAGAGAUUCUCCUCAACCUACUGAACCUUAAGAAAAUAUUCACUUUGAGAUUCCUUCGGGUAUGAUAGAAAAACUGCUAGCUAAUCCUUUUGCAGAAGAUGGAACAUUGCAUCCCGAUUUACAUCUUAUCUUUGUGGAUGAAGUUUGUGGAUUAUUUAAGCUUGCAGGUAUCCCCGAUGAUGUUGUCAAAAGGAAGUUCUUCCCUUUAUCUUUGAAGGGAGAUGCAAUGACAUGGUAUAGGCUAUGUGAUGAUACGAGAUUUUGGAAUUAUAAACGAUUGAAGUUGGAAUUUCACCCGAAGUUCUAUCCUAUGCAUCUUGUUCAUUGUGAUCGUAAUUACAUAUAUAAUUUCUGGCCUUGCGAAGGAGAAAGCAUCGCUCAAGCUUGGGGGAGGCUUAAGUCAAUGUUAUAUUCAUGCCCCAAUCAUGAGCUCUCUCGGGAAAUGAUUAUUCAGAAUUUUUAUGCUCGGCUUUCUCUUGAUAAUCACAACCUGCUCGAUACUUCCUGUGCGGGUUCCUAUAUACUGAAGACUAUUGAUUUCAAAUGGGAUUUAUUGGAAAGAAUUAAACGCAACUCUGAAGAUUGGGGUUCCGACGAUGGUAAGGAGUCAGGUAUGACACCUAAGUUCGAUUGUGUUAAAUUUUUAUGGAUACCGAUGCUUUCCGUGGAUUUAGCUCUAAGUAUGGACUUGACUCUGAGAUAGUAGCUACUUUUUGUGAAACUUUUUCUACUCACAUUGAUCUCCCAAAAGAGAAGUGGUUUAAAUAUAAUCCUCCUGUUGAAGUGAAAUUAGUUGCACCUAUUACAGUCGAAGAAAAGACUAUUACAUAUAGUGAUCCUAUUAUUCCUACUGCUUAUGUUGAAAAACCUCCUUUUCCUGUUAGGAUAAAAGAUCAUGUUAAAGCUUCGACUGUUGUUCGUAAGAGUAAUACUAGGACUUAUACACCUCCUAAGAAAAUUAAUGUUGAACCUGGUAUUGCUAUGAUUAAAGAUCUCUUGGAUGAGGAUUUAGAUGGGCAUGUUAUCUCUUUCUUGGGUGAAACUGCUAAUAUUGCUAGACCCGAUACUAAGACACGUAGACCCGUUGUAGGCACGCCUGUUAUUUCUGUUAAAAUAGGAGAUCAUUGUUAUCAUGGCUUAUGUGAUAUGGGUGCUAGUGCUAAUGCUAUACCUUAUGAUCUUUAUAAAGAAAUUAUGCACGAUAUUGCACAUGUUGAAUUAGAAGACAUUGAUGUUACUAUUAAGCUUGCUAAUAGGGACACCAUUAAACCUAUUGGGAUUGUUAGAGAUGUUGAAGUCCUGUGUGGGAAGAUUAAAUACCCUGCUGAUUUUCUUGUUCUUGGUUCCCCACAAGAUGAUUUUUGUCCCAUUAUUUUUGGUAGACCCUUCUUGAAUACUGCUAGUGCUAAGAUUAAUUGUGAAAAGAAUAUUGUCACUAUUGGCAUAGAUGGUAUGUCUCAUGAGUUUAAUUUCGCUAAGCUUAGUAGAAAACCUCGUGAAAGGGAACCACCUAAUAAGGAUGAAAUUAUUGGUCUUGCUUCCAUUGAUGUUCCUCCAACGGAUCCGUUAGAACAAUAUUUGUUAGACCAUGAAAACAAUAUGUUUAUGAAGGAAAGGGAAGAGAUAGAUGAAGUGUUCCUUAAACAAGAACCUAUGCUAAAACAUAACCUUCAUGUUGAAAUUCUUGGGGAUCCCCCUCCACCCAAGGGUGAUCCUGUGUUCGAACUCAAACCCUUACCUGAUAAUCUCAAGUAUGCUUAUCUUGAUGAAAAAGAAAUAUAUCCUGUUAUUAUUAGUGCUAACCUUUCAAAGAAAGAAGAAGAAAGAUUAUUGAAAACUCUGAAGAAGCACCGAGAUGCUAUUGGAUAUGCUCUGGACGAUCUUAAGGGCAUUAGUCCCACAUUAUGCCAACACAAAAUUUCAGUGGAGAAAGAUGCCAAACCAGUUAGAGUUCCUCAAAGACGAUUAAAUCAUAAAAUGAAGGAAGUGGUAAGAAAGGAGAUUCUAAAACUCCUUGAGGCAGGUAUUAUUUAUCCCGUUGCCGAUAGUGAAUGGUAAGCCCUGUCCAUUGUGUCCCUAAAAAGGGAGGUAUUACCGCUCUUCCUAAUGACAAAGAUGAAUUGAUCCCGCAAAGAAUUAUUACAGGCUAUAGGAUGGUAAUUGAUUUCCGUAAGCUAAAUAAAGCUACUAAGAAAGAUCAUUACCCUUUACCUUUUAUUGAUCAAAUGCUAGAAAGGCUAUCCAAACACACACAUUUUUGCUUUCUAGAUGGUUAUUCUGGCUUCUCUCAAAUACCUGUGUCCGCGAAGGAUCAAUCUAAAACUACUUUUACUUGCCCUUUUGGUACUUUUGCUUAGAGACGUAUGCCUUUUGGUUUAUGUAAUGCACUUGCUACCUUGCAAAGAUGCAUGAUGGCUAUAUUCUCGGAUUUUUGUGAAAAGAUUUUUGAGGUAUUCAUGGAUGACUUCUCCGUCUAUGGAUCCUCUUUUGAUGAUUGUUUGAGCAACCUUGAUCGAGUUUUGCAGAGAUGUGAAGACACUAGUCUCAUACUGAAUUGGGAAAAGUGUCACUUUAUGGUUAAUGAAGGCAUUGUCUUGGGGCACAAGAUCUCCGAGAGAGGUAUUGAAGUUGAUAAAGCUAAAGUUGAUGCUAUUGAAAAUAUGCCAUGUCCCAAGGACAUAAAAGGUAUAAGAAGUUUCCUUGGUCAUGCCGGCUUUUAUUGGAGGUUCAUUAAGGACUCUUCUAAAAUCUCUAGGCCUCUGACUAAUUUAUUGCAAAAAGAUAUUCCUUUUGUCUUUGAUGAUGAUUGUGUAGAAGCAUUUGAAACACUUAAGAAAGCUUUGAUCACAGCACCUAUUGUUCAGCCAGCUGAUUGGAAUUUACAUUUUGAAAUUAUGUCCGAUGCUAGUGAUUAUGAUGUAGGUGCUGUUUUAGGGCAAAGAGUCGAUAAGAAAUUGAAUGGUAUCCAGUAUACUAGUAAGACUCUUGAUCUGCCCAGAGAAAUUAUGCUACUACUAAAAAAGAGUUCUUAGCAGUUGUGUUUGCAUGUGAUAAGUUUAGACCUUAUAUUGUUGAUUCCAAAGUUACUAUUCACACUGAUCAUGCUGCUUUAAAUAUCUUAUGGAAAAGAAAGAUGCUAAGCCUAGACUCAUUAGAUGGGUUCUCUUGCUCCAAGAAUUUGACUUGCAUAUUAUUGAUAGAAAGGGAGCUGAGAACCCCGUUGCAGACAACUUGUCUAGGUUAGAGAAUGUUCUUGAUGACCCACUGCCUAUUAAUGAUAGUUUUCCUGAUGAACAAUUAGCGGUUGUCAAUGCUUCUCGUACUGCUCCUUGGUAUGCUGAUUAUGCUAAUUACAUUGUUGCUAAAUAUAUAGCGCCUAGUUUCACAUACCAGCAAAAGAAAAAGUUCUUUCAUGAUUUAAGACAUUACUUCUGUGAUGAUCCACACCUUUAUAAAGAAGGAGUUGAUGGUAUUAUUAGAUGUUGUGUUCCUAAGCAUGAACAGGAAGAAAUCCUACGCAAGUGUCACUCUGAAUCUUAUGGAGGACACCAUGCUGGAGAUAGAACUGCACACAAGGUACUACUAUCUGGUUUUUAUUGGCCUACUCUCUUCAAAGAUGCUCGCAAGUUUGUCUUAUCCUGUGAUGAAUGUCAAAGAAUAGGUAACAUUAGUAGACGUCAAGAAAUACCUAUGAAUUAUUCUCUUGUUAUUGAACCGUUUGAUGUUUGGGGCUUUGAAUAUAUGGGACCUUUUCCUGCCUCCAAUGGUUAUACACAUAUUUUAGUUGCUAUUGAUUACGUUACUAAGUGGGUAGAAGCUAUUCCAACUAGUAGUGCUGAUCAUAACACUUCUAUUAAAAUGCUUAAAGAAGUUAUUUUUCCGAGGUUUGGAGUCCCUAGAUAUCUUAUGACUGAUGGUGGUUCACACUUUAUUCAUGGUGCUUUUUGUAAGAUGCUUGCUAAGUAUGAUGUCAAUCAUAGAAUCGCAUCUCCUUAUCACCCGCAGUCUAGUGGUCAAGUAGAGUUGAGCAAUAGAGAGCUCAAAUUAAUUUUGCAAAAGACUGUGAAUAGAUCUAGAAAGAAUUGGUCCAAAAAACUUGAUGAUGCAUUAUGGGCCUAUAGAACUGCAUAAAAAAAUCCUAUGGGUAUGUCUCCAUAUAAGAUGGUUUAUGGAAAAGCAUGUCAUUUACCUCUUGAACCUGAACAUAAAGCAUAUUGGGCUAUUAAAGAGCUCAAUUAUGACUUCAAACUUGCCGGUGAGAAGAGGUUGUUUGAUAUUAGCUCACUUGAUGAAUGGAGAACCCAAGCAUAUGCGAAUGCCAAGCUUUUCAAAGAAAAAGUCAAACGCUGGCAUGAUAAGAGGAUACAAAAGCGUGAGUUUAACGUAGGAGAUUAUGUGUUAUUAUUCAACUCUCGUUUAAGAUUUUUUGCAGGAAAACUUCUCUCAAAAUGGGAAGGUCCCUACAUUAUCGAGGAGGUUUAUCGUUCUGGUGCUAUAAAAAUCAACAACUUCGAAGGCACAAAUCCGAGGGAGGUAAACGGUCAAAGAAUUAAACAUUAUAUUUCAGGUAAUCGUAUCAAUGUUGAAACUAAUAUUAUUGAAACCAUAACCCCUGAGGACUACAUAAGAGACACUUUCCAGAACGUUCUAGACUCCGAAAAGGCAUAGGUAUGUGGUACGGUAAGUAAACCGACUCCAAAACAACUCUAAUGGCAAUUUUUAUCAGUUUUGGAUUAUUUAAGAAUUUUAGGAAGAAAGAAGUAGUCCAAAAGGGACACGAGGCUCCCACGAGAGAGGAGGCCGCGCCCCCCUGUAGGGCGCGCCCCCUGUCUCGUGGGCACCUCGUGUGCCUCCCGGACUCCGUUUUCUUGUAUGUUAAGUAUUUUGGUCGGUAAAAAUUCAUUAUAUAUACUCCCGAAGGUUUUGACCACCGUAUCAUGCAAAUAUCCUAUGUUUUCGUUUCGAGUUGUUUCCGUUGCAGAUUUAGAGCACCAUGACUUCUCCCUCCCCCAACAACGAAGACAAGGAUGCUUGGCUAUUGAAGAUAGAGUUGAAAAGAUAGGAACCAGAAGAGAUCAACAAGGAUGAAGGGAUCAAGAAAGCCAUGGAGGUUCAAGUUCCGGUGGUGAAAGAAGAAGACAUCCCUCAACCUUUACCUAACCUUUUCACUCCAACAGAGAUUAAAGCUUUCAGGAUGAUUGAGUUAGCCCGCAUACAGAACAAGUAUCUCACACAGGAGAAUAUUUUGUUGAAGGAUCAUAUUGCUGGGCUCAAGGGCAUUAUCCGUAAGUUGGAGGAGAUUUUACGCUCGAUGUGCGACUAUCCACCGUCAUCAUCACCACCUCCAUCACCUCCGAGGAAAUAAUCAUAUGGGUAUGGGCACUCCCCUUGGCAACUGCCAAGCUUGGGGGAGGUGCCUCGGUAUCGUAUCACCAUCACGCUCCUAUCUUUACUGCUUUAUUUAGUUUGAUCCUUUUAGUAGUAUCUUGAUCUAGUAGAUUGAAGUUUCAUUCCAAGUAGUUUUGAGUUUUGCAUUGUGAUCUCUUUAUGUAAGGAGUCUGUGUGCUAUCUAUAAUAAAGAUUAGUGUUAAGUCAAGGGCUUUGCUAUUUUGCUAUGAUCUUGAGAAAGUAGCUAGAAAGAACAAAAGAGUUCAUAUUGAUCUUAUGGAUAGUAAUAACUUCACACAUAGAAAGUAUGAGGCAUAAAAAUUGUUGAGAGUUGAUGAACGUAGCAUUGGUCAUCGUUGCAAUUAAAUGGAAGUGAUAACGAAAGAUGGGUUCACAUAUAAAUAUAUUAUCUUGGACAUCUUUUAUGAUUGUGAAGCACUCAUUGAGUAUGACAUGCUAAAAGAGUUGAUGUUGGACAAGGAAGACAACGUAAUGGUUUAUGUUGUCCGACAUCUCAGUUACAGUAUAUUGUCAUUGACCUUCCAAACAUUUAGAGCUUGCCUUUCCCCCUCUUGCUAGCCAAAUUCCUUGCACCAAGUAGAGAUACUACUUGUGCUUCCAAAUAUCCUCAAACCCAGUUUUGCCAUGAGAGUCCACCAUACCUACCUAUGGAUUGCGUAAGAUCCUUCAAGUAAGUUGUCAUCGGUGCAAGCAAUAAAAAUUGCUCUCUAAGUAUGUAUGACUUAUUAGUGCAGAGAAAAUAAGCUUUGUACGAACUUGUUGUGGAAGUAAUAAAAGCAACGGAUUGCAUAAUAAAGGUCCACAUACAAGGGGCAAUAUAAAGUGCGUUCUUUUGCAUUAAGAUUUCGUGCAUCAACCAUAAAUGCGCAUGACAACCUCUGCUUCCCUCUACGAAGGGCCUAUCUUUUACUGUAUGUUUUUACUUUAUGCUUGAGUCAAGGUGAUCUUCACCUUUCCUCAUGUUUGAAAGAUCAUGAUACAUAUAUCCAAUUGGAUGUAAGUUGGCAUAGGCUAUUAUUGUUGACAUCACCUAAAGGUGAAUACGUCGGGAGGCAACAUAAUAAGCCCCUAUCUUUCUCAAUGUCCGGCUGAAACUUUAUAACCAUAAGUAUUGCGUGAGUGUUAGCAAUUAUGGGAGACUACGAGAUAGUUGAGUAUGUGAGCUUGUUGAAAAGCUCUAUUAUUUACUCUUUCUGAUGUUACGAUAAAUUGCAAUUGCUUCAGUGACUGAGAUUAUAGUUUGUUAGUUCCCAAUGAAGUUUAUGAACUAUACUUGACAUUGUGAAUUGCUUAUUACUUGAGCAUAGGAAAUCAUAUGACAAACUCUAUAUAGGUUGCUGUUAUUAGAAUGAUCAUGAUGCCCUCAUGUCCGUAUUUUAUUUUUAUCGACACCUCUAUCUCUGAACAUGCGGACAUAUUUUUCGAUCUUGGCUUCCGCUUGAGGACAAGCGAGGUCUAAGCUUGGGGGAGUUGAUACGUCCAUUUUGCAUCAUGCUUUUAUAUCAAUAUUUAUUGCAUUAUGGGCUGUUAUUACACAUUAUAUCUCAAUACUUAUGGCUAUUCUCUCUUAUUUUACAAGGUUUACCAUGAAGAGGGGGAAUGCCGGCAGCUGGAAUUCUGGCUGCAAAAGGAGCAAACAUUGGAAACUUAUUCUGCACAACUCCAAAACUCCUGAAACUCCACGAAACAACUUUUUGGAUUUAUUAACAAUUUAUGAGUGAAGGCCAGGGGGCCCACACCCUGUCCAGGAGACAGGGGGGCACCCCCCCUGUAGGGCGCGGCCCCCUAUCUCCUGGGCUCCCUGGUGGGCCUCCGGCAUCCAUCUUCUGCUAUAUCAUCACUCCGUUCCCUGGAAAAACUCCGCCGCAACGAGGUGGAACCUUGGCGGAAUCAAUCUAGGGCUCUGGCGGAGCUGUUCUGCCAGGGAAACUUCCCUCCAGGAGGGCGAACUCAUCACCAACGUCAUCACCAACGAUCCUCUCAUCGGGAGGGGGUCGAUCACCAUCAACAUCUUCACCAGCACCAUCUCCUCUCAAAACCCUAGUUCAUCUCUUGUAUCCAAUCUUGUAUCAAAACCACAAAUUGGUACUUGUGGGUUGCUAGUAGUAUUGAUUACUCCAUGUAGUUGAUACUAAUUGGUUUACUUGGUGGAAUAUCAUAUGUGCAGAUCCUUUAUGCAUAUUAUUACUCCUCUAAUUAUGAACAUGAAUAUGCUUUGUGAGUAGUUACGUUUGUUCCUGAGGACAUGGGUGAAGUCUUGCUAUUAGUAGUCAUGUGAAUUUGGUAUUCGUUCGAUAUUUUGAUGAGAUGUAUGUUGUCUUUCCUCUAGUGGUGUUAUGUGAAUGUCGACUACAUGACACUUCACCAUUAUUUGGGCCUAGAGGAAGGCAUAGGGAAGUAAUAAGUAGAUGAUGGGUUGCUAGAGUGAGAGAAGCUUAAGCCCUAGUUUAUGCGUUGCUUCGAUAGGGGUUGAUAUGGACCCAUAUGUUUGAUGUUGUGGUUAGUGAGGGAGUCUUGGAUAAGGGGGUAUCCAGACAGCCGGACUAUAUUCAUCAUCCAGACUAUAGAAGCGUCAAGAUACAAGACUCAAGACUUCAGCUCGUGCCCGGAUGGGACUCUCCUUUGCAUGGAAGACAAGCUUGGCGAUCCGGAUAUUAUGUUUCCUUCCUUGUAACCGACUCCAUGUAAACCCUAGCUCUUCGGUGUCUAUAUAAACCAGAUAGGAUGGUCCUUAGAAGUCCGAUCACAAUUACAAUCAUACCAUGAUAGGCUAGCUCUUAGGGUUUAGCUUCUACGAUCUCAUGGUAGAUGUACUCUUGUACUACUCAUAUCUUCAAUAUUAAUCAAGCAGGAAGUAGGGUUUUACCUCCAUCGAGAGGGCCCGAACUUGGGUAAACAUUGUGUCCCUUGCUUCCUAUUACCAUCAGCCUAAGAAGCAUAGAUCGGGACCCCCUACCCGAGAUCAGCCGGUUUUGACACCGACAUUGGUGCUUUCAUCGAGAGUUCCUCUGUGUCGCCACUGCAAAGGCUCGAUGGCUUGUCUCAUUGUCAAGGACGACAUCACUUCUGGGGGAGCACUGGCUGUAGGCCAGACUCUCCGGCUUGGCAGCUUCAUUAUGACCGCCCCAUUGGCUGUCGCGCCGACGAUGGCCUCUCAGGUCAUCACACAUAACCUUCACGUCAAUUCGGAGCUUGCCGAACAGAUGGAUCCGAUAGAACUCUCCUCUCUUAACGAGCUCUUGGAUCACAUCGCCGCUUUGGGAGUCACUACGGACUACGACCGGAUUGGGAUUAAACCCGACCAGAGGGACAUUAGAUCCCCGCCGGCCACCCAUGAGAUAGCGGUAGUGGAGGAACCACACGUGGGUCGCCCCUCGACUUUGAGAACGAAUUAUGUCUGGAUCACUGAACUCAGUGAGCCAAACACCCACUCAAAGGAAGACAUGACCCAGGUCCCGGACUUAGAAUCGGGCAUUGGGCCAAAGGGAUUAGGUAAUACUCCAGAUCCCGAACUGUCAGGCUCGGUACUUCCCGUGCCCCCAGGCAUCAGAUCUGACCAGAAUCCGGAUUUAGCCAAUGAUGCCCGCUCGGACUUAAACCGUCUCUUCCGUACCAGGCAGGAGCCCCAGGAGACGGUACACCGUUACUGUGCCAGAUUCCUCCUUGCUCUAAAUAAGGUUAAGGACUGCCACAAGGAGGACGUAGUCUCUCUUUUCUGCAGAAACUGCACGAACAGAGGACUCCUUAAUGUUAUAAGUCGACGUGACAUAGUGCACUUUACGGACUUGGCAACCAUAGUACAGAAGUAUUGUGCGAUGGAAACUGCCUGCAAGACCCAAACCGAAUUUUGGGAUAGUACAGCCUUCACCAGAACCUUUGUCCGAACUAAACGUCUGAACUCUCGUAAGUCGACCAACUCAAUUCCCAAGAAACCAAAACCCGCCCCAGGGCGCGGAACCGUAUUGGAAGAAUGGCUCAACGGGCCAUGUAAGCUUCACAGCACGCCGGAUGCAGCGCCGACCCAUAGCCUUAGAGCAUGUUGGAUACUCCGGCAGGUAGCUAAGAGUGGCGAGGAUCUCCUCGAGAACCAUAAACCAGAACCACAUCCCGCCAAGGAACACAAUACGGUACUGGUGGUCUUCGAGACCUUCGCCUCAAACAAUAUGCGCAAGCAAGUGCAUCGAAGCUCCACUGAAAUUUGCCAUGUGGCAAAAAUAAAUCUGUGGAACGACACUGCUAUAACCUUCAAUGCCAGUGACGAACCCCAAUUCCAGUCCGUCUGGGCGCCGGCCGCUCUAGUCCUCAGCCCAAUAGUGGACGGCUUUCGGCUCACUAAAGUACUCAUGGACGGUGGAAGCGGAUUAAACCUAAUCUACGAAGAAACACUCAAGAAGAUGGAGAUUGUCAAAAGCCGCAUUGAACAAAGUGGCACAACCUUCAGGGGAAUUAUCCCAAGUCGGGAGGCACGGUGUGCGGGAAAAAUCACACUCGAUGUGGUAUUCGGCACCCCAGAGAAUUACAGGUCCGAAGAAAUCACCUUCUAAGUGGCUCCUUUCAACAGCGGAUACCACACCCUUCGAGGGCGGGACGCGCUUGCAUGCUUUCAAGCCAUACCCCAUUAUGGGUACAUGAAGCUCAAAAUGCCCGGACCCAAUGGAAUUAUCACUCUAGCUAGUGAUCCGGACGUCGCACUCCGUGCCGAAAACAAAACCGCGGCACUAGCGUUGGAAGCACUAUCCGAAGCCCUAGCGGCAGAAGAAUUAACAACGUUGUGCGCCACCGUGGACAGGGACGACGUGAUACUCGACAAGCGACCCAAGUCCACCUCAUUUAAACCCACAGAUGAGAUAGUCAAAUUCCAAGUCCACCCAACCGACCCCACGAAGACAGCUUCCAUCGGGACAUAGUUGAACCCCGCUAUGGACGCCGCACUGCGCGACUUCUUACGUGAGAAUUGGGAUGUCUUCGCCUGGCACCCAUCAGACAUGUCGGGCAUCCCACGCAAAUUGGCCGAACACAGCCUCAACAUACUAAAGGGAUACAAACCUGUUAAACAGACCCUAAGGCGAUUUGUGGAACCCAAACGGCAAGCCAUGGGGGAGGAGCUAGCCAAGCUACUUGAGGCUGGAUUCAUCAAAGAUAUCAAACAUCCGGAUUGGCUGGCGAACUUGGUAAUGGUACCAAAGAAGGACAAAUCCUGGCGCCUGUGCGUCGACUUCAAAUACCUUAACAAGGCUUGCCCCAAGGAUCCCUUUCCCCUCCCCUGCAUUGAUCAAAUCAUCGAUGCCACAGCUGGACACGACUCGUUGUGUUUCCUCGACGCAUACUCUGGAUACCAUCAAAUAAAGAUGGCAGAGUCCGACCAAGAUGCAACAAAUUUCAUAACGCCAUAUGGCCCUUUCUGCUUCAACACUAUGCCUUUCAGUCUUAAGAAUGACGGAGCAACCUAUCAACACAUGAUUCAAACAUGCUUGGAAAAGCAAAUCGACAAAACAGUGCAGUCAUACAUGGACGACGUAGUCAUAAAAACAAGACACGUUGAAACCCUAAUAGAUGACUUGAGGCUUACGUUCGACAACCUACAAACAUAUGACAUCAAGCUGAAUCUGGAGAAAUGCAUUUUUGGCGUCCCCUCUAGAAAACUGUUGGGCUUCAUCGUUUCCAAUAGAGGAAUUGAAGCUAAUCCGGCAAAAAUCCGAGCUUUGUCGCAGUUGGCUAUACCAACAGACCUCAAACAUAUCCAGAAACUAGUUGGAUGUGUGGCUGCUUUAAGCCGCUUUAUCUCCAGGUUAGGAGAAAAAGCAUUGCCUCUUUACCGCCUUCUUUGGCGUACCGAACACUUCGUGUGGACGGAUGCAGCCGCGGCCGGACUCGAUGAAAUAAAGACCUUGUUGGCCAAUAAUCCAGUCCUAACAGCGCCAAAUAUUGGCGAACCUAUGCUGCUGUACAUAGCUGCAACACACCAAGUUGUAAGCACAAUACUCGUUGUCGAGCGAGAGGUUGACGGAUACAAAUUCCCGCUACAAAAGCCGGGUUAUUACGUAUCCACGGUCCUCACCCGAUGCAAAUCCCGAUACCCACACUAUCAAAAAAUAGCAUACGCGGUCUUCAUGUCAUCUCGAAAGCUACGACACUACUUUCAAGAGUGUUCGAUUAUGGUGGCCUCCGAAGUACCACUAAACAAUAUAAUAAAUAACUGCGAUGCCACGGGCCAGAUCGCUAAAUGGGCCAUCGAGCUCCUUCCAUUUGACAUAACAUACAAGCCUUGGCGGUCUAUGAAGUCGCAAGUAUUAGCCGACUUCGUCGCCGAAUGGACGGAAGCCGAACUGCCUAAAGAGUACGGCGCAUACUCUAACUGGAUCAUGCACUUUGACGGCUCUAAAAUGCUGGCCGGAUUGGGAGCAUGCGUAGUCCUGACUUCUCCCAUCGGAGACACGGUCCAAUACGUCCUCCAAAUAUUAUACACAGAUUCCAACAAUGCAGCCGAAUAUGAGGCUCUGUUGCACGGUCUCCGGAUGGCAGUCUCUAUGGGCAUUCAACGCCUAGAAGUGCGCGGGGAUUCAAACCUCGCAAUAUCACAAAUAAAUGGAGACUUUGAUGCCAAGGAUCCGAAAAUGGCAGCCUAUCGCAAUGUCGUCCUUAAAAUGUCAGCUCGGUUUGAGGGGCUCGAAUUCCACCAUGUGGCUCGAGAAAACAAUCAAGCGGCAGAUGUCCUUGCCCGCAUCGGCGCUAAACACGACCCCGUCCCACCUAACGUAUUCCUGGAAAGGCUGUUCAAGCCAUCCAUGGUAUGGGAAGGGGAGUCCGGCAAUACCAGCACGGAUCCGAAUACAUCCCCAGAUUCCGAACUAUCAGACAUAAUCGGAGGUUCUACCACCGAAAUAACAUCGUCAGCCCACGAAAUAAUGGCUGUCAUCGCCCCGUGGACUAAGACUUUCUUAGCCUACCUAAGUAGGCAGGAGCUCACUGAAGACCAAAAUGAAGCACGCUGCAUUGUCCAGCGUUCUAAACCUUACAAAGUCCAUGAAGGGGAACUCUAUAAGAAAAGUGUCACCGGAGUGCUCCAAAGGUGCAUCUCCGAAUAGGAAGGGCGGCAGCUCUUGGCUGAAAUCCAUGUCGGACUAGGCGGUCGCCAUGCUGCGGCUCGAGCAUUAGUCAGCAAGGCCUUCCGUACAGGUUUCUAUUGGCCCACAGCUCGAGCAGACACACAAGACCUUGUCCAACACUGCGUAGGUUGCCAGUUGUUUGCCAAUCAGAGUCAUAUGCCCCCUACCGCUCUCCAAACAAUCCCCAUAACUUGGCCCUUCGUGGUCUGGGGGUUGGAUAUGGUUGGACCCCUUAAAGGGGGAAGCCAUAAGAAAAAAUACUUAUUGGUCAUGGUUGACAAGUUCACCAAAUGGAUAGAAGCCAAACCAGUGAAAACGGCCGAGUCCGGACUAGUAAUAGACUUUAUAUCCGGGUCAUACACCGAUACGGUGUCCCCCACAGCAUCAUCACCGAUAAUGGCUCAAAUUUCACGGCCGAUGAGGUGAAAUCUUAGUGCGGCAAAAUGGGCAUUAAGCUCGGCUAUGCUUCCGUCUACCAUCCUCAAACAAAUGGCCAGGUCGAACGGGCAAACGGUCUUAUCAUGAGCGGCAUCAAACCCAGACUAGUGUGAUCCUUGACAGAGUCCAAUACUCGGUCGGUCGAGGAGCUCGACUCCGUACUCUGGGGGCUGCGGACCACGCCGAAUCGCACCACCGGAUAUACACCAUUUUUAUGGUGUACGGCGCGGAAGCAAUACUACCAUGCGACAUAAUACAUGAUUCGCCACGCGUACGCAUGUACGAAGAGAAGGAAGCCGAGUUAGAUCGCCAGGAUAAUUUGGAUGCCCUAGAGGAGGAGCGCGAUGUCACUAAGGCCCGUUCCGCAUUCUAUCAGCAACAGGCUCGACGAUACCAAAACAGAGAAGUGUGGGCCAAAACUUAUAAUAUUCGUGAACUCGUUCUACGCUUACCGGAGAAGAAGAAGGACAAGCUCAAACCCAAGUGGGAAUUCCCCUUCAUCAUCAACCGGAGGAGCAUACCACUUACUAAUGCUUCUGGACUCGAGCCGAACCCAUGGAACGCGGCCAGACUCCGGAGAUUCUACGCCUAGCACCGAACUCAGUGUUCGUCUCCUUAACCCUCCUUUUUCAAUUAUGCUCCCCCCCUUUUCCUUUCUCGAUCUUUUUCUUUUCACACACAAUAUUUAAUAUAGUACGGACUACCGGAUUACUCCGGCCGCACUAUGUGUGUAAAUUUUACCUGGGGGCUUCCUAUACGGAAGCUAAAUAUCAAUUACUUUCAGGGCUUUUUGCCCGUCGCACAUGCAUUUCUUUUUCCAUGGGUGCCUUUUCUUCACCAUUAUAUGCAUCGAUAUGACUUAAGACGUGGCCAAGAUGGGUUGCCUGGCUCCUAUGUUUAUGCCCUACAUUCCCAUUAAUUCGGUUAGGGCAUAAGGGGAGCACCUCUGCGAUUGUUACUGCCGGUUGAGCCGGAUGUGUACCUCAGACUGGGUGAAGCGGAAAGCUAGUUUCCUUAAGAGAAUAUUCGGUCGGUGAACAAAAGAUGUGUUCGUUUAUUAUAACAUUAAUACCCAAAAGUUUUGUAUCCUGCGCUUUGGUUCGUAGUCCGGACAUGUGCCUUGACACAUGCUUACCCAGGGAAAGGAACCUUAACGGAACUAUUCUCCCUGGAAGAUAUUUCUUACUAACCAUGUAAUAUAACAUAACUAGUUGGGUACUUGUCUGUUCAAGCACUUAUGACCCCUACGCGCAUACUCCGGUUUUGUAUAACCGAGCGGGUAUUCGGACACACCCCGGACAUUAGGAUCCGGGGGCUGAAGCGAAAAGGUCCGCCAUGACAAAUGAUUUUAAUCCGGCUAGGGGCUACUUAUGUCCAUCGAAUUACACAGUCAUUUGGACUGAUUAUAUUCAUCCUCUAUACCAUCCAACAGGCUAUCUAGCUUACAAUCCUGUUGAGAAUACUUUGUGGCUAACGCCACCUGGUCAUAUACUAGACUCACGGGAAUUUCUUCCCCAUCUAGCCCGGCCGGUCCAACUUCGGCCAUAUGGUCCGGGUCCAGCUUGGUGUAGCGCGUCUUCACCAUCGCCCAUGCUUCUCUUGCACCUUGCCGGCAGGCUGAUAUCUUUCACAAACGGAAGCACUGUCGUGCCCCUUGACGCAUGUACACAAGCCCCCCCCCAUGCCAUUUGGCAGGGAGCUUGAUGGCCACAGAGACUGCGCAAUGCCCUGCAUCACCUGCCGAGCUCUCUCGUGCAGUUAGGAGAGGUCCUGUAGUACAUCACCUGAAGAAGCGGGCAUCUCCUCCUCAGGGCGACCCGUCAGCUUUCCUGCAAACAUAACUUUUUCAAUAUACUUCCUCACCGAACUAUGCUAUAGUUCGUUUAGGCACUUACGAUAAAUGUCGCGGCGAAGCCUUCUGUUCUCCUUCACGGAGUCUUCCAGAUGCGUGCGGACGUCCUUCAAUUCCACGUCUAGCCGAACCUUGGCAUCUUGGAGCAUAAUCUUAUCAUCUUUCACUUGCGUAAGAAUGCGCUCACCGGCCUUUAGUUGCCUCUGGAGAUGCGACUCGUCAUCCCCGCCGCCCUCCGGAUUUACUCCGGGGUUGUCUACAGAACUUUCUGUUAAAUUUGGCAUACCAGCCAGUUGCCAACUAGUGCACUUUCAUAUAAUUCAGAUAAAUGUUACCAUAUGAGGCCUUCUGGGAUUCCUCUAGCUUGGCAACUGUGGCCCUCAGUUGAGUCUUGCACUCCUCUAGCUCCCGAGACAAUUGCUCAUUUUUAUCUACAAGAACCUGUGCAUGAAUUGAUACUUAAAACUACUGUUUCAACCGUUUCAAGUCUCAGGGGCUACUGCUAUAUAUAUGCUCAUCAAAUUUUCUUACCCAUAUAUCUUUGGUAUACUGGACUGUUGCCCGAGCGAGUCCGCUUUGAGCAGCUCGGAUGUAUGCGUCUCCCGAAUUGAAAGCAUUAAAUGCCUCUUCGGAAAAGAUGUUGUUGCGAAGCACGGCCCGUCGACGCCGAUGAUGCAUGGCGCUCUCUACUUCCGAAUUUGUGGCAGAGAGAAUGUAUGCGUCCUCUGUCGGAGGACUAUGCGGUGUCGGCCCUACGUCCGCCUCCUCUCUCGAAGUUGGUCUUGGAUCCCGACUGGUGGAGGCGUGGUUGGCAGGAUCUCCGGAUACAGUUUGGAUAAUCCUCUUCCUGCCAAGAUGUAAAAAGGGCACUGUUAGACUUCAAAUGACAACAAAUUACAUGAUAGGUUGUUUUCUUACCUCUGUAGAGGCGUGUCGGUUCUAAUUGCUUUCCUCUUGAGCCUACCCAAUCCGUACGCCUGUGGCUGACGGGUCCCUAGGGGCUAAGCCCUAUGCUCCGAACGUCGCUUCUGCAAAAGCACGACCUAUUAGGGAUAAGAUGUGGUAUCAGGAAAGAAUCCUCUUCGAAGGAUCGAGUUUUCGGCUUGACUUACACGCGACCAAGGUAACAGUCCGGGAUAAUUAGUGGUGAUAGCCACUGGGGCGCCGUCACGGCUCGCCCGAUAAAAUAUCCCGUCGACAAGAUCCACGGCCACAUCUGGGUCUUCUUCGAGUCCCGGAUCCAGGGCCCUUUCGGGGUCCUCAGGCUGCGGGGAAGGGCUGGAGAUUCCUUCCACAUCCCUCCUCAAUUCCUGCUCGGAAAUAUCGAUGCAGAUAACUUUAGCAAAGAACGCCAUAAUAAGUGGAGCAAGGAAAUAAAUGACGGCUUACCCAGUUAGGGGGAUUAUACAUGGAGAAUCUGUCCCGCAGUUUGAUAUGGAGGAAGUCUUCCUCUUCUCCUUUGUAUAGGUCGGACAGUAUCCUUGCCAGAAAGGUGGGGGAGUCCGAACCCUUAUGGCCACAAUGGGUGGCGUCAUCUGUCCCGUUGAAGUGCCACAUGGGAUUGCUCUGAUAUUGAAGCGGUUGCACUCCCCGCAUUAUGCAUAUUGCCAUCACCUCGACUAUUGUCAGUCCGGAUUUGGCUAGUAACUUUAUCCUGCUCAUCAAGAAAUGUACUUCCUUGGAAUCCUCUUCUUGGAGGCCUCGGGGGCACCAGCUUAGAUGUACCCUCGGCGGGGUGUUACUGAACUUGGGGAGUCCUGUCCGGACUGGAUCCGAAAGGGGAGCGUCGUCAAUAUAAAACCACUCUGAAGCCCAGUCAUCUGGUGCCUUCUUGGGAGUACCGGAUAGCUAUCCGGUCUUAGCGAUACGCCAUACUUCGGCCCUGCCCACUUGACAUAGGGAUUCUCCCUGGUUGCGGGGGACAAGGCAGAACAGUUUCUUCCACAAUCCGAAAUGAGCCUCGCAGCCUAGAAAUAAUUCACAAAGGGCGACGUACCCUGCUAUAUGCAGUAUGGAGGCUGGUGUAAGAUUGUGCAACUGGAGGCCGUAGAAGUCAAGAAGCCCACGAAGGAACAGGUGAAUAGGAAACACGACACCCCUUAGAAGAUGCGGAAUUAGGCAUAUUCGCUCCUCUAGAGAUGGAUUGAGGAAUCUCUCCACCUGUUCUCCGCCGUUAUAGGUUGCCACUCCGGCUCGAACGGGGACCAUGAACGCCGGCGGGAGGAGCCCUUGGGUUUGUAACUUUAUCAAACGACUAUGAGGGACUGAACACUCUCCCCAGUCCCCCGGCUUGGGGCAAGGGGAGCGAGCAGAAGAGCUGCGAUGACCGGCCAUGUUGGAAUGAUUUUUUCUGGCCGCUCUGUUGGAUGCUUGCUCGAGGAGGGAGAGUGGGGUUUGGAUCUUAGGAUCCUCCGUCUCUUCAAAUAGAAGGCUAGCCCGAAGGAACGACGGUGGCAAAUGCAAAAAUGCCUCAACUCCUCGCAUUCACUCGACACGUGGAAAUGGUCAUUAUUGAAGCACUGAAGCCGAGGAGUAAAACAUUGAUGAAGAUGCUGACACUGUUCGUCAUGAUGGGAUCAUUGGAGUAUUCGGAGGAAGGAACCCGCCUUGCAAUGACGAAGACAAGACUGCGCGUCGGACUCAUCGUCAUUGAAGCCUGGUUCAGGGGAUACUGAGGGAGUCCUGUAUAAGGGGGUAUCCGGAAAGCCGGACUAUAUUCAUCGUCCGGGCUAUAGAAGCGUCAAGAUACAAGACUCAAGACUUCGGCUCGUGUCCGGUGGGACUCUCCUUUGCGUGGAAGACAAGCUUGGCGAUCUGGAUAUUAUGUUUCCUUCCUUGUAACCGACUCCAUGUAAACUCUAGCUCUCUAGUGUCUAUAUAAACCGGAGAGGAUGGUCCUUAGAAGGCCGAUCACAAUUACAAUCAUACCAUCAUAGGCUAGCUCUUAGGGUUUAGCCUCUACGAUCUCGUGGUAGAUCUACUCCUGUACUACUCAUAUCUUCAAUAUUAAUCAAGUAGGAAGUAGGGUUUUACCUCCAUCGAGAGGGCCUGAACCUGGGUAAACAUUGUGUCCCUUGCUUCCUGUUACCAUCAGCCUAAGACGCACAGAUCGGGACCCCCUACCCGAGAUCCGCCGGUUUUGACACCGACAGUUAGGUUUACCUUAAUACUCCUUUUUGUAGUUGUGGAUGCUUGCAAUAGGGGUUAAUCAUAAGUGGGAUGCUUGUCCAAGUUAGGGCAGUGCCCAAGUGCUGGUCCACUCACAUAUCAAAUUAUCAAAGUACCGAAUGCGAAUCUUACGAACGUGUUGAAACUAGCUUGACGAUAAUUCCCAAUGUGUCCUCGGGAGCUUCUUUCUCAUUAUUAGAAUUGUCCUAGCUUAUCCUUUGCUACAUAAAGGAUUGGGCCACCUUGCUGCACUUUAUUUACUUUAUUUACUUUUUGCUUGUUACUAUUUAUCUUAUCACAAAAUUAUCUAUCACCUACUAUUUCAGUGCUUGCAGAGAAAACCUUAUUGAAAACCGCUUAACAUUUCCUUCAGCUCCUUGUUGGGUUCGACACUCUUAUUUAUCGAAAGGACUACGAUAGAUCCCCUGCACUUGUGGGUCAUCACCUGACAAUGUAAAUAUUGAUUUCAUGGAGGUGGACGAACACAGAUACGAGUACGGGAAGCCUCUCGUCAAAGAUGAAAAAUCUCUAACAACGAUGAUGCGAAGAUUCCAUAAUUGGUACAUGAAAACCUGCAGAGAGUCUGGGUGGAUGAAUACUUUGUAUCUAAGAAUUAAAGAGGAGCACGACCUCGUUGGAAUUGAUUUGUUGCCUGUUCCAUUUGAGGAGUUCUUCGAGUUCUUCAAUCAAAAGGCCCUCGAUAAAUUAAGGGUCUUUUACUACUGUCUGUAAGUACUAUUUCUGUCAUUAAGUCUCUAUAUAUAGCUCAGCUCUUUCAUUGCAUGUAUUUAUAAUUAAUUAUCCUCACUAUAUUAUGCAGAUUGAAGAUCGUCGAGUGCAGAAAACAAGAAAUGUAUGAUAUUGGGUUCAUUAACACAAAUAUCAUAGAUGAAUUUCAGGUUAAAAAGCACGCCGAAGAGGCCGAGGCCAACUUGCUACAAUCGUUGAUCAAAAAUCAAAACAAAGAUUUAAUACUCUUUCCUUACAACUUCAAGUGAGUGCUACUGUCGUGUGCAUAUUCGGUUUCCCUUAUUACUCGAGCGAGGUUAUAGUAAUGUAAUUGAUGAGUUAUGCAUGCGUGCGUAGCUUCCACUAUGUUCUUCUGGAGGUUAAGCUUGAGCGGGGACUAGUAACCGUCUUAGACUCGAGACGAAAAGAUCCCGAAACCUAUGCGGACAUGACUAAAUUGCUCAACAAGUAAGUUCAAUCGAUCAUUAUCGCACCAUAUCGGCAACUUUUUGUUCAUUUCCUGAUAUCUCAAGUAAUAAUAAUUAUUUUCUUUGUCUUGCAGGGUUUGGAAACAGUUCACCGCAGAAGCUCCGGGACUGCCGAAGGAGCUGCCAUAUACAUACCCAAACGUAAGUACUACUGGCUAGCUAGUUGCGCGCAUCUCCCGUUGAUUCUAUAGCUAUACUUUCAUCAAUGCCAUUUAUAUUGCUUCAUUAUCAGUUUGAUUGACCUCUAUUUCUCGUAAAGUGCUUGUGGCAGGAACAAGGGAAUAAUUUAUGUGGAUACUACGUGUGCGAGUUCAUCUACAACGCAGCUUUGAAAAAUAAGCGGGGCUACUCUAAAAGACAAUAUGAAGUGCGUAAGCAAUAAUAUUCACAAUUUCAUUUUAUUACACCAUCAUUUCUAUUGAGUUUCAUUCAUAUAUAUGUAUUAACCCCCUUCUUCAAAUUAGACGUGGCAGAUGCGGGAUGAACUCCUAGAACAAGAUUGCAUGAAAGCAAUUCAAGAGGAAUUGGCGGGAUUCUUUCUUGACCACGUCAUCAAUAAAGUCGGAGAAUACCAUGUGGAAGUUGAUUUCAAUUGCUAGGGGAUUGUAAGAGAUCUUACAUAUUGUAUAUGUAUGUAGCCAGUAGCAUCGGCUAGAUAAUACGAAAACUUGUUGUUUGACCAAUCUCUCGGGGAAGGAGAGGUCGAUCGAUCACUUCUCUUGGUAUGCAUGACGAACUUCUGUACUUAAUGGUUCCCUUCAUUUUCUUACUAGCUAGCGUGUCGAGGGCCUCUCUAUGUACAGUACGUAGCGUCGACCAAGCACGGAUAUAAGAGAGGACACUUCUCUCUAUUAAUUAGCUAGCUAACACAAUAUAUGAAACACCUUAAUUAACCNNNNNNNNNNNNNNNNNNNNNNNNNNNNNNNNNNNNNNNNNNNNNNNNNNNNNNNNNNNNNNNNNNNNNNNNNNNNNNNNNNNNNNNNNNNNNNNNNNNNNNNNNNNNNNNNNNNNNNNNNNNNNNNNNNNNNNNNNNNNNNNNNNNNNNNNNNNNNNNNNNNNNNNNNNNNNNNNNNNNNNNNNNNNNNNNNNNNNNNNNNNNNNNNNNNNNNNNNNNNNNNNNNNNNNNNNNNNNNNNNNNNNNNNNNNNNNNNNNNNNNNNNNNNNNNNNNNNNNNNNNNNNNNNNNNNNNNNNNNNNNNNNNNNNNNNNNNNNNNNNNNNNNNNNNNNNNNNNNNNNNNNNNNNNNNNNNNNNNNNNNNNNNNNNNNNNNNNNNNNNNNNNNACCCCAGCCACUGAAAUGCUGACGCGUGGAUGCCUUUUGGUCCCGGUUGGUGCCACCAACCGGGACCAAAGGCCCUCCUGCCUGGUCUCGGCGCACCGGCCACGUGGAGGCCCAUCUGUCCCGGUUCGUGUUAGAACCGGGACUAAAGGUCUAGGGCAUUAGUAACGACCCUUUAGUCCCGGUUCAAGAACCGGGACAAAAGGCCCUCAUCAACCGGGACUAAUAGGGGUUUUUCUACUAGUGCUACCUCCAUAUCUCAAAACAAUUAUCAAGUAUCAAAUUGAUCAUAGCAUCCAAUUCACUUCCUAUGAUAGUUUUUAUUAUACUGAACUUGGAUGCCUACCAUUCUAGGACCAAUUUUAUAAGCAUAGCAAAUACCAUGUUGUUCUAAGAGACUCUCAAAAUAAUAUAAGUGAAGCAUGAGAGACUAGCAAUUUCUACAAAAUUAAGCCACCAUCAUGCUCUAAAAGAUAUAAGUGAAGCACUAGAGCAAAAAUUAUCUAGCUCAAAUGAUAUAAGUGAAGCACAUAGAGUAUUAUAAUAAAUUUCAAUCAAGUGGGAUUCUCCCAAAAGGUGUGUACAGCAAGGAUGAUUGUGUAAAACUAAAAAGAAAAUACUAAUAUCAUACACGAUGCUCCAAGCAAAACACAUAUCAUGUGGCAAAUAAAAAUAUAGCUCCAAGUAAAGUUACCAAUGAACGAAGAAGAAAGAGGGGAUGCCUUCCGGGGGCAUCCCCAAGCUUAGGCUUUUGGCUAUUCUUGAAUAUCUUGGGGUGCCAUGGGAAUCCCCAAGCUUAGGCUCUUGCCACUCUUUAUUCCAUAGUCCUUCAAAUCUUUACCCAAAACUUGAAAACUUCACAACACAAAACUCAACAGGAAAUCUCAUAAGCUCCGUUAGUGAAAGAAAGCAAAACCACCACAUAAGGUACUGUAAUGAACUCAUUAUUUAUUUAUUUUGGUGUUAAACGAACUGUAUUCCAAGUUCUCUAUGUUUCAUACCACUUAAUACUAGCCAUAGAUGCAUCAAAAUAAGCAAACAACACACGAAAAACAGAAUCUGUCAAAAACAGAACAGUCUGUAGCAAUCUGUAACUAACGCAAACUUCUGGAGCUCUAAAAAUCCUACCAAAAUAGGAAGUCCUGGAUAAUUUGCCUAUUGAUUAGCAGCAAAAAGAAUUAACGCAAAAUCACGUUUCUGUGAUUUAACAAAACUAAUUUCGUGCCCGCAAAGUUUCUGUUUUUCAGCAGAAUUAAAUCACCUAUCACCACAGGUUAUCCUAUAGGUUCUACUUGGCACAAACACUAAUUAAAACAUAAAAACACAUCUAAACAGAAGAUAUAUGUAAAAUUCAUUACUAAACACAAACAAAAACACAAAACACAAAUAAAAUUGGGUUGCCUCCCAACUAACGCUAUCGUUUAACGCCCCUAGCUAGGCAUAAAAGCGAAGAUAGAUCUAAGUAGUGCCAUCUUUGGCACUCGGAAAGGAAAAGGAGGAUCUCCUUUCUAUGGAAUUCAUUCUUCUAUUUAGGGUAAGCACAUUGCCAUUAAUGGAUGAAGUAAGAUUAAGCACGUUACGGAAAUUUGCAUCUAAACUAGACUUCAUCUCUUUGAUAAUUUCAUUUUGAUAAAAGCACACGAGAGUAGUUGAUUCAACCUUAUCAUUCAUAGGGUGCCCAAAUAUGGUUUUCAUUUUUUCAUAGGUAUGUAUUGCAUCCCCUUUAAGAAAACCUUCUUCAAAAAUAGAAUCUAGAACUUGCUUGAAAGAAGCGGGUAAGCCAACAUAAAAACUUUUUAAACUUCAAUUUGAUAUUGUGGCACAUAGCUAGCCUGAAUCUUUAAUAACCUAUCCCAAGCAUCUUUUAAAGACUCGUCAAGCAAAUAGCGAAAAAUUCCAGAGUCAUCUUCAUCAAAAUUAUUUAAGCUCUCAUUGGUGACCCCGGUGGGUCUUUCCAUAGCAUCAUUAUUUAUGAGCUUAGAAAGGAUAGAGGGGUUAUCCAAGGUACUAGAACCCUGGAAGAGACCCUUGGUGAUCUUAGAUUCGGCCAUGGCAACGGAAAGGCAAACGGAAAAGAGAGGAGAUUGGGAAAGAGAGGGAAAAUAAAACGGCAAGGGUGAAGUGGGGGAGAGGAAAACCGAGAGGUAAAUGGCAAAUAAUGAAAAUGUGAGGGAGAUGAGUUUGUGAUGGGUACUUGGUAUGUCUUGACUUGAGCGAAGACCUCCCCGGCAACGGCGCCAGAAAUCCUUCUUGCUACGUCUUGAGCUUGCGUUGGUUUUCCUUGAAGAGGAAAGAGUGAUGCAGCAAUAGUAGCAUAAGUAUUUCCCUCAGUUUUUGAGAACCAAGGUAUCAAUCCAGUAGGAGGCUCCUCAAAAGUCCCACGCACUGAUGUCUACUACACAACCUUCUUCUUGUAGACGUUGUUCGGCCUACAAGUGCACAAGUUUGUAGGACAGUAGCAAAUUUCCCCCAAGUGGAUGAACUAAGGUUUAUCAAUCCGUCGGAGGCGUAGUAUGAAGAUGGUCUCUCUCAAACAACCCUGGAACCAAAUAACAAAGAGUCUCUUGUGUCCCCAACACACCCAAUACAAUGGUAAAUUGAAUAGGUGCACUAGUUCGGCGAAGAGAUGGUGAUACAAGUGCAAUAUGGAUAGUAGAUAUAGGUUUUUGUAAUAUGAAAUUAUAAAAACAGCAAGGUAACAGGUGGUAAAAGUGAGUGUAAAUGGUAUUGCAAUGGUAGGAAACAAGGCAUAAGGUUCAUACUUCCACUAGUGCAAGUUCUCUCAACAAUAAUAACAUAGAUAGAAUAUAUAACAAUCCCUCAACAUGCAACAAAGAGUCACUCCAAAGAUACUAAUAGAGGAGAACAAACGAAGAGUUUAUGGUAGGGUACGGAACCACUUCAAAGUUAUCCUUUCUGUUCUAUCUAUUCAAGAGUUCGUAGUAAAAUAACAUGAAGCUAUUCUUUCCGCUCAAUCUAUCAUAGAGUUCAUACUAGAAUAACACCUCAAGACACAAAUCAACAAAAACCCUAAUGUCACCUAGAUACUCCAUUGUCACCUCAAGUAUCCAUGGGCAUGAUUAUACGAUAUGCAUCACACAAUCUCAGAUUCAUCUAUUCAACCAACACAAAGUACUUCAAAGAGUGCCCCAAAGUUUCUACCGGAGAGUCAAGAUGAAAACGUGCGCCAACCCCUAUGCAUAGGUUCAUGGGCGGAACCCGCAAGUUGGUCAACAAAACAUACAUCAAGUGGCACAUGAUAUCCCAUUGUCACCACAGAUAAGCAAGGCAAGACAUACAUCAAGUGUUCUCAAAUCAUAAAAGACUCAAUCAGAUAAGAUAACUUCAAAGGGGAAAACUCAAUCCAUUACAAGAGAGUAGAGGGGGAGAAACAUCACAAUAUCCAACUAUAAUAGCAAAGCUCGCAAUAGAUAAAGAUCGUGCUAUAGAGAGAACACGAGAGAGAGAGGGAUUAAACACAUAGCUACUGGUACAUACCCUCAGCCCCAAGGGUGAACUACUCCCUCCUCGUCAUGGAGAGCGCCGGGAUGAUGAAGAUGGCCACCGGUGAUGGGUUCCCCCUCCGGAAGGGUGCCGAAACGGGCUACCGAGAGGUUUUUGGUGGCUACAAAGGCUUGCGGCGGCGGAACUCCAGAUCUAUCUUUGUUCUCGGUGUUUUUAGGGUACGUGGGCUUAUACAGGCGAAAGAAGUCGGUCAGGGGGUGCUCAAGGGGCCCACGAGACAGGGGGAGCGCCUAGGGGGGUGCACCCUCCUAUCUUCUGGCCUCCUCGAGGAUCUUCUCAUGUGAACUCCAAGUCUAGGAUCAUAUUCUUCCAAAAAAUCACGCUGCCGAAGGUUUCAUUCCGUUUGGACUCCGUUUGAUAUUCCUUUUCUUUGAAAUACUAAAACAGGCUAUAAAACAACAAUAUGGGCUGGGCCUGUGGUUAAUAGGUUAGUCCCAAAAGUAAUAUAAAAGUGUAUAAUAAAGCCCAUAAUCAUUCAAAAUAGAUAAUAAAAUAGCAUGAAUGCUUCAUAAAUUAUAGAUAUGUUGGAGACGUAUCAGCAUCCCCAAGCUUAAUUCCUGCUCGUCCUCAAGUAGGUAAAUGAUAAAAGAAAGAAUUUAUGAAGUGUGAAUGCUAGAGGUGCACAAGUUUGAUCAAUGAUAAUUUCAAUCACCUUUACGAGCAUCAUUAUAUGUCAUAACAGUAGUUCAUCUCAUAAAACUUUUCAUGAUCAAGUAACAAGCUAUUCACAUGUUAAAGCAUAGACCAUAAACAUUCUUUAAAACUAGCAAACUUCAUUCUUAGUCAUCAAACAAUUGCAAUUCAUCUUAUUUUCAGGAAGGGUCUAUGUUAGAGCUUUGAUUUAGCAAACUUCACAUACUCAACUAUCAUAUAGUCUUCUACAAUUGCUAACACUCACACAAUACUAAUGGUUAUGGAGUUUUAAUCGAACAUUGAGAAAGAUAGGGGCUUAUAGUAUUGCCUCCCAACGUAUUCACCUUUGGGUGAUGUCAACAAUAAUAGUUCAUGCUAACUUACAUCCAAUUAGAUAUAUGUAUCAGGAUCACCCCAACACAAAGUGCUUGCCAAAGGAUAAAAUGAAAAAGGGAAAGGUGAAGAUCACCUUGACUCUUGCAUAAAGUAAAAGACAUAAGGUAAAAGAUAGGACCUUCGCAGAGGGAAGCAGAGGUUGUCAUGCGCUUUUAGGGUUGGAUACACAAAAUCUUAAUGCGAAAGAACGUCACUUUAUAUUGCCCCUUGUUUAUGGACCUUUAUUAUGCAGUCCGUCGCUUUUAUUGCUUCCAUAACAAGAUCGUACAAAGCUUAUUUUCUCCGCACUAAUAAGUCAUUCAUAUUUAGAGAGCAAUUUUUAUUGCUUGCACCGAUGACAACUUACUUGAAGGAUAUUACUCAAUCCAUAGGUAGGUAUGGUGGACUCUCAUGGCAAAAACUGGGUUUAAGAGUAUUUGGAAGCACAAGUAGUAUCUCUACUUGGUUCUAGGAAUUUUGGCUAGCAUGAGGAGGAAAGGCAAGCUCAACAUGUUUGAAUGAUCCAUGACAAUAUGCUUUAACUGAGAUGUGAGAAAACAUAACCCAUUACGUUGUCUUCCUUGUCCAACAUCAACUCUUUAGCAUGUCAUACUUAAUUAGUGCUCACAAUUACAAAAGAUGUCUAAGAUAGUAUAUUUAUAUGUGAAAUUUCUCUUCCUUCAAUAUUCUUUCAUGAAUUGUUCAAAUGACCAAUACAAUGCUUGCUAACCAUCAAUAACCUUACUACCUCUACUUCUUAGAUGUGAAGUCAUUACUCCCCAUGGGAUAAGAAACUGAAACAUAUAUAAUUUUAGAUUUAUGACAUUCAACUCAUUCAACCAUUUACUCAUAGGAUAUAAGUGAAGCACACGAGUAAAUGACAAACUACUCCAAAAAGAUAUAAGUAAAGAUCAAUGAGUAGCUAAAUAAUUAUGCAACUAUGUGAAGACUCUCUCUCAUUAAAGAAUUUCAGAUCUUGGUAUAUUAUUCAAACAGCAAGUAAGCAAAAUGACAUUGCAAGGAUAGCACAACUCGUGUGAAGAAGCAAAAACUUAGGCUCAACCGAUACUAACCGAUAGUUGUUGAAGAAGAAAGGUGGGAUGCAUGCCUCACGGGGCAUCCCCAAGCUUAGAUGCUUGAGACUUCUUGAUAUAUUAUCUUGGGGUGCCCUGGGAAUCCCCAAUCUUGUGCUUUUGUGUCUCCUUAAUUCCUUUUAUAUCAUGGUUUCUCUUUUUAUCAAAAGCUUCAUCCACACCAAACUCAACAAGAACUCGUGAGAUAGGUUAGUAUAAACCAAUGCAAAAUCUUAUCAUUUUCUACUGUAAAAAAUCACUAAAAUUAUUAUUCAACAUUGCAUACUAAAUUACUCUGCAUAUUUAAUACUCCUAUCCUCAAAUAGAAUCAUUAAACAAGCAAACAUAUGCAAAUAAUGCAAACAUAACAGCAAUCUGUCAAAACAGUACAGUCUGUAAAGAAUGCAAGAGUAUCAAUACUUCCCUAACUCCUAAAAUUAUGAGAAAAAUACCACGUUGUAGAAGAUUUAUCAGAGCUCAAUAUGCAAAAAUAUUCAACAAUAUAUCACUCUCUGACUUUUCUAGGGAAUUUUUACAACAGUGGUAAACUUUCUGUUUUCAAACAGCAACAUGUAUACUUGCAAAAUUAGCAUGGUAAAGGCUAUCCUUGACAUUUUUAUUGAAAAUAUAGAUGCAAAACAUUAUUCUAAAUAACAGAAAGCAAAUACUAACAAAAUAAAAUGACGCUCCAAGCAAAACACAUAUCAUGUGGUGAAUAAAAAUAUAGCUCCAAGUAAAGUUAUCGAUGAACGAAGACGAAAGAGGGGAUGCCUUCCGGGGCAUUCCCUGUUGGAAAUAUGCCCUAGAGGAAAUAAUAAAAGGAUUAUUAUGAUAUUUAUUUGUUCAUUAUAGUUGUCUUUUAUUCAUGCUAUAAUUGUAUUAUCCGGAAAUCGUAAUACACGUGUGAAUACUUAGACCACAACAUGUCCCUAGUGAGCCUCUAGUUGACUAGCUCGUUGAUCAACAGAUAGUCAUGGUUUCCUGACUAUGGACAUUGGAUGUCAUUGAUAAUGGGAUCACAUCAUUGGGAGAAUGAUGUGAUGGACAAGACCCAAUCCUAAGCAUAGCACAAGGUCGUGUAGUUCGUUUUUCUAGAGCUUUUCCAAUGUCAAGUAUCUCUUCCUUAGACCAUGAGAUCGUGUAACUCCCGGAUACUGUAGAAGUGCUUUGGGUGUACCAAACGUCACAACGUAACUGGGUGACUAUAAAGGUGCACUACAGGUAUCUCUGAAAGUGUCUGUUGGGUUGACACGGAUCGAGACUGGGAUUUGUCACUUCGUAUUACGGAGAGGUAUCACUGGGCCCACUCGGUAGUGCAUCAUCAUAAUGAGCUCAAAGUGACCAAGUAUAUGGUCACGGGAUCAUGCAUUAUGGUAUGAGUAAAGUGACUCGCCGGCAAUGAGAUUGAACGAGGUAUUGGGAUACCGACGAUCGAAUCUCAGUCAAGUAACAUACCGUCUGACAAAGGGAAUAGUAUACGGGGUUGUUUGAAUCCUCGACAUCGUGGUUCAUCCGAUGAGAUCAUCGAGGAGUAUGUGGGAUCCAACAUGGGUAUCCAGAUCCCGUUGUUGGUUAUUGACUGGAGAGCUGUCUCGGUCAUGUCUGCAUGUCUCCCGAACCCGUAGGGUCUACACACUUAAGGUUCGGUGACGUUAGGGUUGUAUGAAUAUGAGUAUGCAGCAAACCGAAUGUUGUUCGGAGUCCCGGAUGAGAUCCCGGACGUCACGAGGAGUUCCGGAAUGGUCCGGAGGUAAAGAAUUAUAUAUAGGAAGUGCUGUUUCGGCCAUCGGGAAAGUUUCGGGGUCACCAGGUAUUGUACCAGGACCACCGGAAGGGUCCCGGGGGUCCACCGGGUGGGGCCACCUAUCCCGGAGGGCCCCGUGGGCUGAAGUGGGAGGGGAACCAGCCUCUAGUGGGCUGGUGUGCCCCCUUGGGACCCCCUGCACCUAGGGUUGAAAACCCUAGGGUGGGGGCGCACCCCACUUGCCUUGGGGGGCACUCCACCCCCCUGGCCGCCGCCCCCCCUUGGGAGAUUGGAUCUCCCAGGGCCGGCGCCCCCGCCUGGGGGCCUUUAUAAAGGAGGGGGAGGGAGGGCAGCCGCACCCUGUGUCUUGGCGCCUCCCUCCCCCUGCUACACCUCUUCCUCCUCCCGCAAUAGCUUGGCGAAGCCCUGCCAGAGUUCUGCUGCAUCCACCAUCACGCCGUCGUGCUGCUGGAUCUUCAUCAACCUCUCCUUCCCCCUUGCUGGAUCAAGACGGAGGAGACAUCACGUUGACCGUACGUGUGUUGAACACGGAGGUGCCGUCCGUUCGGCGCUAGGAUCUCCGGUGAUAGGAUCACGACGAGAACGACUACCUCAACCCCGUUCUCUUGAACGCUUCCACACGGGAUCUACAAAGUGGUAUGUAGAUGCAUCUCUCUCCUAUCACUCGUUGCUUGGAUGAACUCAUAGAUGGAUCUUGGUGAAACCGUAGAAAAAAAAUUUAUUUUCUGCAACGUUCCCCAACAGUUGCAUCAUGAUCUAGGUCUAUGCGUAGUUCUCUAUUGCACGAGUAGAGCACAAAUCUGUUGUGGGCGUAGAUCUUGUCAACUUGCUUGCCACUACUAGUCUUUUCUUGCUUCAGCGGUAUUGUGGGAUGAAGCAGCCCGGACCGACCUUACACGUACGCUUACGUGAGACAGGUUCCACCGACUGACAUGCACUAGUUGCAUAAGGUGGCUAGCGGGUGUCUAUCUCUCCUACUUUAGUUGGAGCGGAUUCGAUGAAAAGGGUCCUUAUGAAGGGUAAAUAGAAGUUGACAAAAUCACGUUGUAGUUAUUCGUAGGUAAGAAAACAUUCUUGCUAGAACCCAAUUGCAGCCACGUAAAAGAUGCAACAACAAUUAGAGGACGUCUAACUUGUUUUUGCAGCAAUUCUCAUGUGAUGUGAUAUGGCCAGAAGUUGUGAUGAAUGAUGAAUGAUAUAUUAUGAUGUAUGAGAUCAUGUUCUUGUAAUAGGAAUCACGACUUGCAUGUCGAUGAGUAUGACAACCGGCAGGAGCCAUAGGAGUUGUCUUAAUUAUUGUAUGACCUUCGUGUCAAUGAUUUAACGCCAUGUAAUUACUUUACUUUAUUCCUAAACCAUUAGCUAUAGUAGUAGAAGUAAUAGUUGGCGAGCAACUUCAUGGAGGCACGAUGAUGGAGAUCAUGAUGAUGGAGAUCAUGGUGUCAUGCCGGUGACGAAGAUGAUCAUAGAGCCCCGAAGAUGGAAAUCGAAGGAGCUAUAUGAUAUUGGCCAUAUCAUGUCACUACUUUAUAUAAUUGCAUGUGAUAUUUAUUAUGUUUUAUGCAUCUUGUUUACUUAGAACGGCAGUAGUAAAUAAGAUGAUCCCUUAUAAUAAUUUCAAGAAAGUGUUCCCCCUAACUGUGUGCCGUUGUUAAAGUUCGUCGUUUCGAAGCACCACGUGAUGAUCGGGUGUGAUAGAUCCUUACGUUCACAUAUAACGGGUGUAAGACAGUUUUACACAUGCAUAAACACUUAGGUUUAACUUGACGAGCCUAGCAUGUACAGACAUGGCCUCGGAACACAAGAGGCCGAAAGGUCGAACAUGAGUCGUAUGGAAGAUACGAUCAACAUGGAGAUGUUCACCGAUGAUGACUAGUCCGUCUCACGUGAUGAUUGGACACGGCCUAGUUGACUUGGAUCGUGUAACACUUAGACGACUAGAGGGAUGUCAAUCUGAGUGGGAGUUCAUUAAAUAAUUUGAUUAGAUCAACUUACUUAUCAUGAACUUAGUCUAAAGUCUUUGCAAAAUAUGUCUUGUAGAUCAAAUGGCCAACGCUCAUGUCAACAUGAACUUCAACGUGUUCCUAGAGAAAACCAAGCUGAAAUAUGAUGGCAGCAACUAUUCGGACUGGGUCUGGAACCUGAGGCUUAUCCUCAUAGCAGCCAAGAAAGCAUAUGUCCUAGAAGGACCGCUAGGUGAAGCACCCAUCCCAGAGAACCAAGACGUUAUGAACGCUUGGCAGUCACGUGCUGAUGAUUACUCCCUCGUUCAGUGCGGCAUGCUUUACAGCUUAGAACCGGGGCUCCAAAAGCGUUUUGAGCAACAUGGAGCAUAUGAGAUUUUCGAGGAGCUGAAAAUGGUUUUUCAAGCUCAUGCCCGGGUCGAGAGAUAUGAAGUCUCCGACAAGUUCUAUAGUUGUAACAUGGAGGAAAACAGUUCUGUCAGUGAGCACAUACUCAAAAUGUCUGGGUUGCACAACUGCCUGUCCCAGCUGGAGAUCAACCUCCCGGACGAGGCGGUCAUUGACAGAAUCCUUCAGUCGCUCCCAUCAAGUUACAAGAGCUUUGUGAUGAACUACAAUAUGCAGGGGAUGGUAAAGACCAUUCCUGAAGUAUUUUCAAUGCUGAAGUCAGCAGAGGUUGAAAUCAAGAAAGAACAUCAAGUGUUGAUGGUCAAUAAGACGACUAAGUUCAAGAAGGGCAAGGGUAAGAAGAACUUCAAGAAGGACGGCAAAGAUGUUUCCGCGCCCGGUAAGCCAGUUACCAGGAAGAAGUCAAAGAAUGGACCCAAGCCUGAGACUGAGUGCUUUUAUUGCAAAGGGAAGGGUCACUGGAAGCAGAACUGCCCCAAAUACUUAGCGGACAAGAAGGCCGGCAACACUAAAGGUAUAUAUGAUAUACAUGUAAUUGAUGUGUAGCUUACCAGUACUCGUAGUAACUCCUGGGUAUUUGAUACCGGUGCCGUUGCUCACAUUUGUAUCUCACAGCAGGAGCUGCGGAAUAAGCGGAGACUGGCGAAGGACGAGGUGACGAUGCGCGUCGGGAAUGGUUCCAAGGUCGAUGUGAUCGCCGUCGGCACGCUACCUCUACAUUUACCCACGGGAUUAGUUAUGAACCUCAAUAAUUGUUAUUUAGUGCCAAGUUUGAGCAUGAACAUUGUAUCUGGAUCUCGUUUAAUACGAGAUGGCUACUCAUUUAAAUCCGAGAAUAAUGGUUGUUCUAUUUAUAUGAGAGAUAUGUUUUAUGGUCAUGCCCCGAUGGUCAAUGGUUUAUUCUUAAUGAAUCUCGAACGUAAUGUUACACAUAUUCAUAGCGUGAAUACCAAAAGAUGUAAAGUUGAUAAUGAUAGUCCCACAUACUUGUGGCACUGCCGCCUUGGUCUAUUGGUAUCAAGCGCAUGAAGAAGCUCCAUGCUGAUGGACUUCUAGAGUCUCUCGAUUAUGAAUCAUUUGACACAUGCGAACCAUGCCUCAUGGGAAAAAUGACCAAGACUCCGUUCUUCGGAACAAUGGAGCGAGCAACCAACUUAUUGGAAAUCAUACAUACUGAUGUGUGUGGUCCAAUGAGCGUUGAGGCUCGCGGAGGAUAUCGUUAUGUUCUCACUCUCACUGAUGACUUAAGUAGAUAUGGGUAUGUCUACUUGAUGAAACACAAGUCUGAGACCUUUGAAAAGUUCAAGGAAUUUCAGAAUGAAGUAGAGAAUCAACGUGACCGAAACAUAAAAUUCUUACGAUCAGAUUGUGGAGGAGAAUAUUUAAGUCACGAAUUUGGUACGCACUUAAGGAAAUGUGGAAUCGUUUCACAACUCACGCCGCUUGGAACACCUCAGCGUAACGGUGUGUCCGAACAUCGUAAUCGCACUCUAUUGGAUAUGGUGCGAUCUAUGAUGUCUCUUACCGAUUUACCGCUAUCAUUUUGGGGAUACGCUCUAGAGACAACUACAUUCACUUUAAAUAGGGCACUGUCUAAAUCCGUUGAGACUACACCGUAUGAAUUAUGGUUUGGGAAGAAACCUAAGCUGUCGUUUCUAAAAGUUUGGGGCUGCGAUGCUUAUGUCAAGAAACUUUAACCUGAAAAGCUCGAACCCAAGUCGGAAAAAUGCGUCUUCAUAGGAUACCCCAAGGAAACCAUUGGGUAUACCUUCUACCUUAGAUCCGAAGGCAAGAUCUUUGUUGCCAAGAAAGGAUCCUUUCUGGAAAAAGAGUUUCUCUCGAAAGGAGUAAGUGGGGGGAAAGUAGAACUCGAUGAAGUACUACCUCUUGAACCGGAGAGUAGUGCAGCUCAGGAAAAUGUUCCUGUGGUGCCUACACCGACUGGAGAGGAAAUUAAUGAUGAUGAUCAAGGUACUUCAGAUCAAGUUGCUACUGAACUUUGUAGGUCCACGAGGACACGUUCCACACCAGAGUGGUAUGGCAACCUGUCCUGGAAAUCAUGUUGUUAGACAACAGUGAACCUUCGAACUAUGAAGAAGCGAUGGCGGGCCCAUAUUCCAACAAAUGGCUAGAAGCCAUGCAAUCCGAGAUAGAAGCCAUGUACGAAAACAAAGUAUGGACUUUGACUGACUUGCCCGAUGAUCGGCGAGCGAUAGAAAACAAAUGGAUCUUUAAGAAGAAGACGGACGCGGAUGGAAAUGUCACCAUCUUUAAAGCUCGACUUGUCGCUAAGGGUUAUCGGCAAGUUCAACGGGUUGACUACGAUUAGACUUUCUCUCCCGUAGCGAAGCUUAAGUCCGUCCAAAUCAUGUUAGCAAGUGCCGCAUACUAUGAUUAUGAUAUAUGGCAGAUGGACGUCAAAACGGCAUUCCUUAAUGGUUAUCUUAAGGAAGACCUGUAUAUGAUGCAGCCGGAAGGUUUUGUCGAUCCUAAGAAUGCUAACAAAGUAUGCAAGCUCCAUCGAUCCAUUUAUGGGCUGGUGCAAGCAUCUCGGAGUUGGAACAUUCGCUUUGAUGAAAUGAUCAAAGCGUUUGGGUUUAUGCAGACUUAUGGAGAAGCCUGCGUUUACAAGAAAGUGAGUUGGAGCUCUGUAGCAUUUCUCAUAUUAUAUGUAGAUGACAUACUUUUGAUGGGAAAUGAUAUAGAAUUCUUGGACAGCAUUAACGCCUACUUGAAUAAGUGUUUUUCAAUGAAGGACCUUGGAGAAGCUGCUUACAUAUUAGGCAUCAAGAUCUAUAGGGAUAGAUCGAGACGCCUCAUAGGUCUUUCACAAAGCACAUACCUUGAUAAGAUUUUGAAGAAGUUCAAAAUGGAUCAGUCCAAGAAAGGGUUCUUGCCUGUAUUGCAAGGUGUGAGAUUGAUCUCGGCUCAAUGCCCGACCACGGCAAAAGAUAAAGAAGAGAUGAGUGUCAUCCCCUAUGCCUCAGCCAUAGGAUCUAUUAUGUAUGCCAUGUUGUGUACUAGACCACAUGUAAACCUUGCCGUAAGUUUGGUAGGUAGGUACCAAAGUAAUCCCGGCAAGGAACACUAGACAGCAGUCAAGAAUAUCCUGAAGUGCCUGAAAAGGACAAAGGACAUGUUUCUCGUUUAUGGAGGUGACGAAGAGCUCGUCGUAAAGGGUUACGUCGACGCUAGCUUCGACACAGAUCUGGAUGACUCUAAGUCACAAACCGGAUACGUGUAUAUGUUGAAUCGUGGAGCAGUAAGCUAGUGCAGCUGCAAGAAGAGCGUCGUGGAGGGAUCUACAUGUGAAGCGGAGUACAUGGCAGCCUCGGAGGCAGCGCAUGAAGCAAUUUGGGUGAAGGAGUUCAUCACCGACCUAGGAGUCAUACCCAAUGCGUUUGGGCUGAUCAAACUCUUCUGUGACAACACUGGAGCUAUUGCCCUUGCCAAGGAGCCCAGGUUUCACAAGAAGACCAGGCACAUCAAGCGUCAUUUCAACUCCAUUCGUGAAAAUGACCAAGAUGGAGACAUAGAUAUUUGCAAAGUACAUACGGAUCUGAAUGUCGCAGAUCUGUUGACUAAACCUCUUCCGCGAGCAAAACAUGAUCAACAUCAAAACUCUAUGGGUGUUCGAUUCAUCACAAUGUAACUAGAUUAUUGACUCUAGUGCAAGUGGGAGACUGUUGGAAAUAUGCCCUAGAGGCAAUAAUAAAAGGAUUAUUAUUAUACUUCUUUGUUCAUGAUAGUUGUCUUUUAUUCAUGCUAUAAUUGUAUUAUCCGGAAAUCGUAAUACACGUGUGAAUACUUAGACCACAACAUGUCCCUAGUGACCCUCUAGUUGACUAGCUCGUUGAUCAACAGAUAGUCAUGGUUUCCUGACUAUGGACAUUGGAUGUUGUUGAUAACGGGAUCACAUCAUUGGGAGAAUGAUGUGAUGGACAAGACCCAAUCCUAAGCAUAGCACAAGGUCGUGUAGUUCGUUUUGCUAGAGCUUUUCCAAUGUCAAGCAUCUCUUCCUUAGACCAUGAGAUCGUGUAACUCCCGGAUACCGUAGAAGUGCUUUGGGUGUACUAAACGUCACAACGUAACUGGGUGACUAUAAAGGUGCACUACAGGUAUCUCCAAAAGUGUCUGUUGGGUUGACAUGAAUCGAGACUGGGAUUUGUCACUCCGUAUUACGGGGAGGUAUCACUGGGCCCACUCGGUAGUGCAUCAUCAUAAUGAGCUCAAAGUGACCAAGUGUAUGGUCACAGGAUCAUGCAUUACGGUACGAGUGAAGUGACUUGCCGGCAACGAGAUUGAAUGAGGUAUUGGGAUACCGACGAUCGAAUCUCGGGCAAGUAACAUACCGUCUGACAAAGGGAAUAGUAUACGGGGUUGUUUGAAUCCUCGACAUCGUGGUUCAUCCGAUGAGAUCAUCGAGGAGUAUGUGGGAGCCAACAUGAGUAUCCAGAUGCCGCUGUUGGUUAUUGACCGGAGAGCCGUCUCGGUCAUGUCUGCAUGUCUCCCGAACCCGUAGGGUCUACACACUUAAGGUUCGGUGACGCUAGGGUUGUAUGAAUAUGAGUAUGCAGCAAACCGAAUGUUGUUCGGAGUCCCGGAUGAGAUCCCGGACGUCACGAGGAGUUCCGGAAUGGUCCGGAGGUAAAGAAUUAUAUAUAGGAAGUGCUGUUUCGUCCAUCGGGAAAGUUUCGGGGUCACCCGGUAUUGUACCGGGACCACCGGAAGGGUCCCGGGGGUCCACCGGGUGGGGCCACCUAUCCCGGAGGGCCCCGUGGGCUGAAGUGGGAGGGAAACCAGCCCACUGCGCCCCCUUGGGCCCCCCUGCGCCUAGGGUUGAAAACCCUAGGGUGGGGGGCGCACCCCACUUGCCUUGGGGGGCACUCCACCCCCUGGUCGCCGCCCCCCCCUUGGGAGAUUGGAUCUCCCAGGGCCGGCGCCCCCGCCUGGGGGCCUUUAUAAAGGAGGGGGGAGGAAGGGCAGCCGCACCCUAUGUCUUGGCGCCUCCCUCCCCCUGCUACACCUCUUCCUCCUCCUGCAAUAGCUUGGCGAAGCCCUGCCGGAGUUCUGCUGCAUCCACCACCACGCCGUCGUGCUGCUGGAUCUUCAUCAACCUCUCCUUCCCCCUUGCUGGAUCAAGACGGAGGAGACGUCAUGCUGACCGUACGUGUGUUGAACACGGAGGUGCCGUCCGUUCGGCGCUAGGAUCUCCGGUGAUAGGAUCACGACGACAACGACUACCUCAACCCCGUUCUCUUGAACGCUUCCGCACGCGAUCUACAAAGUGGUAUGUAGAUGCAUCUCUCUCCUAUCACUCGUUGCUUAGAUGAACUCAUAGAUGGAUCUUGGUGAAACCGUAGAAAAAAAAUUAUUUUCUGCAACAUUCCCCAACAUCCCAAGCUUAGGCUCUUGGUUGUCCUUGAAUAUUACCUUGGGGUGCCUUGGGCACCCCCAAGAUUAGGCUCUUGCCACUCCUUAUUCCAUAGUCCAUCAAAUCUUUACCCAAAACUUGAAAACUUCAACCACACAAAACUCAACACAAAACUCGUAAGCUCUGUUAGUAUAAGAAAAUAAAACCACCACUUAGGUACUGUAGUGAACUCAUUCUAAAUUCAUAUUGGUGUAAUAUCUACUGUAUUCUAACUUCUCUAUGGUUCAUACCCUCCGACACUACUCAUAGAUUCAUCAAAAUAAGCAAACAACACAUAGAAAACAGAAUCUGUCAAAAACAGAACAGUCUAUAGUAAUCUGUAUGAAACGUAUACUUCUGGAACUCAAAACAUUCUGAAUUAAAUUUCUGGACCUGAGGAAUUUGUCUAUUAAUCAUCUUCAAAAAGAAUCAACCUAAAAUCACUCUCCAGUAAAAAAAUGGCAGCAAAUCUUGUGAGCGCUAAAGUUUCUGUUUUUUACAGCAAGAUCACAUAAACUUCACCCAAGUCUUCCCAAAGGUUCUACUUGGUACUUUAUUGAAACAAAAGCUAUAAAACAUGAUUACUACAGUAGCAUAAUCAUGUAGACACACAAAAACAGUAAGGGUAAAUAUUGGGUUGUCUCCCAACAAGCGCUUUUCUUUAAUGCCUUAUUAGCUAGGCAUGAUGAUGACAAUGAUGCUCACAUAAAAGAUAAGAAUUGAAACAUAAAGAGAGCAUCAUGAAGAAUAUGACUAGCACAUUUAAGCCUAACCCACUUCCUAUGCAAAGAGAUUUUGUGAGCAAACAACUUAUGGGAACAAUAAUCAACUAGCAUAGGAAGGCAAAACAAGAAUAGCUUCAAGAUUUUAAACACAUAGAGAGGAAACUUGAUAUUAUUGCCAUUCCUACAAGCAUAUGUUCUUCCCUCAUAAUAAUGAUCAGUAGCAUCAUGAAUGAAUUCAACAAUAUAAGCAGCACCUAAAUCAUUCUUUUCAUGAUCUACAAGCAUAGAAAACUUGCUACUCUCCACAUAAGCAAAAUUCUUCUCAUUCGGAAUAGUGGGAGUAAACUCAACAAAAUAAUUAUCAUGAGAGGCAUAAUCCAAUUGAAAACUAAAAUCAUGAUGACAAGUUUCAUGGUUAUCAUUAUUCUUAAUAGCAUAAAAGUCAUCACAAUAAUCCUCAUAGAUAGCAACUUUGUUCUCAUAAUCAAUUGGAACCACUUCCGAAAUAGUGGAUUCAUCACUAAAUAAAGUUGACACUCUUCCAAACCCACUUUCAUCAAUAUAAUCAUCAUAAAUAGGAGGCAUGCUAUCGUCAAAAAAAAUUUGCUCAUCAAAACUUGGGGGACAAAAAAUAUCAUCUUCAUCAAACAUAGCUUCCCCAAGCUUGUGGCUUUGCAUAUCAUUAGCAUCAUGGAUAUUCAAGGAAUUCAUACUAACAACAUUGCAAUCAUGCUCAUCAUACAAAGAUUUUAUGCCAAACAUUUUAUAGACUUCUUCUUCUAGCACUUGAGCACAAUUUUCCUUACCAUCAUUCUCACGAAAGAUAUUAAAAAGAUGAAGCGUAUGAGACAAACUUAACUCCAUUUUUUUGUAGUUCUCUUUUAUAGACUAAACUAGUGAUAAAACAAGAAAUAAAAAGAUUCGAUUGCAAGAUCUAAAGAUAUACCUUCAAGCACUCACCUCCCCGGCAACGACGCCAGAAAAGAGCUUGAUGUCUACUACACAACCUUCUUCUUGUAGACGUUGUUGGGCCUGCAAGUGCACAAGUUUGUAGAACAGUAGCAAAUUUCCCUCAAGUGGAUGACCUAAGGUUUAUCAAUCCGUGGGAGGCGUAGGAUGAGGAUGGUCUCUCUCAAACAACCCUGCAACCAAAUAACAAAGAGUCUCUUGUGUCCCCAACACGCCCAAUACAAUGGUAAAUUGUAAAGGUGCACUAGUUCGGCGAAGAGAUGGUGAUACAAGUGCAAUAUGGAUAGUAGAUAUAGGUUUUUGUAAUAUGAAAUUAUAAAAACAGCAAGGUGACAAGUGGUAAAAGUGAGCGUAAACGAUAUUGCAAUGGUAGGAAACAAGGCAUAAGGUUCAUACUUUCACUAGUGCAAGUUCUCUCAACAAUAAUAACAUAGAUAGAUCAUAUAACAAUCCCUCAACAUGCAACAAAGAGUCACUCCAAAGACACUAAUAGCGGAGAACAAACGAAGAGACUAUGGUAGGGUACAAAACCACCUCAAAGUUAUCCUUUCUGUUCUAUCUAUUCAAGAGUUCGUAGUAAAAUAACAUGAAGCUAUUCUUUCCGCUCAAUCUAUCAUAGAGUUCAUACUAUAAUAACACCUUAAGACACAAAUCAACCAAAACCCUAAUGUCACCUAGAUACUCCAUUGUCACCUCAAGUAUCCGUGGGCAUGAUUAUACGAUAUGCAUCACCCAAUCUCAGAUUCAUCUAUUCAACCAACACAAAGUACUUCAAAGAGUGCCCCAAAGUUUCUACCGGAGAGUCAAGACGAAAACGUGUGCCAACCCCUAUGCAUAGGUUCAUGGGCGGAACCCGCAAGUUGGUCACCAAAACAUGCAUAAAGUGGCACAUGAUAUCCCAUCGUCACCACAGAUAAGCAUGGCAAGACAUACAUCAAGUGUUCUCAAAUCAUAAAAGACUCAAUCAGAUAAGAUAACUUCAAAGGGGAAAACUCAAUCCAUUACAAGAGAGUACAGGGGGAGAAACAUCACAAGAUCCAACUAUAAUAGCAAAGCUCGCGAUACAUCAAGAACGUGCCAUAGAGAGAACAAGAGAGAGAGAGAGAGAGAGAGAGAUCAAACACAUAGCUACUGGUACAUACCCUCAGCCCCAAGGGUGAACUACUCCCUCCUCAUCAUGGAGAGCGCUGGGAUGAUGAAGAUGGCCACCGGUGAUGGGUUCCCCCUCCGGCAGGGUGCCGGAACGGGCUCUCGAGAGGUUUUUGGUGGCUAUAAAGGCUUGCGGCCGCGGAACUCCCGACCUAUCUUCGUUCUCGGUGUUUUUAGGAUACGUGGGCUUAUAUAGGUGAAAGAAGUCGGUCGGGGGGUGCUUGAGGGGCCCACGAGACAGGGGGCGCGCCUAGGGGGGUGGGUGCGCCCUCCUAUCUCCUGGCCUCCUCGAGGAUCUUAUGACGUGAACUCCAAGUCUCCAGGAUCAUAUUCUUCCAAAAAAUCAUGCUACCGAAGGUUUCAUUCCGUUUGGACUCCGUUUGAUAUUCCUUUUCUUUGAAAUACUGAAACAGGCAAUAAAACAACAAUAUGGGCUGGGCCUCCGGUUAAUAGGUUAGUCACAAAAGUAAUAUAAAAGUGUAUAAUAAAGUCCGUAAUCAUUCAAAACAGAUAAUAAAAUAGCAUGAAUGCUUCAUAAAUUAUAGAUACGUUGGAGACGUAUCACGCACCUACACAAACAAACAAAGAACUCGCAACCAACGCAAUAAAGGGGUUGUCAAUCCCUUCACGGCCACUUGCGAAAGUGAGAUCUGAUAGAGAUAGUAUGAUAAGAUAAAUAUAUUUUUGGUAUUUUAUAAUAUAGAUUGGAAAAGUAAAGAUGCAAAUAAAAGUAGAUUGAAAACUUAUAUGAUAAAAGAUAGACACGGGGGCCAUAGGUUUCACUAGUGGCUUCUCUCAAGAUAGCAUAAGUAUUACGGUGGGUGAACAAAUUACUGUCGAGCAAUUCAUAGAAAAGUGAAUAAUUAUGAGAUUAUCUAGGCAUGAUCAUGUAUAUAGGCAUCACGUCCGCGACAAGUAGACCGACUCCUGCCUGCAUCUACUACUAUUACUCCACACAUCGACCGUUAUCCAACAUGCAUCUAGAGUAUUAAGUUCAUAAGAACAGAGUAAUGCAUUAAGAAAGAUGACAUGAUGUAGAGGGAUAAACUCAUGCAAUAUGAUAUAAACCCCAUCUUUUUAUCCUCGAUGGCAACAAUACAAUAUGUGCCUUGCAACCCCUAUUGUCACUGGGUAAGGACACCGCAAGAUUGAACCCAAAGCUAAGCACUUCUCCCAUGGCAAGAAAGAUUAAUCUAGUAGGCCAAACCAAACUGAUAAUUCAAAGAGACUUCCAAAGAUAACUCAAUAAUACAUAAAAGAAUUCAGAGGUGAUUCAAAUAUUUCUCAUAGAUAAACUUGAUCAUAAACCCACAAUUCAUCGGAUCUCGACAAACACACCGCAAAAAGAGUUAUAUCAAAUAGAUCUCCACAAGAGAGGGGUGAACAUGGUAUUGAGAUCCAAAAAGAGAGAAUAAGUCAUCUAGCUAAUAACUAUGGACCCGAAGGUCUGUGGUAAACUACUCACAACUCAUCGAAGGGGCUAUGGUGUUGAUGUAGAAGCCCUCCGUGGUCGAUUCCCCCUCCGGCGGGCGAAGGCUCCAAGAUGGGAUCUCGCGGAUACAGAAGGUUACGGUGGUGGAAAUUGUUUUUUGUUGGCUCCCUGGAUGUUUUCGGGGUACGUGGGUAUAUAUAGGAGGAAGAAGUAGGUUGGUGGCCGCCCAAGGGGACCACGAGAUAGGGGGGUGCGCCCUGUAGGGGUGGGUGCGCCCUCCAUCCUCGUGGCUGCCUCGGCUGCUUCUUGGCUUGCACUCCAAGUCCUCUAGAUCACGUUCGUUCCAAAAAUCACGCUCGUGAAGGUUUCAUUCUGUUUGGACUCCAUUUGAUAUUCGUUUUCUUCGAAAUACUGAAAUAGACAAAAAACAGCAAUACGGGCUCGGCCUCCGGUUAGUAGGUUAAUCCCAAAAAAGAUAUAAAUGUGUAAAAUAAAGCUCAUAAACAUCCAACAGGGGUAAUAUAAUAGCAUGGAACAAUCAAAAAUAUAGAUACGUUGGAGACGUAUCAAUCCCCAAAUAGGAACUUAGGAGGCCGAGGUCGCUCAUCUUAAACAGCUGCUGCAUCUGAUUCUUGAACUGAUCGUUGUAGGCUUUAUCAGUGCCGGUGAUAAUCAAAUCAACAACAUACACACCCACCAGAAAGUACGAGUGCGCAUCUCCACGCCGGUAAACCGCGUGCUCGAGUGGGCUUCGUUCGAACCCGAGAGCACCCAAGGUCCCGUCGAGUUUUGCAUGCCAUGCCCUCGGAGCCUCUCACAAGCCAUAAAGUGCCUUCUCGAGUUUUAGAACUUGAUGCUCGUUUCUGGCAGCAAUGUACCCCGGUGGUUGUGCCACAUACACCUCCUCGGCGAGGUCUCCGUCCAGGAACGCAGAUUUCAUGUCCAUGUGGUGAACCUCCAAACCGGAGUGUGCAGCCAUGGCGAGGAAGAGGUGUACAGUCUCCAUCUGCGCCACAGGUGCGAACACUUUGUCAAAGUCCAUGCCCUCACGCUGUGAGCCUUAACAACCAGCCGUGCCUUGUGUUCGAUGAUGUUGCCGUCAGGAUCACACUUCACCUUAAAUACCCACUUCAACCCGAUCGCCUUGUGUCCCUUAGGAAAAUUGGAGAGCUGUCAUGUGGAGUUCUCUGUGAUCGAGUCCAUUUCAACAUCCAUGGCCCCCUUCCAAGUGGCGUCAGCAAGUGAAUCGUCGACGUUCGACAGCUCCUCGGUGCUCAGGAGGCAGCGCUGCAUCGCCUCGCGCACGGCCUCCCCCUCAUUCUCGUCGAGGACACAGGAGAGGCGGCGAUAGCGAAUGGGCCCAGUGUCCAUGUCGCGGCCGUCAUCGUGGGUCAGUGGUGUGGCCCAGCGGAUCUCCAGUCUCGUAGCAGGUGUCGCCAUCUUGGUCUGGGGUGAGCCGUGCGCGCUCACCGAUGGCAUGAGCUCCGCAGGAAAUGUCACCGCUGGUGUCGACAUGGGGGAUGCAGUCGCCGCGCGGUGCAGCCAGUGGCGCGGGCAUUGCCACUGUCAAGCUCAUGCAUGCCGUGUGCCGUGGUAUAGACCACGAUGAUGGUUGCUGAUGCCGGCGUGUCCGCGGCCGUGCCCAGAGCGCACCAUGUCCUUAGCCUGCCUUCCUCGAAGACUACAUCAUGCAUGAUCUGGACCUUCUCAGUCACGGGAUCGUACACACGGUAAGCAGGGCCGGGCCCAUAGUGGUAGAAAAUGUGCGGCCGGCACAGGGCCCAAAAAUCUAGGGGGCCGAAUUUUUUCAUAUAGGCCUAGUAUUAAAAACAAAAAACGGUACUAGGCCGCUGGAGUGGGCUAGAGACCUGGAGUCGAGGCGACUAGGCAUCGAGCGACAAGCGUGAUCUCCUCGACUCCUCCUACUCGAUCGCUACGGGUUUCUGUAAAAAAACUCGAUCGCUACAAUGAUCGGGGAUCGCUAGACCAGAAUCGUGAAAAGUGAAAACUCUCGAUCGUGGGGCGUAUCGUCGCCCCGUCCCUGGUUCCUGGUCGCCCCGUCCCUGGUGAUUAGAUCGAUCAGAUCACAGGGCGACCGGCCGCUGCCUACUUGCCUUCCUCGCCUCCUCUCUCUCAAUUUGGAUUGAUCGCUAGCCUCCACGUGCUCAAAGAAUACUAAAAAACAAAGAUGUUCAAAUAAAUAGCAACAAGGAGUUGGAUAGGUAUGACUUUUUUAUAUGUCCAAUUGUUAUGUAAGACAUAUAUUAUAUAUUCCUCUGUAAAUUAGUGUAAGAGCGUUUAAAUCAUUAAAGUAGUGAACGCUCUUAUAUAAGUUUACGGCAGGAGUACAUUAUAAUUUUUUCUACGAUAUAUAUGUACAUUAUAAUUGCUUGUUAGUUCUUUUUUCAAUAUAGAGCCCCAUUUUUUAGUUUCGCACGGGGCCCAUGAUUUUGCCGGCCUGGCCCUGACGGUAAGCCUUGGAGCCCUCCUCGUAGCCGAUGGAGACCAUAGGCGUUGAGCGAUCACUCAAUUUGGUGAUGCCGAGGACGACCUUCUUGACAUGAACCGUGCACCAGAAGGUGUGUAUGUGUUGUACGCUGGGUUUGCGGCCGUAGCACGCCUCAUAUGGGGUGACACCAUAUCCAAGCUGCGUGUAGGAGCUCGGUUCAGGACGUAGACAACAGUUUUCACCGCUUCCACCCAGAAAUAUGUCGGCAGGCUCAUACUCUUCAUCAUAUAUAUGCCGUCUUCAUCACAGUCUGAUUCCGCCGUUCCACCACCCUGUUUUGUUGGGAAGAGUAUGGGGCAGUGGUGUAGUGUUUGACCCCGAUCUUUUCAUAGUACGCCUUGAAUUCGCCGGAGUUAAACUCCCCGCUGCGAUUUGAGUGAAAAGCGCGCAGCUUGCACUUGCCGUCCGUCUCUGCCAAUGCCUUGACCUUUUUGAAGCGGUGGAAAGCCUCGUACAUGGUCUUCAUGAGCUCUAACCACAUGUAGCGACUGUGGUCAUCAACAAUCAACAAAAAAAUACUUGUUACCUCCAGGUGUGGUUGGCUCUAUCGGCCCAGAAAGGUCAGUGUGCAUGAGCUCUAGCCCAUGCUCUACACGAUACGCCGUGGCUCGGGGGAACGGUGCACGGUGUUGCUUUGCCAAAGCGCACCCGUCACAGUAUUCUUCAACCCGGUCGAUGACGGCCAUGCCACGCACCAGAUGCUUCAUGGACAUGGUCCGGAGCGUGUGGAAAUGCAGGUGUCCCAUGUGCGCGUGCCACCGCCAUGUCGCCUCAUCACCCUGGGCCAUCAGAUAGGUCGGGGUGUCGAUGGUGAUCUGCCCCGUUUACAGCAAGCUGCACAACCUCUUGACGCGGGCAAUGAUCUGUCGUGCCAGGUCGCGAAUGGCCAUGAUCCCACACUCGAUGGUGAUGGAGCAGCCGCCCUCAUCCAGCUGCCCCACGAAGAUGAUGUUACUUCGCAGGCUCGGGAUGAAGAAGACGCUUGCGAGUGCUCGCUGAUCUCUGCUCUGUCAACGAAAAACUACGGAGUCUUGCCCUCGGAUGGCAACAACCGACCCUUCGCCGAAUUUCACGGUGUCGUGCACACCGUCACCGAGCAUAGAGAACAUAGCCCUGUCUCUGGUCAUGUGGCUGGAGUUGCCGAGUAAUGCUACACCUACGGGAAGCUACGAAAACUUUUACGUAAUUGCCGCCGGGGCACACCGCUGAAAUCAGAGGGGGGCGGUUAAUUAGGAGUGGAUGGUUCAUUAGACGAGUAAGAAUAGGACAAGUCAGCACGUAAGCUCAGUACGUAAAAAUCUGUACGUAAGUCUAGCAUUUUUGUGGAGUUGCCGGUAUCAAAGUACCAAAGGCCCAUGGGAGAGGAGACAGGGAUUACCUUCUCUUUGUUGAGAAAAAUAGUCUGCGGCCCCACGAUCUCUUAUGUGGAGACAGUUGUGACCACCGCCAUGAGCAGUUCCUGAUCAUUUUCGUCGCCUGCCUGGGCCAGGUUUGCCUGAUCCUACUUCCCAUUCUGCUCUUGUUCACAGAGCCACGUGCGAUACUCCUUCUUCCAGUGCCAGGUAUGCCACAGUAGUGACAUUUCCCCUUUUUCUUCUUGCUGCCAGAGCCGCCCGUGCCCGUGUUCCCCUGCGCACACUUUCCACCGCCUUGAGAUCUGGGCUUAGCGGGCGACUUGCUCUUGCCGCCGCCGCCGCCGGAUGAUGACCCACCGCCACCGCCCUGCCUCUCUCGGGCAAGCCACUCUUCGUGAAUGAGCAGGAGGCACCCGAUGGACUGUGUGGCGUCGUCUAGGUUGUAGUGGUCCUUGCACGCGGAGAAGUGCCCGGCGAGCUCCUCGAUGGACAUCGUUUUCAGAUCGAUGAGGGACUCGAUCGCCAUGGCCAUCUGGCGUUCCUUCCGCGGCACGACGCGGAGGAACUUUUGUACGGCCUUGUGCUCCAUCACGGGAUCGCCGUACAACUCGAGGUCGGCAACUAGACCGGUGAGCCGCAGUGCGAAGUCCUUGACAGAGUCCCUGCCUUUGAAAUGGAGAUCCUUGAACUCGCAGCGGUGCACUUGCGCCUUGGCCUCGCGAGCCCUCUCGCUCCCCAUGCGGAGGGUCUUGAUAGUCUCCCAGGUGGUCUUGGCCGUGUCCUUGACCGCCAGUACCCGAAGCAUCUCCGACGGCACCCCGAUGAGGAUGAUCUGCAGCACGCAUCGGUCAUCGCGCUUGUCAGCAGCGCCGUCGUCACAGCGGACCAGACGCCGGUGACCUACAGCUUGACCUGUAUCACGAGCGCCCACUCGAUGUAGUUGGUGCGAGUGUGCACCAUGGUCGACGACGAGCUCUCGCUCUCCUGCACCACCCUCUCGAUGAUGCGGAUCUCACCGCUGCCGUUGCCCGUCAGGCGCGCCAGGGGCGCCGUGGACGGUGGCGUCAUUUGCGGCAACUUGGUGCUGCUCUUGUUCUUCUCCUCCGACUCGUCGCCUGACAUGUAUGCCAUGGAUCAAACACCGCCGGACCGCCAAGGAUCAAACACCAUGGCUCUGAUGUCAAUUGUGGUUGCCAAACGAGCGAUCGAGAGAGAGAUGCGAGCGAGAACGAUGAACACGAACUGGAGAGAGAGUGGUUUUUUGGCUGCACAAACCUCGCAGCUUUUCUGCUAUCUUUCUCUUUCUCUUAUCUUAGUUACACUGAGUGAAAACAACUAACUAGCUAACCUCCCGGCCUGCUCGCUGUGAUCCGGUGAACUCGCGCCAUCCCACGACUCCUUCACACGUCCAUAUGUGCUGACCGGGAGAGAAACAACGAGAAAGAAGGAGCGCGUGCACUGUGCACGUCUCCACUACGUGCGUGCAUGCGGCUGUCACAUCAGGCCCAUGCACACAUUAUUUACAACAGAAAAAUAUAGCAUCCUACGCUGAGUGAUGAUGAGCUUAUAGCAGGCUAACACGCACUGGGAGACUCUGAAGGGGCAUAGGUGGCCGUCGCAACCGAAGCGAUCAAUGACGCUCGUGCAGUGGUUAUUACCGAGUGAAGGACAGCGGCCCAUGUGGGUAAGGAGCUCAGCUCAGCUUAUAAAAAGGAAAAAAGACUCCAAAGAAAAUACAAAACUGGAGCUUAACAUUUGACUAGCGUCGCACAAUGACUACCAUAGAGUACAAUAGCAUUCCAGGAUUCCCGCAAAAUAACAAUUAGCAUUCCAGUUCCAGGAACGAAUUUAAAGAUUAACACCAUUGUGUUCGUACCAACAAUAUGGAUUUAUUAUACUUAACAAGUACAAAUUUGAGUCCUCACGGUGUCAUGCGUCUGAAUAUCAGAACUAUAUCCAUAAAUCUGGGAUACAAAUGUGUAAUAAGGUGCAGAAGGCACAAGAAUUAGAUAUGCACAAGAAUAAUCUUACAAGUGCAGAUUCUAUUCAAGUAUGCUUCCAGAAUGCUUGGCAUAAAAUGUUCUUGAAUGUAUAUGAAAUCAGGCUUAGGUCAUCAGACAUCAGUUGUCUUCUUCUUCUUUGGCACAUACUGUCGAGCCCAUAGAUGUUUUCCCCUGGUCAUGAACUUAACUCUCAUAUUCCCGUCUAGAACACGGAAGAGUGUCAUCUGUGAGUAAAAUGUAAUGUGUGCGUACAGUGGUGGCCUACUUCCGAUUGGCUCCUCUACACUUAUUUCUUCAAUAUCUCCAUAGUGCCUGUGACAUGGAAGAAAUUAAUGAAACAAAAUUAGAAACUGCAUAUAUAGGCAAAACUAUUGAAAUGAAUUUAAUCUACUGAAUUUUCUCCUGAAAUUCCAUUUGUGUUCCUUACUAUUCCCUCCGUUCCUAAAUAUAAGUCUUUGUAGAGAUUUCACUAUGGACUACAUACGGAGCAAAAUGAAUGAAUCUACACUCUAAAAUGCAUCUACAUACAUCCGUAUGGGGUUCAUAGUGAAAUCUCUCCAAAGACUUAUAUUUAGAAACGGAGGGAGUAUAUCCUUACAUGUCUUUUAUGUCAAUUAUAUGUAACUAUCAAAUUGAUCACUUUAACUAGUAGAUUUCAGAUUUUGCGACCUCUAUUGAUCGCCUUCACAGAUUGAGGGGUUGGGGUGUAUGUCUUCACACCUCCCUUUAUGAGGACAUCAGGACGGUUUUUCUGGCGCCUAGCAAAGAAGAUAGCAGCAACCUGUUGAGCAUUUUGCAACCUUCGAUGAGGUUAUCAGUCAUGUUUCCAAUGUGCUGCAAAAGCUCUUAGUGCCUACUACCUUUGUUCGUCCAUCGAUCUGAACAGCAUCCUUCUUGAUUGUUGGGAUGUUUGCACUCAAUUCCAACUGCCGCACUUAGAUCUUCCUCUGUCAGCGAAUCAUUUGAAAAGCGUGUACAAGAUCAUGUGCAAGCGUAUUAAUUAACUUGCAUGGCAUGGCAAAGAAAAACGCAUUGGUUAUCGGUCCUUAAUUCACAAGCUAUGAUGUUGGUCAUGGCUUUCAUGGAAGACCCGGAUAGGGCAUAGGAUUGGGACCCCCUUGCGACGCCAUUGAUAUGGACCUCUUCUAUGAUGUUACCACGAUGACCAUUGGACAUGGUAAAACCGCAGCCUUUUGGCAUGCAACUUGGCUUGGGGUCCGCAAAAGAAAAGACAUUGCACUAUCCAUUUUAAAAAUUUAUAUGCAUAGGAACCUAACCAUGGAGAGAGAUUUUUUAGUACGAUUGAUGGAUCAACAACAUUAAGAUAAAUUUUGGUCUCUUUGUGGAACACAUCAUUGAUUAUUUUUUCUGCUUUGGGUCAAUUUGCAAGACACUCAAGCGAUGACAACAAGAAUUAAACUGUUUGGAACCUUACUGCUUCGGUAGAGUAGUCGACAUCAUUGGAAUAUACUCUUUAAAGUGUUUAGUUAAUGAAGCCAGAUUUUUGGAAAAAUUGAUUGUCGUCUAAGAGAAAGAAAUAUUCUUGGCUUAUCUUGCAAGAAAGGGUGUGGACAGCUAAUAUAUUACAAUUUUGCAAAAGGGCCCCAGAAAUUUUACGUUCAUGAGGCGGAUUUACAGUGCGAUAAAAGUGUUGUUUGGGCUUAUUGAUGUUAACACUGGUGAAUGGAGUUACUUCAACUCGGCCAAAGAUUGGUGAUAUUAUGUGAUCAAGAUCAACGGAAACAUGAGGAGGUGGGUCUAUUCCCUCCUCCGUACUAUCAGAUUCGGCUUGUAAAGAGUUGCACCAGAUACCACUUCCAAGAGCCAAACUAGUGUGAGCUUCUCUUACUUAAUCUCUCACCAAUUCCCACAAACUCUCUAAAUUCCCACACAUAGUUCGCAGUAGAUACCAGAUACCAAACAAAGCACUAGGAAAUAAAAUGACACAACAUUUUCCAUUACCCUAACCCCCUCGUCUAAACUCCCAUCCCCUUCGCCAAUGUUGCCAAACACACUAUGAGAAAAUACAUGCCAUUAUGGACCACAUAGGGAGUGGAGUUUAGUCAUAACUUAAUGCUUUUACCUUUUCAUACCAAAUUAUAUGAAAGCUCUACUUUUCCAAAUUUACUAUUAAUUAUGCAUCACAUACCUAAUGCGUAAACUAUUCAAUGUUCCUGCAUCCCACCAUCCGGGGCGGCAUGGUAGGUGACCAUUCCGGCCCACCAAACACUUUUCACUACAACUCUCUGAUCCCCGGUGAGUGGCAGCCAGAGAGCUCACGAAGCUCGAGGACGGCGUCAUUGAGACGCUCUUCAUGUGCACCUCAUUACAAUAGCGAGUGGCGCACCUACGUUUGGCGGUUGGGCGACAAGGAAGUCCUAGUUGACGACCAAGAGCCAGCGCCGCGUUCGGUGCCCUCCUAUGUUAGUGGGGCUUUGUGGAUCUUAAGUUGAAACCUCUCGCAAGCGGAGCUCUAUCAACACGAUAAUGUGGCGAUUCACUUUGAAAGUUUGGAUGGAGCACCAUAUCCCUCCUCUCUGCUGCUAGCUAGUAGUGUGUGUGAGUAUGCACCGAACGUCGAUUUUGAAUUUUGGUGCUUUGGACCAGGAUGGUAGUCUAGAUCUAAGAGGGGUUUUUGUAGCAAACUAGUGGUCUGCACUUGGAGAUCUACUGGUCGGCAUUGGGUCUCAUGGUUGCGAAGGAUUGUUUCUUCCUUCUUUUGUUGUGAAGGCGUGGGGUUUGAAAGUCGGGGUGGUAGCCCUGGAUGGUGGUCACUCCUGUGUCCUAAUGGUGAACCUUGCAAUGCAGGGUGCUAGUUGGCUGCUAAGGCAAUAGAGUGGUCUUCUUAGCGAUUGGUUGUGGUUUGUGGGUCGUCUAUGAUGCCUAGAUUUGGGUGUCAUCUUGACCAGUAGUUCCCUUCUCUCCUUUUCGGGGGUGUAGUGAUAGGCCUUUAGAUGGAUGGGUGUCGUUGUGCCCUGGAGAUAGCUUUGCAUGACAGUGGUAAGUGCCGAUAACGAUGAUGUUCUUGGACAUCAAUGUCUUCCCCAGAGGCCUCAUUGAGGUUACACGCUCAUCUUCCUUGAUUUUCGGGUGAAAAUCAUUAACCCGGAUUGUCAGAGAAGCGCUACAGCCUCGUUACAUUGUUGGAGGCGUCGACCUUCAAACUUUUGCUCCUAAUCAAUGGGUCGAUGCGUGGUUGUGAGGCAGUCAGUGGUAGUUGUGAUGACAAUGUGGACUUCGCUUUGGUGUUUGCAAAACAACCCAAUGUUUUUCUCCUCCUUUAGAUUUUGUCACCAGUCCUCACGGUAUGCUCUAGGCGAGCUUCUCUACACGCCCAUGGUAUGACACCCAUGGAGACAAGGCAAGAAUGCAGGGGGUCCUCUUCGGUGAUGGGGACGAAUGAGCUAGUAUGUAGUGUGAUUUAGCCUUCUUUGAAAUAGAGGAGGACCUACAUUGCUUUCCUACACACACACACACACACACACACCAAGUUCUUCAGAGUGAUUUUUUUCAAGGUUGAGCUCCAUAGUACCUUCUAUCUAUGUCGUUCGUACCAAAUUCACUUUCCUCGAGAUCUCAACCAUGGCCUGCGACCCAUUGUGAUUAGCAGCAGUACCUCUAUCGCACCUGUUGUCUCCCUACACUCUCUCUCUCCCUCUCUCUCUCGAGAAACUUCACAAUGUCUCUUAUUCCUUCCCUUUUCUCUCUUUAGUCUUCUCCUCUAUCUCUCCUCUGUUCUCUCUCAGAGCCUCCUCCCAUUUAUCAUCUAUAUCUUUUUUUAGAGAAAUGGAAAUUUCCCGAGUUUAUAGAUAAAGCCAAAGGAGAUUCACAACACCGAUUACAACCAUUAAAAAAGUAUCACAAGUUGCUGAACAACCAACAACCAACAAAUCCCACAGGAACAGUUCAGAAACGACAAUCGGGCCAACAACCAGGUACCAAAAGAAAACUAGUAAAUGAUGAUACGAUGUCCACUAAGCUAGAGCUUGCACCCUUGGUGAUAGAGAGUUCGACGUAGCCCUGAAGCGAUAGCUGAGUAGGUCCGUGGCGUCGAUGUCGUACCUCUUAACCAGAGGCCUCCACUACUGCAUUAGUGUAAUGGAUUUGAAAAUAACAUUAGCUGGUUUCGACGGGAACACAUGCUCGAUGGUAAACUUAUUUUGAGUAGUCCAAAGAGACCAACUGCAGCAGCAAACCCAAACUAGAAUAUGCAACUCAAUGGGGCAGAUAAUGCACUAAAAAGCGGCAGUAAUUGAGCAAAAAUCGGUCGGAGCCCAGCUAACCCUCAACCACGACCGAGUACAACUUCACAAGAGAAUGACAAAGUCACAUGAAAACAUAAUAUGGUCAGAAUCUUCUGGCCUAGAGCAUAAAUAGCAAGUAGAAUCAGCUUGAGCAUUAUGCUUCCUAAUUUGAUCAACAUCACGAAGCUUCCCAUGGAUGGCUUGCCAAAGAAAGGUCUUAAUUUUUAGUGGAACACGAGCCCUCCAGACACCCAUGAACUUAGAAGAACAGGACCUAGCAAUAAGUCUAUGGUAAAGCGAUUUGACCGAAAAAUUCCUAAGGGGGAAUGAGGCUAGACCACUGAGUCCAGAAUCUCCGAGAGUGUGAGGAAAGUGGCAUCAAGUUGAUGCCACCGUUCCAACUCUACAAGAGAUAGGGAACAGUGAAAGGCCAAAUUCCAACCAGAAUUAGUAAGAUCAAAGAUAGUAAUAUCAACAUUACCACAAAAAGAGAAAAUGACCAGGAAAGAAGAGCAAAGAGGGGUGGCCCGUUCCACCAAUCAAGCCAAAAGCGACUGGAUUUCCCAUCUUUAACAAUAAACUUCACAUGAGAACGGAAAACAUCUUUAAGCUUAUUCAAAGCUGCCAAAAUUGAGAUCCAUUAUUAGCCAAAGCCAGCUGAUCACUAGUGGAGGGAAAUAUUGUGCUUUAAGAAUAUCAAACCAAAAAGUCCUAGCGGAAGCAAGAAGAAUGCACCACCACCAUUUGAAAAUUAAGCAACAAUUCAUAAUUGACGUGUUAAUAAUGCCCAGGCCACUGUGGCUUUUAGGCUAGCAAAUGAUUUUCCACUUGACUAAUUGAUCCUUCUUUCUAUUAUCAGCCGAAUUCUAAAAGAAUCUGCUAUGAUGCUUAUCAAGACUAGUGUGGGUACCCUCAAGUAGCCUAUAAAACCCCAUAGAGAACAUAGGUAGAGAGGAAAGAGAAGAGUUUUUUGUGAGAACUUCCCCAGCAGUUGUAUUAUAUCUACCACAACACGACACAACCCUAUUAUCCACCUUAAGAACUAUGGGGGCUAAGUCUUUUGUCACACUUUAGAAGACGAGGGGGAGUGUGAGUAGAAACCUGGCCCUCAGCUCGAACAUUGAUCUGAAAGGCUUUACUUUUGGGGUAUACCUCGGUGAAACCACUUCGGACCUGAUCUGGCGCACUACACCAAUUCCUCGUAUGAACUAGGCCAGACUAGCCAAAGAAUCUUCAUCCACAGAAAUAGGUUUUCUAAUGAGCUCACCAAACACCAUAAAACACGCCUUGUUACGCAUGAUCGAAUGAACAUCAUUUAACAAAACACGGGGAUCCGCCAAGUUGCCAAAGCAUCGAUCAUCGUCCCCAACCUUUUUGAUAGAAAUUACAAGCUGGUUCACGCGAAGCAUAAAACUAGUGCUCUUAGAUAACAUCUUUAAACUUUCCUGAGACUGGGAAAGCAAUCCCAAAUUCUAAUUGUGAAAUCUACUGUAACUACCAGUCCCAACCAUCCGGACCCCAUUCCCUUAGCUCAUCCGCAAUUGUCUGCAGGGUCACAUAGCAGAUUGGACCGAGAUGAUGGCAACGUUAGAUGUCUGAGGCGCAACCACAACCACGUCCAAACCACCAUCCAAACCAAAAACGCAUAACCUGGCAGGCCUAGACUAUACUGCUUAAUUGAAGGAGGUUUGGAGCGAUUAGUACAACCCACUAUGAGGUGGCCUUCGACACAGCAAAUCAGGCAGAAAAGGAGGAAACAUACGGCGGGAUUCAGAGUGGCCCGGCCUAUGACAUGGAAAACAUGUGAAAGAAGGAUGACCCGAGCUAUUUACCAGAGCUACCCACCGGUGGCGCAUAUCCAGAGAUUGGCAGGGGUGGGUGAGGACUCCAUCAUCAGAGCCAUCAGAAUUGUCAUUCAACCAAAAUUUCCUGAACUUGUUUGGCCGAUUGUUGGGAGGGCAUUGUGGAAGCCACUAGGGAGGGAGUUGGGACGGAACUGCCCUUGGAACCCAUAACCACUAGAAGGAGGAGCGAGUAGAGUAGCAGCCGCAGUCGGACGAGGAGCAUGAGCAUGGGGGAGGGGGCACGGUGCCCGAUGCUGUUGCCUCCCAAGUAUCUAGGGCAGAGGAAUCUGAGCCCACCCAUUGAGAUGGGAUGGGGGAAGAGGAGCAAGCUGCCGCCAUCCUUUCCUCCUGAUGUGCGUGCUACUCCUUACACCACUCUUCUUCUAGAAACCAAACCGGCGGUGUGCCUCCUGCCCAUGCUGCAACUUAGCCCUCAACUCAGCCUCAGGCGCCAGGAGUCCACAAGUGGCCUCACUAGAUCCAUGAAGCUGCCUCUUGCCGUUGGUGUUGCGGUCGCCCAACGAGCCCAUCUUCAGCACCUCAGCAAAGGAGUGGGUCAGAGGUGGGGGUGGAAGGAUUUGGAUGGAACGAGGAAGGAGGUGACCUGAUCUGAUCUUGUAAAUCUUAGUGCAGGAAACAAAAAAACCCUAGGAUUAGGUUGACACAACCUCAACGGGGCAACAUAUACCCACAACAUGGACCAACUGGCUGCUCUGGGCCACUCACAGGAGAAACGAGCCCAAGCCCAAAAGGGAGAGGGGAAAGGAUAGCAAGCAGUAUCCAACCCUUGGACAGGGCCACCACCCUGUGCAGAGCCCACUAAGCUCAUAGACGAGCGCACCAUCUCACAAGCUGACGACCGGAUUAGGGUUUUGUCCCAUAAGUAGAAGAAGUAGAGACGGGUCCAACAAGGCGGAGGACACAUUGAAACCGGGUCAGAGCCAAGCAAACUAGGGGAAGGAGUAGGAUGAAUGUGGACGAGGAAAUCUUCAAUCCAGAUGGCCGGAUCCGUCGUUCCAUCGUAUAGUUCGAUGUUUACGGGUUUAAACCCUUCCAGAAACUAUUGUUCCAUAACCUCAUCAGUGAAGCAUAGGGGGUGUGCGGCCCCUCUAUAUCGUGCAAUGUCACGGCGGAGAUCGGCGGACAUCUGAGUUUGGUACUGAUCCCAAACAUAGUAACGGUCGUCAUGUCGGGCUUUAUAGCCAUUAUCUUGUGCUGGGGCAUGGCCCUUUGAGCCGUAGAUUGAUCUGGUCUGGCCAGCUUUAAUGGCUAUGUCACGUUGCAAAUCGUAUGUAUAUCCCAUGGCUGCAGUCUCCCUGCCUCUUCGGCGAGGGGGUGGGGGUGGUAUUUGUCUUGGUAUGCCGUUUUAUCCCGUCCACGUGGUGGUCGGUCUGGUUGAUCUGCCUGAUUGUAUUUUGACGGUAUUGGUUCAAGGACUUCGUCGUCGAAUUGAGGCAGCAGCUUACGCCUAGGGUAACUUUUGACAGGUCAUUUUGGCCGUAUUCCUCAGCGGCCAGGACCUUAGUCCACCUCUCAUUCAUUGUGUCUUGCUCUUCUUUGAGCUACCACUGCUUCCUCUUCAGGCUCCGAGCUGUGGCAAUGAGCUGCCGCCUAAAGCGUUCUUGGUCGAGGGGUUCUUCUGGGACGAUGAAGUCUUCGUCACCGAGGCUAACCUCCUCUUCGGAUUUUGGCAUGUAGUUGUUGUCCUCCGCAUCUUCGUUGUCAGCACGUCCAGGGCUGUGUUCACCUUCUUCCCACUCGUCAUGUUCUGAUGUGGGCUCGAUAAGGUGUUCGACAUCUUCGGCGCCUUCCGGAGUCUCGUUGUAUCCGGUGCCGGUAUUACUAUCCUUUGCCCGACGCGAUUGUGAGCGAUGCCGCUGACGUCGGUGCUUUGGUGGCUUAUCGACAGGUCUAUCCUCAUCUGGGCUUGGGUUCUCCUCGUCGUUCUUCGGAGUGUCCAUGAUGUACACAUCGUAGGUUGAGGUGGCCGUCCAACGCCCCGUGACGGGUGGGACUUGGCAUGGUUCGGCGUCAGCAUUGUCGUCCAUGUCGUCGAUGUCUUCGGACGCAUAAUCUAGCAUGUCAGUUAAGUCCUCGACAGUGUCUAUUAAGUGGGUGAUGGGUGGGGCGUAAAACUCCCCUCUCUUAGCCCCUAGUCCAGGUUGGGUGCAGUUUGGAGGUAAAGCCUUCGUGAUGGCGAGAGACUUCAUCAGACCCAACGUUUCGUCUAAGAGCGGGAGCGAGAACCGCGGGUCUGUCACGAUGUGUUCGGCUUGGAGCGCGUGAUCGGGUCCGCUAAGUGUAGACCUCGGCAGUUCGGAACGGUUGCCUAGAGCCAGGUUUAAGCCUGCGUCUGGGUCUUCGGUAGGAAGUUCGAUAAGGGGAAAUAGUCCGGCGGGGCUUACGCUCCUGUCUUCAGACGAUGAAACCUGCCCCGGAUCUAAGGCCGAGGUGAGUGCUGGUGUUGACCCCUGGACGAGAUCUGAUAGGGUAUCCCAAGAGUCUUCUUGGAUGGGACGCAGAGUGGCGGCCGAGGCAGCAAACCCAUCAAAGACCAAGUCUGCUCGGAUGUCAGCAAUGUAAUUCAGGUUUCCAAACCUGAUCUGGUGGCCAGGGGCGUAACUAUCGACCUGCUCGAGGCGGUCGGUCGAGUUGGCUCGAAGCACAAAGCCACAAAACACAAAAACUUGUCUAGGAACAAAAGUCUCCCUGGACACAGUGUCACCAUUGAUGAAGAGGUGAGCCAUCAAUCCUUCUGUCAAUGACACAACAGAGCUCUCAAUGAAAGCACCAAUGUCGGUGUCAAAACCGGCAGAUAUCUAGUAGGGGGGCCCAAGCUGAGCGUCUGAGGAUCAAUAGUAACAAAGGAGAAGGGACACAGUGUUUACCUAGGUUCGAGCCCUCUUAAUGGAGGUAAAACCGUACUCCUGCUUGAUUAUAUUCGAGGGUAUAGGGGUUACAAGAGUCGAUCCACCAUGAGAUCGAUUUGGCUAACCCUAGAUAGCUAGCCUAGCAAUGUUGUGAUCCUGCCUCCGAUCUACCCUUCGGUUUAUAUAGACACCGGAGGGGCUUAGGGUUUGUACAAAGUCGGUUUUAUAGAAAGUAAUAGGAUAUCCGGACACCUAUAUUUGCCGUCCACGCAUACGGGAGUCCCCACCAGACAUGAGAGAUAAUCUUCUAUCUUGNNNNNNNNNNNNNNNNNNNNNNNNNNNNNNNNNNNNNNNNNNNNNNNNNNNNNNNNNNNNNNNNNNNNNNNNNNNNNNNNNNNNNNNNNNNNNNNNNNNNNNNNNNNNNNNNNNNNNNNNNNNNNNNNNNNNNNNNNNNNNNNNNNNNNNNNNNNNNNNNNNNNNNNNNNNNNNNNNNNNNNNNNNNNNNNNNNNNNNNNNNNNNNNNNNNNNNNNNNNNNNNNNNNNNNNNNNNNNNNNNNNNNNNNNNNNNNNNNNNNNNNNNNNNNNNNNNNNNNNNNNNNNNNNNNNNNNNNNNNNNNNNNNNNNNNNNNNNNNNNNNNNNNNNNNNNNNNNNNNNNNNNNNNNNNNNNNNNNNNNNNNNNNNNNNNNNNNNNNNNNNNNNNNNNNNNNNNNNNNNNNNNNNNNNNNNNNNNNNNNNNNNNNNNNNNNNNNNNNNNNNNNNNNNNNNNNNNNNNNNNNNNNNNNNNNNNNNNNNNNNNNNNNNNNNNNNNNNNNNNNNNNNNNNNNNNNNNNNNNNNNNNNNNNNNNNNNNNNNNNNNNNNNNNNNNNNNNNNNNNNNNNNNNNNNNNNNNNNNNNNNNNNNNNNNNNNNNNNNNNNNNNNNNNNNNNNNNNNNNNNNNNNNNNNNNNNNNNNNNNNNNNNNNNNNNNNNNNNNNNNNNNNNNNNNNNNNNNNNNNNNNNNNNNNNNNNNNNNNNNNNNNNCUGCUCACAUGCUGAGAGGGGAUGGCGCAUUCUCUCUCCUUCCAUUUCACCUAUGUUCUUUCUCACACACACAACCUAGUCCCAUUUCGGCUUUGCUCUCCCUGACACACACAUCCUAGUCCCAUUUCAUCUCCUCUCUCUCUCUCUCUAAUUUUCUUGUUCUUCUCUUUCUCUCUCUCCUUCCCAUGGCUGCUCUCUCACAGCCUCUUUCUCUGUUGCACACACGCCAUGAAGCAGGAAUCCUGCAUGGAGAAUGUGCUUGUGUUCUGUGGGGCAGCUCAUCACGUGAGAAUAGUGACAGAAGAUGAUGCCAAAGAGGGGCUUGGUAAACACCUGGUAAUGACGCAAGAGCGGUCAGACGUGGGCUGCGCUCCCAGCUGCAACGAUGGUCAGACGUGAGUGCGUCGACGACUCCAAGCUCCGCCUUUUCUGUUUUACAUUUGUUAGCUUGCUCUUGUUUGCUGCCCUAUAAGUUGUUUCCUCGGCACUUUGUAUCUCUCUAUAGCCGUUUGGAAAAUUAGUAAUUUAAAGUCGGGCUCAAUGAGCCUAUUGUCUAAAAAUAUUUGUAUGCAUCACAUCAAAUUCCCGGGGUGAAUAUAUGAAUGAGUGCAUACAUUAGAAAUUUGGUUCACUAAUUUCCCGCUGACUCCUAUAUUACACUGCUUAUUACCCGCAAUCAAUAACCAUACCACUCCCCUAAUAAAUAAUGGUGAAUUUACAUAUGUAAUAAAGCCUGAAAUGAUAGGCAUACCUCAUAAAAAAUUCGUGUAGUUCAUCCUUGGUCAGUGGAUAGCCAUUAGAAAAUGUCACG
This 133848-nucleotide long non-coding RNA is filed under the name Triticum aestivum (bread wheat). RNAcentral describes it as "long non-coding RNA (TAES_LNC000894)". The record is from RNAcentral. Lineage: Eukaryota; Viridiplantae; Streptophyta; Magnoliopsida; Poales; Poaceae.